This 148240-nucleotide long non-coding RNA is filed under the name Setaria viridis. RNAcentral describes it as "long non-coding RNA (SVIR_LNC005239)". The record is from RNAcentral. Lineage: Eukaryota; Viridiplantae; Streptophyta; Magnoliopsida; Poales; Poaceae.
UCUUUUUUUUUUUGUCAAAUGCAAACAGACUGGAAAUUUAGGAAGAGAUAAUUUUCCUACGCCUAAUCUGCCCUUAUCCUUCUUGGCCUAGAGUAACCUGACCCCACGAAUAUAAUGGUCUCUCCCAGCUGUGAGACCGUUACCUUGUUCAUUUGUGAGCCUGUUAGAUUGAUUAUUUAAUCCUCCUAGUUAUAUAAAAAAAAUUCAGAAUGAGCACAACAACUACUGAGAGAAACAAUUACAAUACCAAUAAGCUUCCGCAUGAAGGCCACUAGCAUCUGGCCAGAGCUUCAUAGAGCAGCCGCUCCAGCUCCUCCAUAUUUGCAGCCUCCAUGCACAUGAGCACGCUGACACCGCCGGCGCCGUCUGCCGGCCUGUUGCUCAUGAGGUGAAAAAACCCGCCGCGGUUGGACUCCGCACGACACAUCACUUGCGGCUUCCCCCACCCAAAAUCCGCGUCGUAAAUCGGCAUGCCCAGCCAGCUGAUAACCCGCAGAUCGGUCUCCGGCAGGGUGCCCUUCGCCGCCGACUGGCUGCCCAUACCUGCCAUCUCGAAGUAGUCGAUCGCGGACCGCACCAGCUCGUCGUCCACCCGACCGAUGGCGGCUCCGAUGCGGCCGGCGACGGACGCCAACGCCUCCGAGGUGAUAUCCCGCGCGGCGGCGGCGACGACCACCUCGACCAACGCGUUGCCGAAGUAGCGUUCCGGGAGGGGCGGAUUCACCCGGCGACGGAUGUUGACCGGGGAGGUGAACCGGGUUUCGGAAUCCGGCGGGAGCCGCCGUGCGACGCACGCGCACCGCCACACGAGGGCGCUCACGGCGCGGAACGUGCUCGCGCCGCCGCAUAGGCGCUUUAGCGAGGCGAUCCGGUCCUUGGAAAUGGUGAAGACUUUGGUGGCGAGAGGUCCCGACGGAUCGGAGAAGGCGAGCUUGGGGUAGAACGUCGAGAGAGCGUCGGGGUGGACGGUGGGCGGGGACCGUGCGCGGAGGAGGGUGCGGUCGUGGCAGGGGGGCUCCACGGUGGCGCGUUCGCCGUCCCUGGAGAAGGCCGACCAUGUCUUCCAGAAGUGGAUCGCGCUCAUGGCGUCGAUGGCGGCGUGGUGGAGGGCCGUCCCUAACGCCACCCAUCCACACUUGAAGAACGUCACCUGCAACGCAAUUAAGCAUGCAUCCACACACACAUACACACAUCAUGUACCGAUGCAAAUUGACAUAUGAUUGAGGAAGCAUGGAAGCACUAAUAUAAUUUAGGAGAAGUUGCAGACCUGUACGGCCAAUACUACGGACGAUGGCUCGAUGCGUGGAACAAGCUGCCUCCUUAGCUCCGGCGACGGCUUGACGUCUUUGAUCUCGUCGUCAACAGUGAUAUCAGAGCGAGCGACAACGAAGAGUGCGCCCUCGCCGUUACAGUCGAUCUCUACCCUACCGCUGCCAUCGACGGCGAGGCGGCCAGCGAGUGGGAAGAAGGGCACCAAGGCCUUGGCCAUGGCCUCCUUGAGCCUGGCCACGUCGAAGAAAUCGGAAGCGGUGUCAUCGGAGUGAAACAAGUAGACUGUUGGCGUGUGGCCUCUAUUGGCCGACAGGAUGUCCAGGGAAGACAACCAGAGCCCCUGCCUCGGUGUCGGCUCGCUCGGCGCCACAAAUGAAGACUCUACCACUUUCACCUCAAAAUCCAUUGAUUUUAAUUUCCACAAAGGAUUUACCGGCGAGGAAAGAUCACGGCCGCCACGGAUUGGUGCUUCCCCUCGCGUCUCCAGGCCUGGAACGAGAAAGAGAUGAACCGGAACGUGAUCACCAUGGCGAUGGGGGUCAGGUUGGUGCUUUGGUUGCCCGAGACGACGAGACGCUCACCUUGCGCGGCGGCGCACACAGGAGAGACGGCCGGCGCGUUCGGACGCCGGAGACGAGGAAGAACAAGAGGGCUCUUCUCGGGGAAAGUAAUGCAUGGGAGGAGGCGCGAGGAAGGAAGGGAGAUGAGCCUGCUCUUAUAAAGGAGAGUGCUAGCCUUUCGUUUCCGGGGUUCGGUGCGGCGCUGCACGGACGCCGGGGCGUGCCGCCGGCGCGUGAAAUAGCUUCCGUCCGGCUGCCGGCUCGCCUGAGAGGGGACGUUGCUGUCGCUUGCGUUGGGUCGGACGUUGCUGUCUCUCUGGAUGUAGACUUUAAAUAAUUUAGGUUUUAGAUGGCUGCCUUUGUGGCCCUGCUUCCUACAAACUGGGUUGGAAGCAGGGCACCACAAAGAAACCUGUCAAGCGCAUAAUUCACAUGAUUAUAAGUGUUCAUGUGAGGAAAAAACAUUCAUGCAAUACUUUUUCAUGGUGCGAGAAACAGAUCAUGAGUUCCGUGCUUAAACUGCAAAGUGAUCCAUGUUCUUGGUUUCUACAGUAAAACAUGCUUCUGCCACAGCUUUCUCAUAUUUUGUGAGCCAUUACGAGGUUCGAGAGAAUUUAUCACUGAUCAAGCUGCUACCUGCUUGCCAAAUUUGCUACCGAUACCACCUUAUAAUCAAAUCGGACGCAUUUUGCAUCAUAUAUAUCUUUGCUGAUCACAUAGCUGAAGUAAUGCUUAGUCAUUUCUAGAAUUAAAUGAAUUGGAUGCUACAACCAUACUCCCUCCGUGAAUAUAUAACGUUUAAGAUAAGAACGAACUACCUACCUUGUCCUAAAUAUCGUAUAUUUAUGGACGCGUUUAACACAAGCUAGUCGAACUAUCUUGUCGUAAUUUGAGCGGAUCCUAAUCGUCAUAUAUUAAAAUGGGAGCCCGACCGACUUUUUUAUUUUUUUAUUUUUAUUACACGUGAAAAUGAUGUGCAGCCCAGCCUGCCCCAAAAACCACACCCCGAUAGCUCUCACAGGUGGGCCUAAUUAGGUAUUUUGAGCUUAAAAUGUCUCUCCUUUUGUCAGCCCGAUCCAGUCCAACUUUCGCUCAGGUCUACUUACUCAUUCCACUCAUUCCGUAGACAAUUCAAAGUUUCCAAAUUAUAAUCUAACGAAUUUUAUGUAAUUCUACCCAUAAGUGUUGUGUUGUGGGUUCCAAUUUCAUGAGAUGAUAUCCGGCAUCAUAAUCUACAUUAAAUUCCAUGCAUUUUCAUAUCUUACAAAUAAACUAAUAUCAAACUAUCUAAACAUAUGAAAUUAUUAAUAGCAAAAAGUCUGAAAUAGUUUGAAAAUAGCAUGUAAUGCCAAGUACACCCUACCAAAAUUUGAAUAUGAAACACAACUUGCACACGGAGAAAAAAUUAUUUAGGGUGAAUUUAGACCAAUUUGAAUUGUUUGGAGCACUUAUUGAGUCGAUACUUUGUAGAUAAGGUCAAACGGAUGAAGUGGAUUGUUCCAGGUACUAAAACAUGCUUCCUCCAUGAAGAAUGCCUGGGCUGUGCAAACAGUUUCAUUGUGAAGAUAUUGCGCGGCAUGGCAAGAUGGCACAGACGUCUAGAAGUCAGACGCCCAAAAAGACAGUCAUCCUCGAGGUUGUUUUGUUCAGCAUGAACCACCUAGCUUCGUAAAAUAAUUAACUUCGGGCGAACCACCUAGCUUCGUAAAAUAAUUAACUUCGGUCGAGGGUCCCUAAUCUCAAGGGGCUAGUCUGGCGUGAAAGUAGUGCUAGCUUCACGUCGCCUCUGUAAAUUCAAUCUCGAAGCCAAGAGAUAAUCGCUGAUCACUAGGCUAUAACAAAGCUUACCCUCGAGUACUCGAAGCUAACCCCGAGCGUCGAGUUGUUUACUGUGUCUCACACAGGGUCGUUGGAAUGAACAAGCCAAGAACCAGGGCAUGAGGCUGGCACCUCUCUAGUGCGAGGCUAAGAUAACUUCAAGGCAUGAGGCUAACAUGGCUUUGGGUGCGAGAUUAAAGGCGUGGAGGCGUUGAAAACGUGAAGGCGUGAUUCUCGGGAUUGUCUGAGAGCGUGAUUCACGGGAUUGUCUGGAGGCAUGAGAAGCGCGACUCGGUGGAGGAGACUAAGUCGUACAAGUUACCUCCAAAAGACCUUUAUGUAUAGCAUAUUAUAGAAAUGUAGUGGUUGAGUAAGGGUAAUCGCGGAAUGUAAACUCUUUGCAUGGAAAAAUCUAAACUCUUUGCAUGUGCAUGUCGUGUAGAAGCUAAUAUCGCCGAUGGAACCUACGAGCUCCACCCUAUGCUGGAAGAGGAACCCACCGCAGAGCUACAUCACGCGAAAGUUGAGCACGAGCUAGAUCAAGACCCCAAAGAACCGCUAACUUUUCCUGAAGGCAAGCCCCGGUGCAUGCUUCCCUAUUUAAAAUUGAUGCAAAUAUGUUGAUGCUUAUGAUUGUGCAUUUACGUUGUAGGAGUUGAUUGAAACCAUAGAUGCAUGAACGUAGUACCUUAUUUUGAUCACUAGUUGCUAAGGUCGAGUAGUUGUUGUGCUAAAUAGGACUCGGUAAAAGUCGAGUGAUUGUCUGUCACUCGCGAGUUAUAGGAGUUGUGUGAUUACUCUUUCUACAACUAUAAGGAUGACGGACGGGACCGGGAAUGAUUCCGAUGUGGUAGUUUGCCCCGUCUGUCUAGCAAUGAACAUGCUAAGGUCGAAACGUGUCGGCGUUCGUGAUCAAGUGUCUGAAAGUACUAAUCUCAUACCUAGUAUGGAAUAGGGAAGCCUAGUACCUGAUUGAACUGGGGCGUGUCAUACCCCCCUGCUGUCCUUGGAACAUCGUUCCCAUGGUGCAUCAUGUGGGUGCAAGUGCGGUCACAUUACAGCAGAGGUCGGGACUAUGGAGCAUUUUAUGCCAAAGGAAGUUUGGACCUGACACAUGCCUAAGGGAUCGACUGGGACGGCUGACAAAUGAAGCGACCCUUUGUGGUGCACAAAUGUCAUGAGAUUAGGAUCGCCAUGCAUGGUUAAUAAAUUUGAAUCGAUUUGUCUACCUCUCACAGUUUGGGACUACUUGAUCGCUAUUCUGCACUGAGUAAAGAUGAAAUUUGAGGAUGUUAAACUUGAUGUUUGAUCUCUAGUUGUUUGGAAACAAUGCUUGCUUAGUAUAAGCUGCUAAUCUAGAUUGGUUAAUAAACUUAGAACUUGAGCUAAAAUAUUGAAAGUAAGGACCAAUUGUAGACGCUUUUGGCAAAACAAACCCACAGUCAAAAAGUAUUGCAUGUCUAGGAGUUGGUGAACUAGCUAUCACCUGUCGGGUCAGUCGAGUAUUAGUUGCUCAGCCUUGUUGGUGGCUUAACUUUUUAGGUAAUAUCGAUAGUGUGGCUGCUGGCACCACUUGGCCGACCCAGCUCCCUCCGGGUUGGACAGUCGAGUGGGAUCCCUCCUCGGACGACGAGGGCAGGGAUCAUUGAUGUCAUGAUCGGCUUCGUCAUGAUAUCGUGUAUCGACGUUUAGCUUCCGCUUGUUCUACAUCUUCGUUGUUUAUCACCUUGCAAACUUGUCUGAAUUUCAAAAACUCUGAUGUAAUAAAUUGUUGAACUAUGUUAAUGUAAUGGGAAUGUUGUAAUCUCUGUGCCCACUCACCUUCAUGUGAGCAAUGCUUCUCGAUCCUGAGUAAGUGGUUUAUCGGAUGAAAUCCGACAAUCGAUCAAGUUGACUUGCUUAAAGUGCAUGAUCGCGUGCCAGGUGACAUAAGUGCAUUUUAGUCAGGUUAAUUUGGGCAGUUCCACCACAGCGGGGCGCCGGCCGACGGUGUGGGGGCCGGGGUCGGUGAGCAGCGUUAAUGGCGGCCGAGAUUCUCGGCCAACACAGGGUGGUGGCGUGGCGAGGUGGAGUUCUGCGUGGAUGGCGUGGUGGGAUCGGGCUCGUGCGGCGAGGAGCAUAGUGGCGAAGGCCGACGUGGGGGAGGGCACCGGCCGGCGCGUCUCGUCGGCGCACGCGGGAAGCUGGGGCAAGAGGCGAGGCCUGUGAGGCUAGGGGAGGGGGCCCGGGGUGGUCAGGCGCUAGGGAAGGAGCAGGCGCCAGGGGAGGGGCCGGUGGCGUUGUGCGGUGCGCAGGGAGGAAACAGGCGCAUGCGGCUAGGAAGAAGAAAGAAAAAAGGAGGAAGGAAGAAGAAGAAAGGAAGAAAGAGAAGGAAGAAAAAGAAAAGAGAAAAAGGAAUAUGGGAAAAUGAGAAAAAGAAAGGGAGAGUCGGCGGUGAUUGCGGAAAGCGGUCGGAGCACGCGUGGCGGUUUGUCGACCGGCACACGGCGGAAUUUGCGGAGAGGAUAAAAAAAUGAUGGUUGUCGGCUUUUGGUGCCGGGACGGUGAAAUCGCUGGGAAGGUGGGAUUUUCAGGAGCUCAACGGUAAAAAGAUUUUGAAAACAACUUUUUUUAGUGGGUGAUUUAAGUUGGUGAUUUUCACGGAUGUUAGAUUUUAUUUUCCAACAUUAGUAUAUUCAGAAUUUCAGAUAGAUUUAUUCGCGGAUGCAGAAAGGUCUUGGGUCCAUCCCAUUUCUUGAGCUGAUCUGCAUCCCAGUUCUUAAAGCGCGACCUCCAGCAAGGACUCACCCGAUGCAAGGGCGGGCACUUCCAGGUGUUACUCGUUAUAGUGUGUUAAGGUUGUUGACCUCCAUUGUUUAUGCCUGUCUCUUAAUCUAGAUGAUCCGAAGAUUUGUUAAACUGACUGGCAACCUCACAUAAGAUCUCUAUUGAGCUCCGACAAACUGUGAUUCCCUUAAAUGUCAAGUACGCACCUACCGGCCGUUGACUCAGUGUCCUACUCAGCCUGCGUGCGGCGUGCCUGCAAUACCGCUUCACAUCACCGUCUUUUAUUUUGCGUUUGACUUUGCCCAUAUUUCUACGCACGUUUUAGGUAGCGUUCGGUUGGAGAGUGAGGUACGAUGGAACGAUUGAUUUUAGAAAUGUGAUGGUUUCAUGUUAGAUGUUUGGUUAGAGGGAUAGAACAGUUCCGUUUUUUUGGUUUGCUCCGUUAACCACUGUUAUGUGGGACCUGCCUGUCAGUCACCCCACCCUCUUCUCCUCCUCUAAUCUUCUCCACCAGAGCGCACCAAGCUCCCAUCGGACCUCGGCCAUGGCUCCGCCUCCGCCCCCUUCUCCAGUGCUGCGGGCUCCACCUCCACGACGCCGGGCGCUGCCCUCCCCGUGUCGCUGGGCUCCGUCCCCCGCGCCGUCGGGCUCCCAACCUCCCUGACCAUGGUUCCUCCCUUCCACCUUCUUCCUUCUCCGUUACACCUUCUCAAUCCGGUCUCCGCUCCACACCGGACGCCGCCAUCCUGAGCCUUGCCACCCCUUACCACACGGCAGGAACCACCCUCCGCCCCCGCAGCGCCAGACGCCGCCCUACCCUGCCGCCGGAGCUCCGUCCAAGCUUGGAUCCGCACCAUCAGCGCUCAAUUCUUCACUCCUGCGCCACCCAAGCUCCAUCCCCCUUGCCGCCCUGAGCUCCUGCCACGCGCAGCACCACGUCCUUAGCUCCUUGCUCGAGUCACAGGAUGAGACGCUGUCGAAUUGGGACGGCUCGGUCCACUCGAUUUUGCGUGAUCGAGCGGAGCAAACAUUUGCUCACCAGGAUGGCUCCAUCCCUCCGCUCCUGAACCAAACAUAGAAUGGAACGACUCCAUCCCACUCCGCUCCUCAACCACACUACCUUAAGACACAACAAUGGAGGUCAACGAAGUUCUGGAUCAUCGAAAGGUUAUACUUCUCUGAUCAAUUGUUUUGCCAGUGAUGUUCGCUACGAACAUAUGCUGCGCAGUAACAAGGAUUUGCAUGUUUAUUACUAGUACUUGUUGCUAUAUGUGCCGGACAGUGGCGGGGCCAGGAAAAAAAAAUUGUAAGUGGGACGACUUCUAACGUGAAAGUAAAUCAAAAGAAAAAACGUACGGCAUGUACACCGAUUCACAGUGCAUUCACAUAUGGCAUUUGCACGAAUUCAUGCCUUAUUAACGCAAGUGACGUUUUAAGAUGUUACCUCAAAAUUAAAAAAAUAAAUUAAUAGUUAUUAUGUCGUACAUAGAAGAAUAUAAAAAAUAAAAAUGGAUGAACCUCCAGAUUGUGCAAAGAUCAAUUAGCGGGUGUGGAGAAUACAUUAUUCACAAGCUAGCAGGCAGCAUGACGAGAUCUAGGAUUCAAGUGUCCAGCAAAGAAGGGAUUUGAGAAAUUACAGCAGGACAAGAAAAUGGAGUACAAACAGAACGACAUUCUCACCCAUUGCCGUUGUCUACAGGUUGUGGUCUAGGGCUAGGAGGGUUUGGGAGCAUCGAGCACCGCCGAACUGAAGGAAUCGGAUGGGGAAUGGCUUGCAAUCGGGCAUGAUUUAGGUUGGGCACGUGGAGGUCAACGCUGACCGGUCCGUAUCAUAUCAUUAAUUAAUAAACUAGUCCUCAUAUAGCAUGCCCUUUCCUGAUUAAAAUAUAUAUAACUGGCCGGUUGUGCCCAAUCGGCAAAGGUGGUGGGCAGCUCCCCAUGUGAUGCUGUGAUGCUGUGUGAACGAAGACGGCAGUCAGGUGGUCUUGAUUCAAGGCGCCCUACGUGACCUUGUACUGGCGACGGCGAGAUGCUGUUCCUCUUCCGAUCCUCGGGAGGCAAACGUACGCGUCCAUGAGGUAGGAGCCUUAUUGGUGGGUGUGGCCGGCGUGAACCAGCCGGUGGAUGAGCAACGGCUGAAGGCCAACGAGAACGGUGGGUCCAUCCUCCACGGCGCUACUGAAGCAGCUUAUUGUUGUGAAGGUUCCCAAAGCAGAGUGGCAGCAUUACAUUCCGCUAACAUUCAAAUCGAAAUUAAGAUCCUAUGACAGUCGAAUUUGAAAAAAAGAUCAUAUGAAAUAGUGUGAACCGGCCGCGAGAGCAGGAUUGCACAUUUACACUCCUCCAAAGUUUGGCCGUAGAUGAUGGUAAUCGACGAACGACGACGGACAUUCCACACGAAGCUUCCUCGAUCCUUGUGGCGGGUGGAUCCGUGAUCUUUCCUCCUGUGCGCCUGGAGAGAGAGGUAACGUUAACGCGCUAGGCGCUACGCAAGCUAGCCACAUUUUCGUCCGGUCGCAGUCCCCGGCCGCCAGCUCUCCACGUGUCCUCCCAAGUAGCCAGCCCAUCCCUAUCAACUAGGCAAUCACCCGGGUGUUUCUCAUGGAAGCAUCACCCAAGCAAUCUGAUUUGCUGAAACACUUGAUUUUGAGGCAGACAAAAUUCAGGUGCUGGCAGAGGUGCUGUCACCUGAAUAUCAACACCAUCAGAUUUGGAUCAAACGGUGGAAAAUAAUUGCUAGCAAAAACAACAUAGAAACAACUAUGCUGAGAACAUAGUAAACAAACUGAUGCAGAAAAGAGAAGGAAAAUUAACAUGCAAAAUGCAAAAUUAACAACUCAACAAAUUUUUAUUAUAGUCAGUUAGAUAACAAAUUAUUUCUAAUGGUGAGAAACCCCUCAAAUGCAAAAAUACCAAUACAUAAAUUAAAAUUACAGUGUAAGUUACUUACUAAGUACUAAUAUAGUUACUAAUAUGGUGUAAAAGAAUCCUAAUAUAUAGGGAAGCGCACGCACAGUAAUAGCGGAGUGAUGGGCUGCUCCUGCCUAGCUGGCUACGCGGCUGGGGAAAAAAUGCCUAGCUGGCUGCUCCUGCCUGCCAUGCGUCUGAGCAUCGGGGUCUGUGCGACAAGGCAUCGCACAGCUGCGCUCCGCGCAGGUAGAGUGACGAGGACGGGAGAAACACCAUCAUGUAACCUUUAGCUUUCCUUUUGGCCCUGAUAGCUUUCCUUUUAGGCCUCCGACAAGAAUCUGGCUGACCGGUUACGUCUGCGGACGCCGGUUAGAGAUGCCUUUUGGGCCUGUAGGCCAUGUUUAGUUGGCUCCAAACUCCCAACUUUGACACUAUGCAAAAAGAAGAUUCCCCAUCACAUCAAACUUGUGGUACAUGUAUGGAUGACUAAAUGUAGACGAAAUCAAAAACUAAUUACACAGUUUUGUUGUACUUUACGAGACGAAUCUUUUAAGCCUAAUUAGUCAAUAUUUGGACAAUAAUUCAUAAAUACAAACGAAAUGCUACAGUUGCGCAUUUAUGGCAAAAUGCCAAUUUUGCCUAUCCCAAAUUGGAAACUAAACAAGACCGUAGUUGAUGUGACCUUUUGGGGAAAGGCGACACCACUGUUUCUCCCAUCCUCGUUCCUAAAGUAAAGAAGUGUUCCUAAAGUAGAGAGGUGUUUGGUUGUUUAGUACCUCCUCACAUCGAAUAUUUGAUGUUAAUUAGGAGAAUUAAAUAUGAGCUAAUUAUAAAACUAAUUACACAGAUGGAGGCUAAUUCACGAGAUGAAUCUAUUAAACCUAAUUAAUCCAUCAUUAGCACAUGUUUACUGUAGACCAUAUUAUCAAAUUAUGGACUAAUUAGGCUUAAUAGAUUCGUCUCGCAAAUUAGUCUCCAUCUGUGCAAUUAAUUUUAUAAUUAAUUUAUAUUUAAUACUAUCUAAGCUUUCGAUGUGACCCUAAACAAACAAACAGCCCGAAGUCGCAGGCCUAUAUAAAGCUGCUCUCCUUCCCAGCAAAGCAUCGACUUGAACAGGCUGCAGCCACUGCACAAAGCAAGCAAGCUACACCAAGCUAGGAGCCUAGGAUGGUGACGCUCAUGAGCCUCCAGGCAAGACGGGAGGGGCUGGUGCAGGGCAACGACGACGGCGUCGUCGACCGCAACGCAACCAGCUGGUUCCCCGCGGCGCUGGGGCUUGCAGGCCUCGCCACCGCUUCCUCGGCCAUCACCGCCGCCAUGUCCAAGCCGCCGGCGGCGCUCCAAGGGACGAACGGCUCCUACUACCUCCUCGCCCUCUCGGGGCUCUUCUACGCGGGGGUCGCAGAGCUCGGCGGCGCCGUCUGGGUGAUGGCCGACCCCCGCGCGCGCGCCGCUGUCGGGAGGAGGCUCGUGUACGCGUCCCUCGCCCCGCUGACGGCGGCAGCCGGCCUGGCGGCGGCCACGCUCUUAUGGUGAAGUUUCUGCCACGCGCCGCGCGCGCAGCAGGUACGUAGUGCGUACGGUCGCACCAUUGCCAUUGCCACGCUCUUGUGUCCAGAUACAAUAAGUUGGUGAUGACUAAAGUUCUUAGUCUCCAUGAUGUGUCCUACGUGUUUCUAUAUCCAUUAUCCGGAAAAAAAAAACCGUACGUGCUGCUGUAUUGUUCCAUUCGGCCGUGUGUGUGAGACGGUGUCCAGUGGAGUCGAAUAGAGUCAUCAGUAGAUUCUGUUCUAUAUAUACGCCAUUCAUCGUAUUUCAUCGUCGUCUCCUGACAUGUCGUGUGCUGCUGCUGCAGAUCAACUGUGUACCCAUUUAAUAUAUAUAGUGAUAAAAGUUGUUGGCUCCUUUUGCUGCAUAAUACAUACGAAUAUAUGCAACUCUACCACGUUGACGUAAGUAAUUAAUUUGCAUGUCAUUCCCUCUUCCCCCAUCAUAAAUUACUACUCCCUCCGUUCCAAAUUAUAGGUCGUUUUGACUUUUCUAGAUACAUAGAUAUUAUUAUGCAUCUAGAUAUAGGGUAUGUCUAAGUGCAUAAUAAAGUUUAUGAAUCUAAUAAAGUCAAAACGACCUAUAAUUUGGGACGGAGGGAGUAUUCAUUUCAAAUUUUUAAAUACAAAAUCACCUUUUAGUACAUAUUAAAAGUGAUGUAUUUAAAAAAGUCAAGAUGGAGUAGUUACGUUCAAAUACAAGUGGGGAAAGUAAAAAAAAAAAAAAGCAAACCUAGGCUGUCGAGCGUCGUUGACCGAUUACACGACCCGUUCGUCGAUCGGGCACGCCGCGCGUGUUUUUUACUCGAUCCUGUUCUCGUCUAGGUGAGGUCAUGCCUGUGGAUAGUCGUGAACGCAAAGAUGUGACAUGUGUUCCUUACUGUUGGAGCUUCAAACUCAGACUUCGCUCAUGCAUGGGCCUGGCCUGUUUGCUGCCCUAGGCUGAUCGGCCUCAUGGGCCUUGCAGUUAGCCAGUGAGGUAGUGGGCCUCCUUUUUUUUACCUUUUAUAAUUUGUGGAUUUUCUUCAAUUUAAACUCGAUUUUAAGGGAAGGAAAUCCCAGAAAUUCCAAGAAUACUAGUAUUAUGAACUGAGCCAAUUGCUUUGUUGGCUAGAGACGGAUGCGGUUGAUCUAUAAAAUCCUCGCGGACAUUCCAGCAUGCAGGCCGUCGGCGACCGCGUUACUGUCGCUGAGAUCUUGCUGCUUAUUAGCCGUACCUCGUAAGAAACCCCCAAUGACUCGUUCCAUGGUCACGGCAUUCCGAUUCUCCUGAUCAUGAACAGCAAGCGCGGGGUGCAGCGAUCGUAGUGUCAACAAGUUGACAAGUAGACGGCAGCAGAACAGGGGAAGGAAGAACAGAGCACAAGGCAAAACAGAACAAAUGUGCGCACGUUGGGCCUCGCGCUUGUCCGAACAGCAGAUUCGUAUACACUCCUAGAUAGACUACGUAACAGUUUGUACCACGACUUUCGGAAAUCGAAUUUGCCACCUAGACAGUCAAAACCCGAUCAUAAUGUCAGAAGCGGUCAAGCAUUCCCGGCGGCGGCGGAUCCCCGGAAGCAGGCCGUCGGCGACCGCGGCGUAGAGGGCGGCCUUCCCCGCGGCGCGGCGUGCGCCGGGCUUGCGGGAGACCCACAGCCCGGCCCAGGCCGCCAGCAUCCUGGGUCGUCGUUGCUGCCGGCCGUGGGCAAAGUGGUGGUAGCUUGAAGAGCUGGCUGGCUGGCUGGCUUCAGGAGAGUGCGGAAGUGUGGAACAGGGCGAAGGAACAAGCUGGCGAGCUACAUCGGGCACACGACUUGCGCUCACUCCAGCUCAAUGCCGGGCUAUUUAUACGAGCUCGGCUCGUGCACUGCACAGCAGAUCGAUCGGAUCGGAUCGAUCUACAAUGACGUUGACACUUGAUGCUCGGCACUCGGCAGUGUCCUAUGAGAGAAGCUCAGUGCCCAGAAUAAAAAUGGGUUCCCCUGUGUACUAGUACUAGUACUAGUAACAGUGUGUCCUUCUGGUGCCGAGUUGCUGCCGAGCUCGGUGCAAUGAAAAUGGAGAAACGGACGAAAUCGGUGCUCGGUGUCAGUGUGCCACCCAACUACCCCAAGCCACCCAAGUUUUUGCCCGCUCGCCGUGCCUGCCCGCGCGGCCGCCGGCACCCACGGCCGCUGCCAGUCGUCGCCGCUCGGCCGCGUGGUCCCCGUCGUAGGUCCUCCUUCGAAAAUAAAGCAGAAGAGAAAAAAAAUCGUCAAAUUCGGUGAUAACACACAUGAUUACGUGAUGCACAUAUGCGGUCCGGCCCAGUUACAUGACAGCCUUUCCAUUUCAACGACCCAAGAAGCCUUGCUGUAACUGGACUUGAUUUCCUUUCGCUUUGUGGGCCAUGAACCCCAGUAGGAGUCGGUUUUCUCGCUUCCUUGCGGUACUGACGAUCUAUCCCGACACACCACCUUACUGCUAUUUGCGUUAACCGAGGUGAUCUCAGCUUCGUUGUCCCUUGCCUUAACCAAGCUGAUCUCAGAUCAGCAGUGAAGAAGAUACAAGUCUGCUUUGAGUAGAGAAGCCCAAUCCAAAUCUUUCACCGGUGUCGCCCUGCGCAUUUGAACCGACCUCUCGAGGGCGCUCCCUAGGCUAUUCCGAAUGCAAGUUCUCAAUGGGAAAUUUUAUCUCGCAGUUUCUAAGAAUGACAUAUCAUUAAAACACUUUAUGUUGAUGAAUGAAACAAUACCCCCUGAUACAAAGUUUCAUUCACGAUUUUAAAGGAUGCCCAUAACAUUUAAUUACGAGGCAUGUGAUUGAAUAUGUCAGAUGAAAUGAAACUCUAUAACCCCCAAUGCAAGUUUCAACAGGUUUCAUAGUCUUGGAAACAGUGUAUACACAGUUUCACCUUGAUGAAACUCCUUCUCUCUCACUUCAUAACUAUCAUACCAUAUCAUCAGAUAAACUGAUGUGUCAUUGUAUUUAAUGUGCAUGAAACCUAUAUAAAACUCCCACUAGGAUUAGCCUGAGGGUUUCAAACUCAUUAAAUAACAUACCAUAUAGGUAAAAAUGGUGACAUGGCAUAAAAUUUAUGAAGAGGGAGGAGUUAGGUUUCAUAGAGAUAAAAUCUUGUGUACACGGUUACCUAGACUUUAAAACUAUGAUGAAACCACCGUUAAGAGUAAUUUGUUUCAUCUUCAAAACCCCCAUUAAAAGUAAUUUGUUUCAUAUUCAUAACUUUUAUCGAUCCUGUGUGGUCAUGAUUAUUGUGCCACUACUAAUAAUACAAUUACAAGUGGUUACAUAUUCAUAUCGCAUAUUUGAUCUUAACACUAUACAAUAAUUAAAUACUGACAUGAACUGUACAUUGAUCUCAGUACUAUACAAUAAUUAAAUACUAACAUGACGAGAGACUGUUUCAUUUAUCAAAUUAGAUUUUUGAAGAUGAUACGGGAACGGUGUAAUAGAACUCUCCAACGAGAAUGGCCUUAUCCGCGCCGCGAUAUUUUUGGCCAGGGACGGGGCACACGGAGGCGUCCUAUCCUAGCUGGACGCGUGACCAUGCGGACGUGGACGCCGCUUGGCCGUAGGUCGCGGUUCCCAGGCUUCGAGCGGCUGCACUGCAUGGCGGGCAAGUAGCAUCCGGCGCGGCCACGCUCGCGCUCGUGCGGCACCGCACAGCACCACCACAGAUGACACAAGGGACGAGGGCCGCGGGCCCCGCCUGGGCCGACUUUGGAGGAUAGGUACGCCCGCCGCGCGGCUUGGGCCACGCGUUGGUCCGGCUGUCGCGCAUGCCCCCAGCCCACCUCAUCAUCAGCCCACCUGCGCCCGCGGUUUCCUUCCUAAUCUGGAAGUUUUUACCACGUGAUAUCCCCAACAAGACAACAAUGUCCGAUAUAGUUGCAUCGCAGGAGGGGAGGAGCGCCGUAAAGAUCCCAUUGCCCAAAGGCCCGGCGCCACGGUCACUGAGCUGCGGGCCCACCGCCCCCCCCCCCCCCUCGGGAGUCGGCGCUGUCGGCCAACAACCCCCUUCCGCUGCGCCGCACCCGCUCUGCUCCCAGCGACGGCGCGAGAGGAGAUUGAUUGUGAUUGGCCGAGCACCGGAUUCCUACAGCAGGCGGGCGAUGCCACCUCGCGGCCGCAUGGAGCUGCGGCGGAUCGAGGACCGGGUGAGCCGGCAGGUGCGCUUCUCCAAGCGCCGCGCGGGGCUACUCAAGAAGGCCUUCGAGCUCUCGCUCCUCUGCGACGCCGAGGUCGCGCUCAUCAUCUUCUCCCCCGCCGGCAAGCUCCACGAGUACGCCUCCACCAGGUUACGGUUCCCUCUCCCCACCCCUUUGGGUGAAAUUACUCGCUAAGCACGAUGUCCGCCCGAAUCGCCCGAGCUGCUGUUGCCUUCGAUCCCGUUACGGACGGCGGCGGCGGCGGCGGCGGCGCGCCUGCGCGCUACCAUGCGCUCGAGACCGUCCCCCGAGUUGGGAUACCGCCUUGCAUUGCAUGGCCCUGUGCAUUUUAGGACUCAUGGCGCGGCACCUGUUCCGGAUCUUGUCUUGCUCUUCUCCAGGUCCGGCUGGGUGUGCUCUGCCACUGGCUUCAGAAUAGCCGGCAACAGCAGCGAACUCUGUCUCCUCUCGCCAUGCGCACGUGCUGAGCGUGCUCCGGUGCUCGUGAGCCGUUGGCACCAUUUAUUUGCACGGCGUCAUCAUCAUACUCCACAACCUACAUGGAAUUAGGUAGAGACAUAUUUUUCAAUUAGCUUUCCAGACACAAGAAUUUGGUGCAAGUACAACAAGAAAACUGCAUGUGAUGGUGAAGAUGUUGGUGAUGCUGAAGUUGCUUAGUUGUUAUGAGUAUAUAUCACCAUGAUGUAUUUUUAUUUGGUUGUAAUUUUGUAUUUUUAAGUGUAAACUUUUUUUUAGAUUGUUUAUCAUGUUGUCGAUACAUCAUAUACUAACUCAAACAAAUAUACCAGACUAUUGUUUGUAACUAGGAACUUCUAUUUACUUUUUCUAUGAUUGAAGUUAAUUAAUUCUAAUGGUUAAAUAUGAAUUAUUAGUAACUAUUCAAGACCACCGCAUAGAAAAGAGGAAACAGACAAUAAAAAUGAGUAUAAAAAACAUCAAGAUAAUGAUAGCAAAAGAUGCACCAACCUAAUAACGAGGGUACAAAAACAUAUUAUAACCAACAAUGAGAAACUUGAUAAAAUUGUAGUUACAUAUAUAUUAUAUUACUCCAUAGUUAUGCAUUCAUCACUUUUGUCUGUUUUCACUUGGUACGCAUAUUUUGUUGGUGGCAUGCCGCCAUUAAUCACUUGCAUCUACAGUAAGCCAAUUAAUAAUUUUAGUUAACGUGUUAGUUGAACAAACAUUUUUAUAAUCCUGGACCCCGUGUGAAAGAUAAAACCCAAGUUCAAAUUUUGUCAUGAUAUAAUAUAAUUUUCUAUUAUGCAAAAUAUAAUUUUAAAAUUAUUAUAUUUUUAUCAAAAAAAUGAAUGAUAAAUUAUAACCGCAUGAAACAAAUAUAACGCUACAGGGGUUUACAACUGAUAUAAAUCUAGCACAUUUUAUGCUUUCUAUAGAUGAUAAAGGAUAAUAAAUGCUAUGAAAAGUUAACAUUUGGUGAAUCACUCUUUUGAUCACGCUCUCUUCUUCCACCUCUUAGCUAAAAGUCAAAUCUACACACUUUAACUCUCCUUAGAUUUGUUGUCCAUAUGCAAAUUUUACUUGAGAAAGCUCCUUUCUUAUGCGGACAUGAUGCCCGAGAGCUCACAUGUGUAUUUGCUCAUAUUUACUUCGACUUUUUUUCUCUGGAUGCAUCAACAGGGGGCUCCUUUUUUGUUGUCCGAAAACUCAUCGUUGGAGGUUAUUCCUAGAUUAUGUAUAUACUUGACUUACCCCGGCCCAUAUGUUUGAUGCGCUCUCGUAGUCAGCAACCUCAAGUGGCUACGAGCAAGGGGCAACACCUAGGCUAGGAACAAUUCUACAUGUAGUAAAAGAGGAAGAAAAAACAGAAAAAAGGAAAAUAGAGAGAUGAGAGGGAAAAAAAAUGGCAGGGUCUUCACUUAUAAACACAUAGCAGUAAAAAUAACAUCAAGUCCUCCUGUAUAGUACCAUGUGCAUUAGCUGGACCACUCUAACCUUAAUAAAAGCCUUUCAGCAUGUAAGGUAAGCUAUGCCCACCUAAACAUUAUCACAUCAGCUAGCACAUCAUGACGUCACUACUUUCUCAUCCUUCCCCCAAUUCUUCUUCCUUCCUUUUUUUUCCUUGGCAAUUUGGUGUUUCCGUUUUCCCCUCUCUAGCCAGUUUGCGUCCCUCUCUGCAAUUUGGUGUUUCCUUUUUUCCCUCAAUUUGGUGUUUCCUUUUUUCCCUCUCUAGCCAGUUUGCGUCUUGGCAAUUUGGUGUUUCCUUUUUUCCCUCUCUAGCCAGUUUGCGUCCCUCUCUAGCCAGUUUGCGUAAAGGCACGAUGAUGAUUUGAGAGCAUGAUUGUAAUUAUCUUUAAUUGAAGUUGGAAUAACAUCGAGUCCUCUUGUAUAGUACCAUGUGCAUUAGCUGGGCCACUCUAACCUUAAAAAAGCCUUCAGCAUGUAAGGCAAAGCUAUGCCCACCUAAACAUUAGCAUGAUUUCUCGUCAUUCCCCCAAUUCUUCUUCCUUCCUUUUUUUUCCAUGGCAGUUUGGUGUUUCCUUUUUCCCCUUUUUUCCCCUCUCUAGCCAGUUGCGUAAAGGCACGAUGAUGGUUUGAGGGCAUGAUUAUAAUUAUCUUUUAAUUGGAGUUGGAGUUGGAGUUGGAGUUAGAGCCUGUGGAAGAAGUUUUGCGAAAAUGCUAAAUCCAAUUAGUAGAGAGAUGGCGCAAAAGCCUAAUCAAGCACCUAGUUCCUGAUUUCUCUACUAAUUUUUGGCUCACAAGAAAACCUAGACGGUCUAGGUGGAUGGCUUGAUAAUAAGGGCUCUUCCAAGAGUGUCCGCCAACUUAGCUAGCUAUAUAAUGUGCUAACAUCGGCAAUUUUGUACUUACUGUCAGAAAUAAUGAAUGCAACGAGAAAAGACUUAGUUAUUCCAAUAUGCAUGGAGCAUUUAGCAUUCCUAUUACAUUUGAACCCAUAUCACUAGAUAUGGCUUAUUUUCAAAAUUAUAGUAAUUGAAACACAUAAUAGAUUUCUCCGUGUUCUGAUUCAAGGGAGGAAAAGGCAAAUAAAUUCAAAUGAGAAGAAAUUUGUUAACAGAAGUUUUCCUAGAUCUUUCCAUUAUUAGUGUAUUUGUUUGAUAGGACAUUGCAUUGAAUAUGGACAUCCAUAACUAACUACCAGCUCCUCUUUUAUUCAACAAACUAAACAGGAUGAAUGGAAAAAAAUAUAUUACAGCUAGAUUUUUAUAUUUUUCUGUGAUCAUGAAACUAGAAAUGGAAACUCUUGAGCUUCCAGAGUAAUGCAAAACCUUUAUGAGAACUAAAUAGAUUAGAAUAGUACUUUUGUAGAAUAAUGAAACUCUAAAGAAUCAGUGUGGAACGUGAUGGAUCAUGGCAUGGUUAUUUGAUGCGUCAAAUUCUGACUUGAAAUUUGAAAUGUAUCAGGAGAGGGUAUAUAUUGUAAUAAGGUGUAUUCCUCCAAUGAAACUAGCUGCAAUUAUGCUUCAUUAGGUGAACAUAAACUGAUAUUCCAAGAGGUCAUUAUGCAUUGAGCUAAUAUGUUAUCCCUUUUCUGUUUUCCCCUUUUCAGCAUAGAAGAUACAUAUAACCGCUAUAAGCAAUUUUCUGGAGCAGGAAAAACUGAGGAUGGAGAUCGAAAUAUAAACAAUGUAAAGACCUCACUAUAUCGCUCUUCCAAUGCAUAGCUCGCCGCCUACAGCUGCACAAAUUUGGAUUAUAUAUACAGAAAUCAUCAGUCUUUACAUGAUGUGACACUUCCGGUUGCCAGCACCAAACACAUGCUCGGUUUGCAGUAUACAUAAUGUUCUGUUUGUACAGUCUAUGCAAAUGCAAAAUAAAAGAAAUAAAAAUGCUGAACUUAGCUGACGAGGGUGUGUUUUUGGUUCAGAACAAGGAUGGAGCUUCUUCAGAUUUGCAGUCGACGCUUAGCGAGAUUGCAACCUGGUAUUACACUAGGAUAUCACAAUUUCUACUGACUCUACUUUUUUGUUAAUGAUAAAAUGAUAAUAAUUGCAUCAAACCAGCAGGUCUUCCAAGAGCAAUGCUGACGAUUCAGAUGCCAAUGACCUAGAGAAGCUGGAAAAUCUUCUGAGAAAUGCUUUGAGGGAUACAAGAUCCAGGAAGGUACGAGAUCAAAGCGGAACUGUUUUCUUGAUGCCAUCUUUGAGCCUUAGUAUGUUAAGAGAGUCCAAAUUGUGGUGAUUUUGGUAGCUAAUUCAGCAUCUCACAGCUUUGGCGAUAUAAAUAAAAUAAUGACGCAGCUCCCAGUUGUUUUGGUAUUUUUCUUUUGACUCAAGCUGGGCCGUUCAACGAGACACAUACUUUCCCUGAUGAUUUUUUAACAUUAAUAAUUUUCCAUUAUAUUCAAUGGAUAUUGCUAACUUCAGGUAGCGUAUGGUUUGAUGAAGCUUCAUUUGUUCACUGAUAUUUAGUAAGACAAGGGAAAAUAGACACGAAUGCAUUUCAAACUAUGUGUAGUGGUUCUUAAUUUUGGUUACUGAUAAUCUGAUAAUGAAGAAUGCAGGGAACCACGUUCCUUUGAAUGUUGCUAAUUGUUGUUUUCUUUAAAGUGUGGCCUACCUCAGCACCAUGACUGUAAAUGCUAGUUUUCCUGGAAAUAGCAUUGGAUUGGAAUGGGCAACACUGUACUGUUAGACAUGAUGCUACUGUACAAGCGUGAGCAAUCUAACCUCUUCAGUGCAGAAAUGUGAGGCCUUGCAUGAAAACCCUCGUCAGAAACUCGAUCUGUUGGGAACAAAAUGUGUAGAAAACUAGGAACCAUCUUCUACCUGUUCUUUGUGAAUAAAUUUUCAGUGAUACCUUUUUUCUUUUUGAAACGAAAUUUCAGUGAUACUUUUGGUGUGAAUGAGACAACAGGUGGGUUAUGCUGCUUUACCUGUUCUUUGUGAAUAAAUUUUCUGUGAUACCUUUUUUUUUGAAACGAAAAUUCAGUGAUACUUUUGGUGUGAAUGAGACAGCAGGUGGGUUAUACUGCUUUACUGGAUUAGCACUGGCAAUGAGCUAUCCGUGAGCUUUUGUGAACUUGAUGGUGUGGCCUGCUGCCUGAAAUGAUCAGUCAGAUAAACCACAGGAUAUAUAUUCGUCAUUCUGAAUAAAUUGAUAAAGCAAUUAAGACACUGAUGACAUGCUAAUUUCUGCUUUGGUAUGGUGAUCAGAUGCAGAUGUUGGCGAAACAAAACAGCGGAGCGAGUACCAGUGGCCAGAAAUGUAAUGGAACUACAAGUGAGGAGCAAGGAACGCCGUGAGCACGGAAGCAGGGUGCAUCUGGUGAACGAAACGGGGCGUGCACGUAUGGUGCUCCCCCUUGGGAUCAAUACUUACUGAUUGUGGCUUUUGUAAGACUGUAUGAUGCUCUGCAACUGCAAGCUUGGAUCUGCCAAACUGUAGCGUCCCUUGAGGGGAUUGUAGUACCAUGCUCCCCUGGUCUGUUGCGAUACGCAGCCUACCUAUAAUGACAAAAAGUUUGGUGCUGUAACUGAUCAGAAUGAAUGCUUGACAGAUCUGAAUGCAGUAGGCAGUUGGUAGUUCGAUCUAGCAAGCUGAUGGUUUUGAUUUAGCAGGUGCAAGUUAAUAGUUCUUGAGGUCUGUUUAUGGCAUCAAUAAUAAUUGGAAUUCUAUUUUGAAAAUACAUAUUGGAAUUUUACCAAGGUUUGUGUUGCUGUUAGGUAAUCUAGUUUAUUUUUGGUUUAUCAGAUAAUUUGUUUUUCUCCAUGUAAGUCGGAGCUGCUCAUCCUGUUGGAGCAGACCGAGUCUUUCGCUCUCGCCACGCUGCGUCGUGAGGCAGAGCGCGUCUAGCGUCGUGUGCAUCGGCCGUGGGAUGGCACGGUCACGUUCCGGCAGAAUAGCUGCCGUGAUCUUCCUUGAGGUAGUUUAAAUACCAAUCAAAUAAACAGAAAACGCUGCUGGUUCUUUCUGCAGCACCAAAACGAUCUUGUGCUGGUGAGUUUGAGUGCACGAGUUCUAGAUAACAGUUGCCACCAUAGCCUUGGCAUGAGAUGUCUGUGCUGAACUGCUGAUGCAUUGCAUACCUGUGUUGGAGGAGCUCUUGUGCGUGCGUGGCUGGACACGUGGACGUUGGGCUGGGCCGGCUUGCUGUUUGAGUGUUUGGUGCUCAUUGGCCAUAUUCUGGUCUUGUACAGAUUCUCUAUAUGAUGACUGCAGAUUGCGUCUAAUUAAAACAAAGAUGAUCUCGCAAGAACUGAGGAACCUAUCGCUGUUUCUGACGGGGAACCAGAUGCGAUGUGCUCGUGUAAACUUAGGCAGCAAAAGCAUAUACCCUGCGGGCUGCAAAUAUUUUUUUUGUACUAGGAGAAUAAUAAAGAUCUGGAUUGUGCUUGCGCAAACCUGGAGAUGAAUCGUCUCGGAGGAGGAGAAAUUGCGGUUGGGGAUUUCGAAGAACCUCGCUCACCUAAGCCUGCAAACUCGCCAUCAACCCGCAAGGAGCGCUCGUCGGGAAGCGGCCGGCGGCGGCGACGCGCGCGCCUGCAGCACGCGGCAGAGCGAGCCGUCGAUCGAUCGGCGGAGCCCACGGCCACGGGAGCGAUGGAGCCGCCGGUCCAUUUGUAUGUGGGCGGGGGGCGGCGAGUGGUGGCCCGGCCCAACGAGUUGCGGGGCGACACCUCACGGGGCCGAUGGACGCGACGCGACUCGAUGCCCCCGGCGCUUUCUCGUGUCCGCCAGGUGCCGUCGCGUGCUUUUGGCGCCACCGUUCGUUCUGGAGAAAAAUUCUGUGCGCGCGACACCGCCCAGAUGCCCGACACGCGUCCCCAAGGCCUCAUCCGUCUGCUCCUUCCGCCGAUCUGCAGAGCCGAGGCCUGCGAUCAAGCCGCCGUAAUCAUCGUCGAGUUGGAGAAUUCUGCCGCCGCACAAUUGGAUUUCCUAGUUUUGCAUUGUGUCUGCUUCCAUCGCUGGAGGAUUCUACCGCCGGGCAAUUAAACGCAGCCGCGAUGGGACUUGGGACUAUGAUCCAUAUCCUCUGCCAUCAACUCCCACGGCCGAGCUUGAUACCGUCGCCGUGAUUGCAUCCAUAUAUACGAUGAUUGAAGCCAUGGCACCUCAGGAUUGCUGGCCUGCUGGUUUGUUGCAGCUUGCCAUUCACACGCCGAUCUGCCGCUCGCGGACGAGCGCUGUGCCGCACUGCUCAACGACACCGACACGUUAUCUCUCCUCCUUCGCCGCUCCACUACUGUAAAUCCAGUUGGUAAGCCACAUGGUUUCCGAAGGACCAACCGGGAUUAGAUAAAGUGGUCCCCUCUUUAGUCCUAGGUCAUUCAAUCAGGAAUAAAGAUCACUUUUAGUCCCAGUUAGUAUUACCAACCGGGAUUCAAAAGUACGUUUUGUCCCGGUUGAAGCCACCAACCAUGACUAAAGGCCCCUCUUUAGUCCCGGUUGGAAUUAACAAUCGGGACUAAAGAUUUAGUCUUGGUUGGUAAUUCCAACCCGGAUUAGAGGGGGGAGCCUUUAGUCCCGGUUGGUGUUUCCAAUCGGGACAAAACCUCCCCGUUCCACUAUCGUUCUAACCGGGACUAAACCUCCCCCCUUCGCUGGCUCAUUUUUAACCCGAGACUAAAGGCACUAUAGUCCCGGGUCCAAAGUCAGCUGGGACAAAAAGGGUUGGAUGGAAGGUGAAUUCUCUAGUAGUGCUCGCUCGCUCGAACAACCUCGAUGCUUGCUAACGUUGCCGCUAUUGCUCGCUCCUCGCCCUUCUUGCUACCUGCGGCGCCUCCAUUUGAUCCAAACUGGCCCUUAGUUUUAUUAACAACCGCCACGACUUCAUCGACGACCGCCACGGCUUCAUCGAUAAUCGUCCAGUCACUUUUUUAAUAAUUAUUUUUCUCUAGCUUAUUUUCAGCGUGGUUGGCCAAUGCGCCGACUACUUAUUUGUACUUAUUUGUGUACGUCUCUCGACGGGAAUUACCUUCAGAGCUACACUUCGCCGAUUACUCUUGGGGUACGUUGACCACCACCACAGGCUUGGUACACCGAAUUACGGAGGCUAUAGCCACGAGUUUGGUGUAUUGAGUGCUGGAGAUUCACACCGGCUACACCCUAAGGAGGCACAAAUCAUGUGCGCGGCAACACACGUUCUCCUCGCCAAAAGGUAGAAAAGUCUCAAUGACUACUUUACGCGCAAUUGCGCAGUUUUUUUUGCAACAACAACUAUUUAUUUUCAAUGUCUCCUCUUAGCAGUCGCUAAUCUACUCGAGCAGAACACGUCUUAAUCUAUGAAAGUCUUGGAUCUUCUGUCAUACCUAAUCGCUAGGACGCAUACACGAGACAAAGAUCUUAGACACAUAGCAGUAGUGCCAAUACGCGUACACAAGGUAAAAAUCUCACACGUAGUGGCAACGGCUAAACACGGAUUGAGAGCCUAAACGAACAGGCUAACUACUCGGGAGAAAUAUGACCGAAACAAGAGCAUGAUAAAUAACAUUUACAUUUCAUCACUAAAUAAUUUCAGUAGUUCUAAAUUUUUACAUUAUGCUACAUAAUGUUUACGUCUCUAGGUCAAGCUUCGGCAAUGACUCUUCAAGAUGCUCAGCGUACCCAAAAUGGCUCCGCUAGCUCUCAGGCUCGGGGACUAAGCGCCAAUUACUACUCGAAAUAUCUACGAUCACCGGCGACCGGCGUUGCUCCAGCAUCCACGACAUCAUUAGCGUCACAACGGGGGAGGUCGCGGUGGCCGGCACCCCGAUCACCGGCGGGCCCGCCACCGCAGGAGUGAUGCUGAUCGGACCCGCGGGCAUAAAGCACCACCACUCGGCCCUGCCGAUGGGCAUGUACGGGCACGCGCCCAUGGGCCACCCCGUCGCCGGGCACACGGCGGCGGGCCACGGGCGGCGGCGCGACACUGGCGCCGGACGAGGUGGGCCACAGGCUCGGUGUGACACUGGGCGCCGGACGAAUCGCCAGGGCGCACGGGCGUGGUGGGGGUGGGACACGGACUCGCGAUGGAAGAGCAGGGGAAACGGAUGGACGCCUGAGGAUUCAGAAAGGUGGCCGGCGGGGAGGCUUAAGUGCAAAAUAAUUUCACCUCUAAUCCUAUCCAUUGGAUUAGCAUCAGGUGACCCAGGUUGCACGGUUCCCUUUUUUACGUCGUCCAUUCAUAUUUUUGCCUGAAUAAAUUCUGAUUUCGUGAAGAAAAAAAUUAUGCCCACGGUGAUUUCGUCUAGAUAAGAAAAAUGGUGUCCUGAGAACAUAGAAAUCACAGUGCCCAGUCAGGGAACCAGCAUGAUGCCAUGCGUGUAAUAAACUGUAAGGCAAAUCAGCAAAUCCGUAACCCCGGGGUCACCGGAUACAGAUUAUUCAGUAAGAAGAAGAACAAAGAACUGGAUGCAUUUGUCUUUUGCAUCGACGUCGUAACCUAAAGAUGGUCCGGAGGAGAGAGGUUGGGGGGAAUCGAUCGAGAAGAACCUCGCUCUUGACUCACCUGGCUGGCCUGCUCACAACCCGCCUUUCAACCGCAGGAGCGAUCAGAUCGCGGUCCUGGGCUCCUGACCGAAACCGGUGCCGCCGCCGUGAAGCGCGCUGCCGGGCUGCGGACCGGAAGAAACCCGCCGCCGCGUCGUCAAGACGCGGCGGGCGGCAACGCACCCUGCAUCCGGCGCCGGAGAGCCGACCGAACCCCGCCGCGGCGGCGGCGGCCGCCACGGGACAGCACGAGCCAGCCAGGUGCGUGCACGCGCGCGAGCGGAGCGGCUCGUGAGGCGACACCGAUGAACGAGGGGCCCUCAUCGUUGGGCCCGCGUCUCGACGGGUGUCGCGCGCGUCCCCACGUUCCGCUCGCGCUCGGGCCGGGGGGAUGCCGCGCCUUUGGCUUCCCUCCUUCCCUCUUGCCACGUUAGCUUGUAUGUCGAUACCUAGGAGUAUACGUACGAGCGUCACACGUAGGAGUAUGUCGAUAGGAUAGCAUAAAUUCAGUCAACCCUAUAUAUUAAUUUAACUUAUCACUAUUAUUUUUCAAACAACUUACGACUAACAGUCAACCUUAUAUAUUAAUAAUACGAUUUUUUCGAAGCACACGCUAUAGACGCGGAUGCCUGCAUAAACUACUCACACAUAGGAAUACACACGCGACACUAUCACUAUGAGCAUCUCCGAAGACUCGAAUAUGCCUAUGAGUAUCUCUGAAGACUCGAAUCCAGAUGGAUAGGUUAUACCAAGAGAGAAAAAAUAUAUAACCUGAGCUUAGCACCGGAGUUCACGUGACUAAACUGAAACACAUAAAAAUAGAGCAUCACGUAUCUAAAACCCGUAAUGUAACAAAAUAGAGUAAUUCUCACAUGUCUAGAAACGUAGAUCGAUGAAAUAGAAUUCAACCACGUUAUCACCAAAUAUAAAAUAAUUAUGUGUUAGUAAGUUCAUUUACCACAUUACAAGUAUAGGUAAUGCAAUGCACCGGCCCAGUCACUGCUUUGAUUUGUAAAAAGUGCAAAUAGAGGGAAAAUAAACUCAAGGUUCAGUCUUCACAAAACUACAAUGUGAAUCAACUUCCCAGAACUAAACAUAUAUUGCCACACUAUAUUGCAAAACUACAUAUUUUUUGUCAUUCUAUAUCACAAAUUCCCCAUAGGAUGUAUUAGAAUUAUGCUAUCCUAGGGCACGGCUGUGAACUGUUUCAAGCCAUGGAAAGAGUGUAGUUUUGUUAUGUAAGAAUGAGCACAGAUUUGUAGUUUUCAUGACAUGAACUGACAAUAGAAGAGUACUUCUUUUGGGAAUAAAAAAAGUGUAGUUUUGUGGUACUGGUUUUAAAAGGUGUAAUUUUGCAACCGUUUCUACAACCAAAUUUAUGAUUUAUUUUUUUCACGAUGGUGCCUUAGCACAUUUUUCAUUAUAUUAAGAGGAAGAAACUUUAUUAUUUAGAGUAAGUUUAUAUGAAACUUACUCUAAAUUUAAGUUGGAAAUAAGCAUAAAACAAAUCAUUUCGUGUCAACUGUUAUAUAAAUAGACUAAUUUAGCUUAUAAAUAAAACGGAGCAUUAAACCCUGUAUGACAACAGAUGUCAUCAAUAUAAUUCACACGCGUGAAAUAGCACUAACGGUUCAGCAAUAGCAUGAAAAUCUAUGUAAUUAUUGUUCAACUGGUGAAAGGCUAAUAAAUCGCUGUAAGGUUCUUAGUUCAUGUGCUAUAUAGUCCUAGUAUGGUUUUACUGUUUUACCGAGCUACAAUACGUCCUAUUAUUCCUAGGGCAAAAUAUUCCUAGCUAGUAGGAGAGCAUACCGUGGACACUCCUCGUUUUAGCCUACUGCUCAUGUGAGUGACGCGUCCUUGAUUCUUGCAUUGGAGCCGGCUCGGCCUAGCCAGUACGCCUAAGCUAGUUUUAGAUCUGUUAUUCCUAGACUCAGAGACAGACAAAGACUGUAUGUUGCAAGGAAAGUUCAUGCUGCCAGUCCUGAAACAGUGACUCGAUCGAUGUUUUUGAGUAGGGAAUCGUUCACCACCUCGGUCGUUGGAGGAUACGCAAAAUCGACAAGAGAAGAUUUUGCACGGAUACGUGCGCAUCUAGUGAGAAUAUCGGCUGGACAGUGCAUGGUCCAUAUUGACUUUGACCUGGCUUUAUUUAACUUAUAUAUAAUAUAGGAAACCGACCGAUCCGUUUCAUUAGGGCUUGUCUGUUUUCUUUUAUAAGUUUAUGCUACUUCCUAUGUUUCGAAUUAGUUGUCCUUUAAAAUUUAUUCUAAGUCAUGUUUUUUUUAUUUUUAACCGUGAGUUAUUAGAAAUUCGUAUAAUUUAGUAACAAAUACCAACUAUAUAUUAUGAAAGUAUUUUUCAUGACGAAUUGAAAAACAUAAAUCUACAGUUAUUAGUUAUUAGUUUAUUACAUGAAGUUUCAUGUUGCUCCCUCCGUUUCAAAAUGUAGGUUGUUUUAACGAUUUUAGGUAUAUAGACUUUGUUACGUAUCUAAACAUAACCCUAUACUUAGGUGCAUAACAAAAUCUAUAUGUCUAGAAAAUCCAAAACGACCUCCAUUUUGGAACGGAGAAAGUAUUUCUUAGCCGUGAACGGUGAGUGCUAAUUUACUCAUGGAGUAUCAUUCUUUAAAAUCUCUCAAAAAAGUAUCAUUCUUUAAGAAAACAUAUAUAUACCGUACCUAAGGUAAGCGAAAAAAAACUUAUAACUUAAUUUAGGUCAUAUUUCAAUCCGUUAGUUAACAGCUAAAAAUAUCUAUUGUGGAUUCAAUCUACGAGGAUCCAAUUGAGAUCUGAAUGCAGCAGCAAAUCAAUCUGGGACCAUGCAUUUUGCUGUCACGCGACACGGUCGUUCUCUCCUGCAGUACAUGUAGCUACAAAGUAGGCCAUACACUGUGCCAACUGCAGAACGGAGAUACUGUACGUGAUCCAAGGACCAAGGAGACAGUGUGGAUUUGCGUGGAUCUCGAAUAUCUGACAUGCGAAUCUGGAAAACGAAGCUUGCUUGACUACAUCUCUUGCAGAAAGAACUACAACGUACUGCCUCCGUCCGGGAAAGGAUGCAGAUCCUUACUGUCUCUGUCUCCCAUGUCUGUCUCCCGCUGUCUCCCAAGCGCACUACGUAAGUGGAUCAAGACCUUCACUCUCUCACCCUGGGUCACACCGCUCUUGUUGCAGCCCCUGACACGUCUCUGUUCAGAUUUUUUAACCCCAGCAGGUCGCACAACAGCUAGCCUGCAGCCCUACCUAGAUCUAAAAUUGCAUCCUUUGUUGGACACGACCCUGUUCCUAAAAUUACAUCCUUUGUUGGAUGUCCGGAGGGAGUACUAUUGAGACGACGAUGUCAGACACUGUGCCAAGAUUCACCACGCACAUCGACAACCAUCACUCUCUGUGAUUUGCUUAACCAGAACUUGUACCGUGCAUGAGUGCACAUCUGGGAGUGAUCCCCUCGCGCGGCCUCGGUUAUUAUCACUUCCGAUUAUAAACCGGAAGCCAAAGAGUUAUAUUCUCCCGUGCCACAAACCAGUUGUGAUAACGGCAUGUAACCAUCUAUCACACACUACUGGUUAUUACAAAAAGAAAAACAAGAGUAUUGUGCCUUUUUCCCAUAAAAGGUCUCCACUGUCCCUCUAAAGCCCAACAAAUUUAAGUUCUUCAAAAAUGAGUAAGUUAUUGUUUUGUCCAAAAUGACUUGCCACUUCGGAUAUCUUACAUUUUUACUUUUGUCGAAGCAAAGAGGAUCGUGUAACUAUUGGACCUGUUCGCUUCAGCUUAUUCAGUCGGCUUAUCAGUCACCAAACAGUGUUUUUCUCUCACAACAAAUCAGCCGUUUCAGCUUUUCAGCCGGCUUAUAAGUUGAAGCGAACAGGUCCAAUUAUUUUAGGCAGCCGCACCAUGUAGCUACAUUGCUUGCAUCAAGCAACAGCAAAACCAAACACCUACCAGUGAUCAUCGUUGGGUUCGCCGUCUCCCAUGCAUCUGGCCGGAUCACCACCAGCCCGAUUCUGACGCAAAAGUCAGCACGCGCGUGUACGUACGACUACGACGUGGAUGCAUGAUGAUGCCCACCAGUCACAUCAUAUUUAUCUCCUCGUCGAUCUUGUUUACUUUGCCACGUAUAGUCCCAUAUCUGGACGCGAUCCGUUGUUGACUGACCCACCUAGUAGCAGAAGCUAGGUUUGUGAAUUACACCGUCAUGCAUCCCUCGCUCUCUAAUCUGUCUCUGUACUGCCGGAGCCUGCAUUGCUUCAUGCACUGAUUGGGAACUGACCUUACAUUCCAAGUGUUUUUUUCCAGUUGAUUUGGACUCAGCACUAAAGUACCUUUAGGUUCAGAUCAAAAAUAAGACACCAAAGGCCACCCACGGGAGAGGCUUUAGUCCCAGUUCUACAGAUCAAUCGGAACUAAAGCCCCAUUUUAAUCUCGGUUGUAACGGAUUAAAAAAUCUCGUACCGACACCCUCCCUCUGGUUCCGGUUGGAAAUUCCAACCGGGACAAAACCCCCCCUUUUAUCCCGGUUGGUAAUUCCAACCGGGACUAAAUCUUUUAUCCCGGUCGGAUAGACCAACCGGGACAAAAGGAGGCCUUUAGUCCUGAUUGGUGGCUCCAACCGGGACAAAACGUCAUUCCCAUGCGCAGCACUCCUCUCCCUUCCUUCCUUUAAUUUAUCUCGUAAAGCACUCUCCUUAUCCACCGGCGCCUCCCCUCCUUAUCUUCUUCCUCUCCUCAUCCUCUCCACCGGCCCCUCCCCUCCUCCGUCUCCUCAUCCUCUCCUCCCUCUCUGCGCGGGCAGGCGGGCGGGCAGUCAGCGCAUGCGGCGCGGGCGAGGGUGAAGUAGAGGUGGGCCAAGGUGGAGCAGAGGUGGGUGGUGGUGGGCGGCCUGCCGGCCGGGGCGGUAGCCUUUUUUUUAUUUUUUUUGGAAACUUUUUAGUCCCGGUUGGUAACACCAACCAGGACUAAAGGCUCCCUUUAGUCCCGAGUGGAUGAUCCGGAACUAAAAGAUCUUCCUUUAUCUCGAAUAAUUAGUCCCGGAUAGAGUUUUGAGAUCUUUAAUUCCUACAAACCAAGACUAAUACCGCGUUUUCCAGUAACGAUGCAUGGCGUCACGUAAACAAAUUAAACCUAGUAGAUAAGGAUCAUCCCCUCCUCCUUGCAUGUAUGUGCGUGAUAGAGAUGUACGUAAAAGCUUGCUGGGCAGGGCAUGCUCUUUUUUCUUCACGAGAAAGCGAUCGUGCGUGCAAAGGGAAGCUGCAUGCCAGGGCUGAGGGCUCUGAACUGAAUCCCUGCCGGGAUUACAAGCAUGGACGGAUGGACCACCAUCCGAUUAUUCACUAUUAGAAAUAUGAGCAUUAAUUCUUGGUCUUAGUACCAGUUGUAUUUUGACCCGAUACUAAUGGUAGUAUUAGUACCGGGUUCAAAUUUGUGGGGGAGAGGGGUGGAGGCCUUUUAGUACCAGGUCAUGACUCUACCCUGUACUCACCCGGUACUAAAAAUAACCCAUUUAGUACUGGGUAGUGUUAUGACCCGGUACUAAAGGUCCUGAAACUUUUAGUACCAUGUCAUAACACCAUCCGGUACUAAAGGGUCACUUUUAGUACUGGGUGGUGCUAUGACAUGGUACUAAAGGUCUCUCCACGGGUUACUUCCAAAGGAAAGCAUAUCUACCUCCAUCAUAUGUGAUGUGUAGGUGAGAUGGUAAGGAAGGCUCGCGCGAGAUUUGAGGUCGUGGGUUUGAAUCUCACGGAGGGCACACGCGCAUAUUAUGCGUGAAAAUUACGUGACUGGUGACUUGGGGCGAUGCACGUGUGUGGGCGUCUGAGUACCUUUUAGUACCGGUUAUUUGACCCAACUAAAGGAUCCCUUUCAGUACUGACAUAGCAGUACCGGUUAUACAACCCGUACCGAAGGAGGUUAGGGACCGGUAAAAAUGGUCACUUCCCCAGUAGAUCAAUAUAGAAUCAUUUCUCUCCGAAUUUUUUUUUGGCACUACUUCUAGAUUUAGCCUAGAAGCUAAUGUAAGAAGUAGAAACUACCUUAGCAAUUGGUCUGUGUGAUACAUAAACACUUAUCCACGUGCUACGUACUAGCUUGAUGGGAAUGCGACGGGGCAACUCUGCAUAGACUGAGCGAACAUCCAUUAGUGUCCGUAGCACUUCUGACUUCUUUCUUUUGGUUGUAGACGCUACCAAAUUUAACUAGGCCACCACCAACGGUCAGAGAUAUAUAGUUCUCAACUCUAAAAAUAUACUUCCUCCGUUUCAAAUUGUAAAUCGUUUUGUUUUUUCUAGAUCAAUAGUUUUUUCUAUGCACUUAGAUAUAGUGCAUAUCUAGAUACAUAAUAAUAUUUAUGAAUUUAGAAAAGCUAAAUGAUCUAUAAUUUGGAAUAGAAAGAGUACAUGUCACUAUGAGAUAUUACUAAAUAAUCUAAUUGCUCCAACAGACUAAAACAUGCAUAUAGAGGAUGGCCAACAGUUCUAGUGCAUUACUCCCUUCGUUCGAAAUUGUAGGUCAUUUUGAUUUUUCUAGGUUUAUAGAUAUUAUUAUGCAUAUAGACAUACACUAUAUCUAAGUGCAAACUAUGUACCUAAAAAUUUAAAAUGAUCUACAAUUUGAAACAGAGGGAGCAGUUUAUAUUGGGGAAAGAUGAGUCUUGUAGUGCUUUUAUUUUCGCUAUAAUAACGCGCAUCCGACCGCACCUUUCCCUAAAACAGUCGCUGGCUUGUUGCUAGCUUUGCCUCCGGAGGGAAAUGAUCUUUUCUGUCAAGUGAUCGACUACUGUGUUCGGGAUUGUGUAUUGCUGCUCUCCUCGCCUCGUAACAGUACUGGCUGAGCAGUCAAAAGGCGAUGCCGUGGAGAGGGACACACGCCUGCAGCAGGCCCGUACGACGCAUGCCGUGUCAUCCCCGUUGAGCCCCGUACGUCGUCCCAGGUGCAAUUGUGCAAGUAAAGAAAGCAUCGUCGCAACCGGUGAAGGAACACACUAUACGACAGAAAGCAGUUUCGCCGUGGCUUCCUGUAGUACAUACACUCAUGUUUUCUUGCCUUUUGAUUUGGGACGACGACGAGCGAAUCGGUUGGCCGGGCACGCUUAUAAGAAGGGCGUGGGCGCGUGGUCAUCAUCUCGAUCUCAUGCACCAUUCCAAUCACUCAGCUUCACUCUUUGUUUUAAUCCCAAAACAACGCGACAUCAGUAAGUUGUUCAAGUCUUGAAGAUGACGACGCCCGUUGAUCGUGCUCCUGUACAGCAGCUACAGGCGGCGCCGGAGGCCGUCGGCGCCGCCGCGUCAAAGAGUACUCCUGCUGCGCGCUGGGUGCUCGGGCUUCUCACCGCAUGCACGGCCAUCGCCCUGGCCGUUAGCGGGCCGCCGCCGGGGCUCGACAAGCACGCCUACUUCCUCGCGCUGUCGGCAGCCUUCUUCGCCGGGGUAGCUGGCGUCAUGUCCGCCGUCUGGGUGUCCGACGACCCCAGCGGCCGCCGUGCCGCUGCGAGCAGCAGGCUCGUCGUCUACUCUUCCGUCGCGGCACUUGCCGUCGCUGUCGGCCUCUCGGUGGCCUCACUGCUGCUGUGGUGAGUUUGCAGGCCCCCUGCUGCUCUCUCUUCGAGGGGCCGGCAGGCAGGAAGCUGAAUAAUUCUUACGAUCAUGUCGGUGUCGUCGUCAGCUGCAUGCGUGGUUCAGGACGUAUGCACAAUGCAUGCAACUGCUGUUUCUAUGUCUGAAUUGUAUUGUUUCAUUAGUCGAGUGUUAGUAAGGUCGCACCACGACCAUCGUGUCGCCUCCGGCCACCGGACACUAGCUCGUCGUCCAUGUCGGCGCCAUUAAGAGCCUUCACACAAUCGCCCUGCUUACUGUGCAUUCGGGUGUAUUUGUAGUCGGUGUCGUCAUCGUCUACUACCAGGUCGUUGGAUAUUAAAAUGCAGUUUAUGCGCUUGUUUCGAGUCCUGGUGGUCGAGUAAGUCGAUAGAGUGUUUCUUCCUGUAUCAUAUAUCAUGUCGCUGUAUGUUAAGCCCGUGUAUGUCAUGCUGUGCAAGAAUGUAAUCAUGCAAGUCGUCUUGCGUUUUAUGUCUCGCAUAUUGCUUUUAUCUUGACGCAGCUCAGAGCUCACCAUCACAUUCUCCCACAAGGACGUAGAGGGAGAUGAUACGGUUUCGAAAUUAUUAACCAAUACAAAAAAAAAUGUUGGUUCAUCUCAUCAUUUUUUGGUCACCGUGUAAUUUUCUCACGUCCUGUGUCCCAAAACUAAAACUAGUGAGCCAGCAGGUAUAUACGGUGAAAAACAGAGCAAAAGGUAGGACAGAGACACAACAAGGUGCAGAACGAAAAAGUUGAGCACGGGCUUACGUACACCCCUUCUAAAAUUAUGAGAAAAAUCUCUUCUCUAUCUCUACAACUAGGAAAACAAAAGUGGCGAAUUUUGGUGAAGCCGUCGGGGCCUCUGACUGGGUCGUCUUCCGCAACAAUAAGCGCGCCAUUCGAUGUUAUUUUCGCGAUCCCCUAACUCCCGACGAAAGGCCCCACACGUCGUGAUGCAAGUUAAUUGCCCGCCGACCGCCCUCCGCUAGCCUCCGCUUUCUGAUCGCGGCCGCCCUCCGAUCGCCGCUUCUGGGAGCGCUUCUUCGCCGGCAACGAGGCCCGGUUCACCGUUUACUUCCACGCCGAUGCAACUGCAGCGCUGCGCCUGCCCUCCACGUCUCGUUCCGGACCCAAGCACAUGGAUGGAAAUAUAGAUGGAAUGGCACAUAAAUCAAAAUUCCGAAGCACUGAAGGGAUUUCUCAAAAUUUUGUGGUAUACAAGGAAGCCAUCAAAAUUUCUAUGACACUAACGGAAUUGGCUCUAAUUGAAAUCUAACUCAACAUUUCAUGUAAAUUGAUUCAACAUUUUUAUUCAAUUCAACAAUAGUUUGAAAUCUCAUUCAACAUUUCAUAUAAACUAAUCAACAUUUUAUGAUCAUUCAACAAUAUUGAAAUCUAACUCAACAUUUCAUAUAAAUUGUUUCAACAUUUUUUAUGUUGAAAUAUUAUACAAAAAUGUUGAAAUAGGGCAUUUUUGAAUGUUGAUUUAAAAAACAAAUAUAUCAACACUUUAUAAAAAUAUGUACCAACAUUUUUCUUUAACUUUUUUACAUUCAUCAACAUUAUUGCUCAACAAUUUUUUACACACACCAACUAUUUUUUUACAUCCAUCAACAUUUUUUGGCUCAACAUUUUUCUACGUUCACCAACUCUUUUUAAUAAGAAAAUGUUGAGAUAGUUCAUCUAAAAUGUUGAUUUUUAAAAAUACAACAAAAUAUAGACAUAUUGGAUCUCAUUUUAUAGAGUAUUAAUUCCAACAAAUAUUAUGGUUCAAUCGGAAUCCAGAACACAUUUACAGUUUGGGAGAAAAUGAGAUUAAAGUUUUGAAUCUCACUCAUCCACCACUAUGCAAAAGCAACUGUCCACCAACAUUUUUUUAACGUUCACCAACUCUUUUUAAUAAAAAAAAUGUUGAGAUAAUUCAUCUAAAAUGUUAAUUUUUAAAAAUACAACAAAACAUAGACAUAUUGGAUCUCAUUUUAUAGAGUAUUAAUUCCAACAAAUAUUAUGGUUCAAUCGGAAUCAUAUUUACGGUUUGGGAGAAAAUGAGAUUAAAGUUUCGAAUUUAAAAGGAAUCUCACUCAUCCACCACUGUUCAAAAGCAACUAACCAUGCAUGCAGCCACCCACCCAUGCAGACACAUAUCCAUAGCUCCACACGAAUCUCAAACAGUUGAAGACAAACCAAUAAUUUUUUCGGAAGAGGGAUAUCCCAGGUGCCGCUACUGUACCCCUGGGCUAGCUCACACAGAUAUAUCUAUAAUCUUUGCCUGUCAAAGCAAAUUAAGUAGCAUGUGGUGGGCUGGUGGCCUCGGCUGGGCCGUUGACAGAUUCCGCAAGGAUGUAUCCAUGGUGGGCCAUGGACCAUCCUUAAUGACUUUGGGCUGGCCCAAGGCCCACGGUAUUUUUUAGGUUUUUUAUUCAUGAUAUGCAAUGAGCCUACCUGUGAUCUCCAUUCAUAUCUUUUCCUGUCUUAUACGGCCUCUGUUACUUUGGUCGUUUAUUGUUUUCAUUAAACGAAGAGCCAUGCAAAGUACUAAAAAGGUGAAGUUUUUCUCUCAUUAUAAAAUGGAAAUAAAUAAAUAAAAUAAAUAAAAACUCCAUGUGUCAAGCGCAAGAAGGAAUGGCGCUAUCAUGCCACAUGUCAUGUCCCCGGUCGCAAAACGGGGAGUGGUCAAGCGUGUCAUCGUGUGGUUGCAAUAGUUGUGCCCAGCCCAUCUUUCGUCAGCUGAGGUCGGGGUUUGUCUGUGAGAGUCUGCCAAUGUCGAAAGAUACUCCCUGUACACGUGCAGCUAGCCCGACACGGUACAACAUCGCGCAGAAUGAAACCAGCAAUAACGUCGGGCCCAAAAGAAUCCAGUGAGCUAGUGGUCCCUGCGAUGGAGACAGACCCCGCUUUCAGUCUUCGCGACGACUUUUGUUGCACGGGACUUGAACAGGAAAAAGAGAACAGGGAGGCACCUAUGAUCUGCCGCGUCCAGUACCAGUAGGGUGUAAGAAAGCAUAAGAAUAAAAGCAAACGGAAAGGAAAGGGGAAGAAUUCAUCAUCAACUUUGAAUGAGAUUGGCAAGUUGAGGCCUGGUUCGGUUCGGAAAGGGGAAGAAUUCAUCAUCAACUUUGAAUGAGAUUGGCAAGUUGAGGCCUGGUUCGGUUCGGUUGCUUAUUUUUAAGCACCCGUCACAUCGAAUGUUUAGAUACUAAUUAGGAGUAUUAAACGUAAACUAUUUACAAAAUCCUUUAUAUAAGCGGAGGCUAAACGGCGAGACGAAUCUAUUAAGCCUAAUUAGUUCAUGAUUUGACAAUGUGUUGCUACAGUAAACAUUUGCUAAUGAUGGAUUAAUUAGGCUUAAUAGGUUCGUCUCGCCGUUUAGUCUCCACUUAUAUAAUGGGUUUUGUAAAUAGCCUACGUUUAAUAUUCCGAAUUAGUAUCUAAACAUUUGACGUGACACUUGCUAAAAAUAAGCAAAGAGAAGAGUCGACUUUGUUGCAGCGGACUUGAACAGGAAAAGGAAUUUUAAACAACCGCUUUCGGCGUCACCACGGUGAGGUAAGCUGGACAGGUACUUAUAAAUAUCCGGGUGCCUCCUCGUUCUGUUCAGUUGCCACUACUUGUUGCUUUGCGCCCAGCAAUUCCCCUCUUCCAAAAUCGCCUCGCUCGCAUCCUCCAUAAUCCCUGCUGCGUUACCAUGCCCACCUUCGAGCUCGACAACAGCAACAAUGGUGCUGCUGCAAUCGACAUAAAUACGACCGAGCUGUUCACCGAAGAUGCGAGGAGCGAGCUCGUCACCUCGAGCCAGCUUGCGCGGUCGCUGUUCUCCGUGGGAUUCAUCACGCUCGUCAUGGACGUAGCCACGGCGCUGUACAGGCCGCCUCGGGGAGUGGUCUUCCAGGGCCACAGGAUGGCUUACUACCUCACACUCGCCGGCAUAUUUGCCGCCGGGCUGGCCGAGGUGUCGACAGCCUUCUGGCUGUCCUGCUCCGGCCAAGAACACGGCCGCCGUCGCGCGUUUGCGAGGGCCGUCCUCUACGCCUCCGUUGCGCCCGUUGUAGUUAUUUUUGCACUUGGAGGUUCCACCGUCGUCACGAACGUUUAACUACACCUUGGAUCCAUAAGAUGCAUUUUACUGCAGUUUACCUACCAUAUUUGCCAUCUUAUUUUUCCCCUCACCAACCUACUCCCUCCGUCCUUUUUUAAGUGUCACUCGGGAAGCGUGACUGUGAGGGAAACACGGUUCCCGAGCGACACUUAAAAAAGGAUAGAGGGAGUAGAGGUGAUUAUUGCCGUUGCCUAGUCUAAGUUACAUGUGUUUGUAUCGUGAAUUGUUGUAUCGUGAAUUGUGAUGGGUGUGUGCAAUUGUAUAUCAGUUAUCCCUAAUAACAUAACACAAAUGAUUUUAGAUCUAAUAACAUAUUAACAUAAAUGAUUUUAGAUGAACCGACGGUGAUAGCCGGCUCUAAAGGAAAUGAGGCUGUAGAAGGUCAGAAAGCGACGAAAAAGUCCAUCACCCAUCGGCCCUCCCUCUCUCCUCACUCCGCCUGCCCUCUCCCUCUUCCGCUCGCCUCCCCUUCUCUCUCCCUCCCCUCUCUUGAUCCACUGCUCUCGGGCCAAAUCCCUUUGCCACCCCUCUCCUCCCCACCUCCGCUCGCCCCUCACCUCGUGUCUGUGGCGAGGAGCGGCGGCGGGGCGAGGAGUGGCCGCGGCCAGCAAGGAAAGGCGCGGCGGGAUGCGGCGAGGCUCCCUCUCCCUCCCUCACUCCCGGUACUGCGGCGGGGGCGACCGGGGCUCCGGCGACCGGAUCUAGCGUGGGAUGCGGAUGGGGUUCUUUUUUUAUUUUUUUAAUCAGCAUCACCGCCGGUUCAUGGUCCGGCGGUGAUACCUUUUCCGCCGAACCCAGCACCGGCGGUGAUGCUGGGUUGGGGCCGGCGGUGAAGGCCAUUUAUGCAGCAGUGUAUGUUACUUUCUUAGAAUAUUGUCAUGUAUUCUUCAACUAUUGGCACCUGCUUGUGUUCAACUAGUGACAUACUGAUUUUGGCAUCCACCUGGAUCGUUAUACUUUCAUCUAUAAACAUAAUGCAAUUCAAGAUCAUGGAAGCACACAUCAGACUCGCUACGGUUCAUUUUAUAUGUCGCUUCCGACAAGCAAUCUGAACUGGCUGCAGGUUAAAAAUCCUGUCCGGAAAAACAUAAUGGACAGGAGGUAGUAGUUUCUUUUAGCAGCAUUACUGUCUUUAGCUUCAGAAGCCUUUGCUCCAAGCUGGCUCGCUUCAGUAUAAUACUAUUUUUACUUGAGAGUAGAACUUCUCUUCAUGGUGCUCACGUAACCUAUGAAAAUCAUUGGCAAACGCAGGGUAGAUGAAUUAGGCAUAAGAGAUCCGUGCUACUUAAGAAAGAACAAAGACAUCAAUUAAGUUGAAGGAUUUGAUGCCCCAACAUCGAAAAAGUCAUCAACCGCAGCUGCAACAACACUUUUUGGUCCAUGUAAUGUGAUCAAAUGACCAUUCAGAAGGUAAUAUGGUAGCAGGCUAGCUGUAGCAGACUGACAGAAAUAUAUCAGGAGCAGGCUAAAUGAAGCCGGUCCAGCAUGUUAUAUUUCUACCAACUGUUGUAACAACAUUUUGCAAUUUUACUGAGUUGAAAAGAAAGGAGAACAUUUACAGUUUGAACUAAGGAUCCCUAUCAAGUUGCAAAUUUCAUCAUGGUAAACAGAUUGUGAAAAAAAUCAAAAUCAUUUAACAAAGAACCAAUGCAAGAUCUCAACUUGCACGGCAAGGCCUGAUUCAGAAACAUGUCUAAAGUUAGUGUGGCAUACCUAAACUAAGAUAUAAAUGUAAAAACCACCCUGCAUGUCACUUGGGGUUUGAUUUCCUCCCCCAUAAACUAUUUUGUUAUAAAUGCCCAUCCCCUACUGUAUUAUAUUUUAAAAAAACACCGGAUGCGUGCAUACUUAAUUGACUGCGACCAUUUUCAUUAAUUAGAAUAAUCUCAAUUCCUUUUUGGAGAUUCCACCAAAAGGUAUUUAGGCUGAUUCAUCAUGUGAAAUCAAAUUAUAAAUUGAGGGAAAAUAUGGAAGUCCUGUAUACAACCAACUCAAAUUGGGAAGGACACCAUUGCAUAUUUGACCUCUUUUCAUCCGUUCAUGGAAAAAAAGAGUCUGCUCUGCCAAAUGCUUAAAACCGCUUCAACUUAGAUAGUGUUAUUUGGUGGCGGAAUGUGUGAUUGCACUCUUUGUUUGGUUGCAUUCUGGUAACGCAAUUAGAUUACGGUGUGGGUGCUGUAUCUGAUUACGGUGGGGGAAGAAGGGUAACAAGCUUGUAUAGUAUAGAUAUUAUUUAGAUAAAGGAUUAGAUUACAGUGUCAAUUGAUUACAAACCACCACAACAAAAAUAUAUGUACAGUAAUUAGAUUACGUUACACUCGAGCCAACCAAAGACCACCAGAAUCAAUUUUUGCAGGAACCGAAACCUUGCAAACACACCCUGUAUAAGCUACAGCUACCUACUAAUCCCACGCCACCUGUGCAUGCAUGUGCUGUCCGUUCCUCAGAUUUUGUUGUCAUCCCAAUCGUAUAGCUUACCUACCCACCCCCACUACCCCAGUGCUACUUCCUGGAGCAAAUAUUCUUUACUUGCAUAGGCAAGCUUUGCUUUAGGGUGUGUGUGGUUCAGUAACCGCUUUAGGGUUUGUGUGGUUCAUAACUAAAGUGUAGUAAGACAAAAAAAAAACACUAGUACUCGUAUGACAGACGAUAAAGAGAAGAAAGCACUAUUCAUUUUCCAAGCAUGCAGAAAGGACAAUGAAGUGAUUUUACUUCACCUUUGACAUCUUCUCCCUCAGAAAUAUAUCUAUGGCCCCGUUUGGAUACACAAUGCUAAAUUUUAGCAUAGUGCUAAACUUUUAGCACCCUCAAAUGGAGUACUAAAGUUUAGCACUUGGGGUUGUUUGGAUACAGUGCUGGGUGAGAAAUGACUACAUUAUCCUCAUUUAUGACUAGCUUGGGAAAAAGUGGAGAGGAGAGAGAGGGGGCAACUAGGGAAAAAGUAGUCUUGGGGACCACUUUUAGCACCCAUUAGCAACUUUUAGCACCCCUUGGGUGUGCUAAAAAAACAAGGGUGCUAAACUUUAGCACUCAUCUUUUAGCACCCCUGUUUGGAAGUUCAAGUGCUAAAAGUGUGCUAAAAGUGAGGUGCUAAAGUUUAACACCCCUUUCCAAACACCCCUAUCUCGUUAGCGGUUGAGGAUUGCGCGCGACGACCGACGAGUGGCACGCGGUGGGAAUGGUAACUUCGAGCGGCGGCUGUGAGCCCAGCGGAGCCGACCGUUCGCGUAAAAAAUAAUAAUAAUACUAAGGCAACGUAUCAGGACCAGGUGCAAACUAACUAAUCUGUGCAAAUUUGGAAACUAGGAAUAAGGAUCACAGGAUGACAAUCCAAUGGAUAUGGUGAGAGGUGAGACUAUUUUACGCUUAAGUCCCCGCUGCCAGCCUUUUUUUUCUUCUAAAACAGCCUGCCCCUUCCGAUUCCAUCAGGCGAUUCCACCGCCAGGCCCCCUCGCGAGGGCCGCCAGGCGAUUCCGCUGCCAGGCCCCCGUCGCCCCUGCCCUCGCCAGCCUGGUCCCCGUUGCCCCCGCCCGCUUUCUGGCCGUCCACCGUUCGCCAGGCCCCCUCGCGAGCGCCGCCAGGCCCGUCGCCCCUACCAAAAGCAGUAUGUAGAAUCAGUUUGCUACAUUUUUAUGUACCUUUUUAUGUACUUGAAGAUCCCAAAUGCAAAUUCAAGUCUUGCACAGCAGUUUGAAUGCAGGUACAUCCACUUGUGCAUGCAGAAGUUCAGUAGCAAUGUGGUUGAGAAAUGCCUGAAAGUGUUAAAGGAGGCUGACAAGGCGAAGAUCAUACUCGAACUCCAUGCCAUGCCAUGCCACAAUUGUAGCAGUUGCUUCAGCACCCAUACGCAAACUACUUAGGACCAGUCCAUACUGCAAGAGGAUGUACUCUCGAGCUUUGCUAAAGAAGUGAUGAACUGAUGACAGUUUGUCAGCAUGUAACAAGAGCAAUUUGUUGUCUUGUGUUAAUUUUGGAUUUCAAAAGGCAUAAAGAUGAUCACAAAAUAGAUGUGUAUAAUUAGUAUUCUUUGGUCAUGCACUUCUACCUGUACCUGUACUUCACACACUGCUUGUGUCUGGUGUUGCAUAAGCCAUCUGUGAUGGAUAAGUUCAACUGAACAAGCCUUUGCCACAAACUAUCUUAUCUCUGAUGUUUUGUUCUCUAGUUUUUUGUCAGAUUCUUAGCAUCGACUGAUGCAAGGAUUCCCCAGUUUUUUGUCAGAUUUGUGCAUUAGUUGGUGUGUAAGUGGAAAUACAGGAUAGUAAUGACUGAUGAGCAUUGGUCUUUCAGGAUCUUGCUGAAUUUCGGAUGUGUGUAUGUUCCAAAAUUAUGGCAUUACUACAACUGUUUUCGUUACUAUAACUGUUCCACGAAAACGAACUCACACACGAAAAAGAAAGGUCACGAAAAAGAAAGGUCACGAAAAACAACUCACACACACGCCGGAGCCAAACAGGACCUCGCAGAUGGCCGAGCGCACACAAAAACGAACUUGGCGAGCACACCAGGUCGAGCAAUGGCCUUGAUGGUGUGGGCCGUGUCCUGGCGGAGCUUGGAGUCGAGGACGGCGAGGUCGACGCCCCGACCCCAGUCGCUCUCCACCACGUCAACAUCGAAGCUCAGGCGCUGCUGAUGGUCAAUCCACAGCAGGCUGAACUGGCCGAUCAGGAACAAUAUGAUGCGGUCACCCAGGGACAGCGUAUUCAUCAGUGCGCUCUCCUACGCUCCCGUCCCUGCAACGCGAGCCACGACGAGUGUGCUCAGUGCUCACACGAUCGAGUUGCAUCGGCAUCUCUCCAUGAACACAGGCAGAUGAAGAAGAUUAAGGUACCAGUGGUCGGGAUAAUGAAGGUGGUGCUGGUGGUGGUCUUGAAGAUCUUCUUGACGUCCUCCAGGAGGAUCUUGGUGAGGACGGCAAGGCCGGUGAGCGGUAGUCCUCGUUUCGGCGACUUGCUCACGAUGGGGCACGCGAAAAGGAACCUGGCGACGCACUCGUGGCUCGCUCGGUCGCGAUGGGAAUGGUGUGGCAGAAUCCCUGUGGGCACAUGCUAGGAGGCAGGGAUUUUUUAGAAAUAAAGGCUGGCAGGUGGGGGGAUUUGAGCGCAAAAUAAUUCCAUCUCUCACCCAUCCACGACCAAAAUAGGCCGAACAUUUUAGUUUAGAUUCACAUCCAACAACACACACCCGCGAGGGGGGGGGGGGGGGGGGGGGGGGGGUGGGGGUGUUAAGCCUGUCACAAGCGGGUCGGGCCAUCCGUCCGUGAGGGCCGACGGGUCAGAAACACCCAAUAGUCCAGCCCAUCUUCCUUGUCCGGCCGCCUCCCCGUCUCCUUCCUAAUCCCUUUCCUCCCCGUCUCCGACUCGAUCUCUCCUCUCUCUCCCCGACGACUCUUCUUCCUCGCCUCCCUCCAGCUCGUCUCACCUCACCUCACCUAGGGUUUCGAAUCCCAGCUCGCCGCCGUCGCCAUGGACGAGUAAGUAUCCCUUCAGCUCCGCUCCCUCUCCCCUCUCUCCCUAGGGUUUCGUCGUCUCACCCUGAUUCCCUUCCUCGAUCCGCCCCCGCAGCCUCUUCGACGAGGACGGCGAGGCGCUCAUGGACCCCGAUGCGCGGGAUCCUUCCCCCGAGCCGGAGCCCUACGUGGGCCUAGAGGACGACCUGGGCGACGGCGACGACUGGAACCGCGAGCGCUCUCCGACCCCCGUCCACGGCGACGACGGCGGGGUGGGAUCCUCCUCCAAGCCCCGGAAGCGUCUCCUCAAAAAGGGCGGCGGCGGUGGCGAUGGCAUGCCUGGCGACGACGGGCUGGAGGACUUUGGUUUGGAGGACGCGGACGCGGACCCCGCGGCGGAGGCCAAGAAGAGGAAGGGCUCGUCGGCGCUGAGGGACCUCGCCAGGGGCGGUGCUGGCAAGGAGAAGAAGGAGAAGAAGAGAAGGAGGGAGGACGACGGGAGGGGGAGGGACAGUGGGAUGGCGAGGGAGAAGCGGGGGUCAGGAGGAGCGGGGAGGGGUGGCGGCGGGGAGGUCCAGGAUGAUGGAGAGAGGGAGAUCCAGGAGCUCUGGGAUACCAUUGCCGGUGGUGACUCGGAGGUAAUUUUGAUUGAGUUCUAUGUCUCAAUUUCAUUAAGCUAUUUUCACUUCUAGUUGACUUUUUUACUUCUUGGAUGCCCUUUCUGUGUGUAUCUCUAGUAGCUCGUUAGAGCUACCCUGAGAUUUGUGUGAAAGGCUAUUGGAAAAUUGAAAUUCUGUUGACAUCGGAGAGAUCACUCGUGUCUCUUGAAGGAUAUCAUAAUGCUUCCUAGCAAUAUACUAGAAAUUUUAAUCAGUCAAUUGACUUUGGAAUUGUUAAGUGGUGGUCAUUGGCUGAGUUUUUCUUGAUGGUGAUGCGAUCAUUGAUUUAGUUUGUAUAGCAGUGAUGUUGGUUCAUCCAGAAGCUAUUUGUUUCCUAGGGAAUUCAGAUUGUUCUUCUAUUGUAAUGUUUAUAGCCAGUCCUUUGUGAUCAGGUGUAUUUUAGAUAGCAUCUCCACUAUUUUCAUGUAGUAUUUUUAAAGUAAACUUUGUAGGCUAUUUAGAUGUCAAAAUGUGGUGCUUGGUUAUAUGAUGGUCUAUUUAUAUGCCUCUUAUUAAUUUUGCAAGUUAGUAUUUUGCUUAUGAGAGAACUUAUAGAGCUGUAUAAUCUGUUUGUGAUAUCUUAUUUCCAAGGAAGAUAGUAUAACUAGAAUGCUGCUCUGUUGAAUUCUGUUUAUGGAUUUAUUUUUAGAUGACAUGGCAAUUGAGGGCUUCUUUGUAAUACCUUGAGAUACGGUUUAAGGUGAUAAUGCAUCUAGUGGGUCAUCAUUAUUAGUUUUUAUCUCAGUUCUUGCAUUUCUUUUUCUUUAUAGAAAAUUGCUUACUCAGAUUGGGUUGUGUAAAAAGGUUAGGUGCAUAUCAAUUAUCAAAUCAGAUCAUCGUAACUUGUUAGCUGCAAUACCACUUUACCAGCUUUUAAUUCCUUUUAGCUACUACUUCCAUUGUCUUGGACAUACUAACAUUCACCACAUGCCAUUUAAAUCUGGUGGAGCAGGAUGACCAAGAAGGCGUUAGAACUGUAGAUGAUGAUAAUUUCAUUGAUGACACUGGGGUUGAUCCAGCUGAUCGGUAUGGUAGUGAUAAUGAGCGGCAUUCUCCUGGACGCUAUGCACAGGUAUAUGCUCUUAAUUGCUCAGGUGCCCCAGAGCAUAUUUUUUGCACUCUUUGAAGACAAAUUGUCAUAGUACUCAUAGAUGUUUAAUCAAAUGUCCAUUAGUUCAUUGUAUCAUACCUCUGUCGUGUUGCAUGCGAAUCACUGUAGUGACUAUAUUAAAGGAAUUGGCUGCAGUUCCCUAUUAACCAAAGCAUGAUAUUAGAGAUCCACUUCAUAAUCUUACUGAAUUUCGUAGAAGCUUUAGGGGUUUAGUCUUAUGAUAAAAGCUAAAACCAUGGUUGUGUUGCACCCUUGUUGGGUCGAUUACAUCUGCUGAUUUCUUGGCCAUGACACUAUGCCAUCUUAUGAGUUGUCCAAAUCAAUAUAUGUACUCUUGCUACAGAAUAGUACCAGAUGGUUUAUCUUUUUUCCCCCCUAUUAUCACUGAUAAUAUGGAUUGAUUCUUUACUAUAGGCUGAGGAGGGUGAGGAGGAUGACGAAAUUGAGCGACUCUUUAAGGGUAAUAAGAAGAAGAAGAAGAAUGAUCGCCCACGUGCAGAUAUUGGUCUUAUAGUGGAACAAUUCAUUGCUGAGUUUGAGGUAGCAGCUGAAGAAGAUGCAAACUUGAACAGGCAAUCAAAACCAGCCAUUAACAAGCUUGUGAAGCUUCCUCUGCUCAUAGAUGUUCUCUCCAAGUAAGAUAUCUGGAGCCUUGUAUUGUCAGUACCUAUUGCUAUUUUUAUAAAGCUAACACUAAUAUUUUUUUUGUUCAUAUCUGUUGAACAGGAAGAAUCUUCAGCAGGAAUUUCUUGAUCAUGGAGUUCUCACACUUCUAAAAAAUUGGCUCGAGCCGUUGCCUGAUGGAAGCAUGCCAAACAUGAAUAUUCGAUCUGCUGUGCUGAAAUUAUUAGCUGAUGUAGGCACCUAUUUCCUUCUCUACAUUUUUGCAUUGUAGAACCUUGUUCUUGCAUAAGAACCUAGUUGUCUGGUUUAUGUUUUGAUGGCUUCUAAAAAUUUAAUUGCUAAUGAAAGUUUUAUGCCUCUUGUAGUUUCCAAUUGACCUGGAACAACAUGACAGAAGAGAGCAGCUUAAGAAAAGUGGUCUGGGAAAGGUACACUUCUUUUUGGCUUGCGUGGUGCUGUGGUCGCUCUGAUGUAUUGUUUUUUGAGAUUAUGUGUUAUGUGCUAAACCUAUCCAUGAUGCAUGUUUAGGUCAUCAUGUUUUUGUCCAAAUCCGAUGAGGAGACUACUGCAAAUAGGAAAUUAGCUAAGGAGCUGGUUGACAAAUGGGUAAGUCCGUGUUCACAGUACACACAUCAUCUGUGCGCUUGUUUACUGUCAAGAGUUCUCUAAUUGGUACUUGUAAACAAAAAAAUUCAGAGUCGACCAAUAUUCAACAAGAGCACAAGAUUUGAGGAUAUGAGGAGAUAUGAUGAUGAAAGAGCGCCUUACAGGCGGCCACAAAUGAAGAAGUAAGAGCAUGCAGUUAUUGGCCAUCUGAAUACUGCAGUCUUCUUAUCCUGUAUAUUACAGACGUAUGUUGUAUUCUUACUGGUUAUCCUUUCUGUCAUGAAGGCCUUCGUCAAGUAGCUCUGGAAUGGAAUCUAGAGAUGAUGAUCUUGAUGCUGACUUCUCACAGUAAGUCUGAUAAUUCAUCAUAUUUUUUUACCUUUGAUGCAUGGAUGCAGGUUGUCACCAUUUUCUAAUUUUUGGGUUAAUCUAUUUUAUGCUUUGUAUUUAGACGCAAGUCUGGGCAAAGUAGUUCAAGGCAGCAUGCUUCUAGGCCAGAAGCCUCGCCUUUGGACUUUGUCAUUCGUCCACAAUCCAAAAUUGAUCCUGAGCAGAUACGGGCUCGUGCUAAGCAGGCUGUCCAAGACCAGCGCCGGCUGAAGGUCUUCCUCGCAUCAUCAAAACUUUUUAGUUUUGUCUGCCUGUUAUCAGCUGGUUUAGGUUCUGCCAUGCUUGUUAACUGAUAAAGUGGGACUGACUGAGCAACAAUUAAUUGUUCUUGUUGGAUUUGCAGAUGAACAAGAAAUUGCAGCAGCUGAAAGCGCCCAAGAAGAAAAACCUUCAGGCGUCGAAGCUCAGUGUGGAAGGCCGUGGGAUGGUCAAGUACCUGUAGACCAUCCACUCUGGCAUACACAGCCAGCAGCACCCCUGCACAAGAUGGUUGUGCCUGCUGGGGGAUUGCUGAGCUAGUAUGAAGCACACCCUACCACCAGGCAGGGGCCAAUUGCUCGGCAUUCAAUAAUUGCUUGGACUCCAAGUAUUUUUCUUGUCUGGUAGGGUGCAACAGAUGGGUUCAGAAACUUAGUUGUGGAGGCAUAUACUAUGAGCGUGCAUGAAUAUAGCAUUUUUCAAGCAGAGAAGUUCCUUUAUACUGUAUAAAUGUUUUGUCAUGCUUAUAAGUUAACUGGAUCCGAUCAGGCUGUAUGUUGAGUUGGGUUGAGGUUUCGUUUGUUUGUACCUGAAGAAACGUUAUGUCUUAUGAAUCAAACAUAGUGCGACAACUGGUUAAUUGUGCUUAAUGGUUACCGCGUACCAGACUGUAACUUGAUUUUGUUAAGUGAUAUAAUGCUUUCUUGAUUUUUCAUCUUGCUGUGUAUGGAAGGUCUCAGGGGGUUUCGAUUGCAUGACUGGUGUUUGACAGCACUUAGCCUUAUAUGUGGUGGUCAUUAUAGCAAAAAAAAUAUUUUAAACCGAAACCCACAUUCUGCCAAUUGUCGAGAUGAAGAUCAAUUCAAUAAAACGGUGUGCGUUACUAUUAUCCAUGGAUGGACCAUGGCCUGGCAGUCUUUUUCAGGCUGUACCAAACGCAGUGUGAUGAGGACGAGCAAAUCUACCUGAUCGGGAUAUUCUCUGUCACGUACGUCAAGGAAAGGCAGUUCACGGACCAAGUCGUUAGCUGACAGCGACAUGGUAGUUUGGCCAUCUUUAUUCGUGUGUUUCGUAGCGGUUAAUGCAGUUGAAAGCAGGUAUAGUGAUCUCGUAGCAGUCAGUACACGAAGAAAGUAAUGGCGAGAUUUGAGAUGGGCCAUACGUACAUCUUUCAAUUCAAAAUUCAAAUCAUAUCCUUUUAAAAAAAAUUCAAAUCAUAUCACCCGAAAUUUAUGCUCUCAUUAUUUUUGGUUGCCCUUAGUGGACAAGCACGCAAGAGUGAAAUGGUCGUCGCAGAACGUUAAGAUCUAGGUUUAUGAAUUUUCCAAGGAGAAGAAAUCAAUUGAAAAAAAUAUUUCGAAGCUGAAUAUUUUCGAAUUAUUAAUAAAAUCGCUAAACAUGAUUAGGCUCGAUCAGUCCUUACCAUUUCCGCCGGCUGAGAAAAUACUAAAAAUAGAGGUCAUUCUUCUUCUCCGUCCUUUCCAUCCCAGGUCGGCAGGUCGCCACCGCGUCCCCCGUCCUCCUCCCCUCCCCCCUCCUCCGCGCCAUCUCCACCACGAGGCAACACGCGCCAACGACCCUCCCGAGCCGCAGAAUCCCGCCCCCCGCGGUCGCAUUCCGCGCGCCGCCACCCAGGUUCCAGCCGCCCACGCGGUCCCCGCCGCCGGCCGCGCCAUGCCGCGGCGGGGCGAGACGGCGGUGGUCCCCAUUGACGUGACCAGCGGCGGCGGCGGCGGCACCGGAGGAGGAGGUCAGGAGCGGCCCAAGAGCGAGCGCCACCGGAGCCACGGCCCGGGCCACCACGGCCGCCACGGCCCGCACCACCAGCACCGGAGCCGCCCGCCGCCGCCGCCGCCGCCCGCGUUCCGCCCGUUCCGGCGGUGGUUCCCGUUCCUCGUGCCGCUCUUCAUCGUCGCCAAUGUCGUCCUCUUCGUCCUCACCAUGUACGUCAACGACUGCCCCGCGCACGCCCAGGCCACCGGCGCCGCGAUAGGGGGAUCCGUCGGCGAGAGCGCCACCGCGCAGGGCUGCUGGCUCGUGCCGGAGCUCGGCAGGUUCGCGUUCCAGUCGUUCAAGGAGAACCCCCUCGUCGGCCCCUCCUCCGCCACGUAAUGCACUAUUCAAUCUGCCCAAAUUUGGAUCUUUCUGCAGUUUGCUCGGGUUAGGUUAUUGCUUUAGAUGCGUGCAGUGUGAGAGAUUGUGCAGAUCGUAUGAAAUGUGCUUCCGUUAUGGCCUUCCGUUUUUAAAUGCGCAUAUCUUAUGAAAUUGCUUGUAUCGAAGUCUUUUGAGACAGGAAUUUCUGUCACUAUUCCUUUUCUCUUCCGGCGAAAAUCCUUUUCUUUUCUUUUUUUAAAUAAUCAUCACAGUUUGUUCGUAUUGAAUUUUAUGAAUAUCCUAAACACUAAUAUUUUUUUAAUCAAUUGAGGUUGGAGGUUUUGGAAUGCGAUAUUUCUGAUACACUUGCUGGUCCAAACAAUUGCCAGUUGAUCGGGAAUUUUGCUGGUUUAACUAUUCAGUGGUGAACGGAAUUUCUGAUACACUUGCAUGCGAUAUUUCUGAUACACUUGCAACACUUGGCUGAUGUAAUGUUCUGAACAAGAUUGGAGAUUACAUACUAUUUUUCGUAGGGUUAAAUUACUAAAGGUGGUCUAAGUGGAUGAUCUUAGUAGUCAGCUACUUGUUUACCAUCUUGUUCUUAUCAAAGAAAGAAAUUUUAUUUCUUUGUACUGGCAUAUGGGAGAGAUCCUGUCAAUCCAUAUCAUGUACAGUAUCAUGGAUUGAAUAGUUUUCUUCCUAAAAUAAAACAAUUGUUUAUAUGCAAAUCUUAGACCCAGUGAGGAAGCAAUUGCAGUCAUACAAAGUUACCAUUGUGUGCUGUUCUAUAACUUUGUUAAACCUUAUUGUUUGAUAAUGUAUUUAGGGUCACUUCCCCCUAUUGAGAUUUUUUUUCUUGUUAUACCCUCAGGUAGCAGUACUUUGAUUUUUCUCCUGCUUAUUGAUAUAAUCUUGAUAGCUUGUAGGUUCAACUAACAUAUGUGUCAUUCCCCAGGUUGUUGAAAAUGGGGGCACUGGAAACCAGUAAAGUUACCAAAGAUCAUGAAGGCUGGCGCCUCAUUACGUGCAUUUGGUUGCAUGCUGGAGUUAUCCACAUACUCGCUAAUAUGUUGAGUCUCGUAUUGAUCGGAAUCAGGCUCGAGAAAGAAUUUGGUUUCAGUAAGUGUCAUCUUCUUUUUUGAGGAAAACAGAUUCUUAAUUCCUGUACACUACAUUUUUUUAUUAUCUGGAGUUCAUUUUGGUGCCUGUACACUGCGUCUUCCAUUAUCUGGAGUCUGAUGGUUGAUGGUUCCUUCAAGCCUGAUGAUCAUAUAACUUGACCAUUAUUUAAUGAUUGUCUGUUGCAGUGAGGAUUGGUGCACUGUAUGUGAUCUCUGGUGUUGGUGGCAGCUUGCUGUCAUCUUUAUUUAUGGUGUCAAAUAUAUCUGUUGGCGCUUCAGGUGCACUAUUUGGACUAUUGGGCUCCAUGCUGUCAGAGCUCAUAACAAAUUGGACUAUAUAUGAGAACAAGGUUGAUUCUAAAAUGUAUGCAAUCUUUUCACAAAUUAUUCCAUAUUCCAUGUUUCUAAUUCUGUUAUUGUUUAUAAAAAAUCAGAUCGCAGCACUCUUGACUCUUGUUAUGAUCAUUGUCAUCAACUUAGCUGUUGGGAUCCUUCCACAUGUUGACAACUUCGCUCACCUUGGAGGAUUUACAUCAGGGUUCUGUCUUGGUUUUGUGUUGCUAAUGCGACCGCAGUUUGGAUAUAUUAACCAAAAGAAUUCUCCUCUUGGAUAUCCGAUGGGCGUAACUAAACGGAAGUUCAAGAUAUAUCAAAUCAUACUUUUUGUUAUUGCUACAGUGAUAUUAAUUUCUGGGUAAAUAUCAUACUGAUCAAAAGAAUGAUAAUGAUCUAAUCAGCCUCUACGUUUCAACUGUCUUUUGCUAAACUUUUUUGUUGUCAGGUUCACUGUUGGCUUGGUGUUGCUUUUUCAAGGGUUCGAUGCUAGUCAACACUGUUCUUGGUGCCAUUAUUUGAGCUGUGUGCCUACUUCAAAGUGGAGCUGCAAAACACCAAACAACUCUUGCAUGGUAAGCCUCUUUCUGCACAUGCGUGUCUGAUGUGGCAAUCACUGGAUUUGAUACUAUUUUAACUUUGACAACAACAACAACAACAUAGCCUUUCAGUCCCAAGCAAGUUGGGGUAGGCUAGAGUUGAAACUCAACAAGAGCCACAAAUUAGGGUUCGGGCGCAUGAAUAGCUGUUUUCCAAGCACUCCUAUCCAGGGCUAAAUCUUUGGGUACAUUCCAUCCCUUCAAAUAUCCUUUUAUUGCCUCUUCCCAUGUCAAUUUUGGUCUUCCUCUGCUUCUCUUCACAUUACUGUUAUGCCUUAGGGUUCCACUAUUUUAACUUUGAGUUGGGACAAAUUGUGUUUAAGAGAAAACCUUAAUAUAUAUUAGCACGGGAUAUGCACGAAUGCCAACUCUUGAGCAUUUUUAACUUUUUAUAAAUCUCUUAGAUAAAAAUCAUGAAAAUCAUCAGAACUCAACCACAAGCUGUAACAGCGUAUUAUGAUAGUGACAAUAUUGCCUUGAUUGGUUUUCAACUAAUAUACUGUAUUGAUGUUAGCAGUUUUACUCUGCCUUUCCUGUAAGUGUAAUGAGAACUUUCUUGGGGAAACUAUUUACUUUCAUAUGAUUGGCAUGUUAUCAUUGCAUCCAUUAAGUGCUUAAAUUCAUGUUUCAUUUUUUAUUUAUAGCCUCACUGUAAGUUUACUAAUAUAAGCUUCUUCUGCAGUCUUCACAGCUUGGAAAUCAAUUAAAUCUGACAUGCCAAAGCACUGGAAAGACUGCAUCAUAUGUUCUGAACAAUCCAAACAGCCAAGAAGCAAUUAGAAAUCUUUGUGUUCACCUUUGCAGUUAAUGGUGAAUGUAUGUACUUUCUAACGAGGAAUUAAUGCCAGCAUACCUAUGGAAAAGAUAAAUGGAAGCUGAUGUUGACAUUGAGAUUCUCUGGUAAUGCUUAUAUGGCUUCUAUGGUUUUAUUCUUCUUGUGCAUGUUGUGUAUUAUGAACGUCAGUUGGAUAUAUAAAAGACGGACAAUUAGAGGCAGUAGUUUCUGUUACAAAGAUAAAGAGGUGCAAACAUAAACUCGUGUUGAGAGAAUGAAGGCUUGGUGACUAUACCCCCCCCCCCCCCCCCCCCCCCCAAAAAAAAAAGGAACAGUAGAUGGAACAUGUACAUAUCUAGAUUGUUUUCCCAAGUAUUAGCUUUUGAGAGGGAGAUAGAGGCAACCAUAGUAGGAACUAGGAGUUGUCCUGGUUAAAGUAAAAGUGUUGCAUCACAUAUACUGAAGAUGCUUAUACAAGAUCCAAGCCAAGAGUCAAGUCUAUGCUGUGCUAUUUCUUCCUAGGUUAGCAUUCCUCUUCAUUGUUUCCUUCCACUUUUGACAUGGAUAUCUUAGUGUCUUAUUAGCAGAAUUUUAUGUUUGUUUUGUGCUAUUUUGGAUGGUCAAAGGAUGUAAAUGUUACAGAAGUUGAUGGAAUGAUACAAGCAAAGCAAAACAAUAAAUAUCAACUGAGACUUGAAUGCUAAAUCUGGAUCCAUUUAUAUCCCUGGUUCCCCUGCUCUUGCCAAUGGUUGUUCCAUUAGGUCAGGGAUUUAUUCUUGCACUUAUAUUUUAUUCUCUUGAUCCAUCAAAUAUACUAAGUAUUCAACUGCAUGACAGAGUCUACACCCAUCACUUGAUAUAGACUACCCAUGUCUACGGUUUCCUGCAUCAUUUAUAUAGCACAACUAUUUAUGGGUUCUUGUCACUACAUGUUUAUGGCAUUAAGAGAUUAAUGGAUAACCACUAGGUCCGUAGUGAAAUAAGUUCUGACAUGGGUCCAUCUUUUGGAAUGAUUAUUUCAUAAGGAAAUCUCCUUUAUGAGGCAACUACUAACACUGGACUAGAACUAGUGUUAACGACCCAAAUUGCACAUGACUGAUGUCUAAUAGUACAAAAACGGAAACAGGGAUACAAAGUUCCGUUAAUGUUACAGGUUAGGAGAGAAGUAGCAUGAUGUUGCAGCCUACAGUGGUAUGACUUACAAAUACAUAGCAGACUGGUGCCUGUCCUAUAUGCAAAGAGCAAAACAGACAGACCCUGCAGGACGUUUACGUCGAGACCUCUAGAUGUGAGACGUGCCAUAGCUUCAACCCGUAUUCCACCAUUAACUGCUUGUCUUCAGCUGCUCGAAAAUAUACUUCACCACCUCUGCCAUUGUUGCCUUCCUCCCUUCCCUGAAAUUCCAGAGCUCAUUCACUGCAUGCCGUCCCCGAGGACUGUAGUCGUUGAGCUCUGUCAGGGUAACCUUCACUGCGUUGCAGACAUUGUCACCGUACUCGGUCCAUAACUGUCUCAAUUUUGGAUCAUCUUCAUUCACAACGUCCUGAAAUCAUCCAGAUGCAAGGCCUUUAAUUAAUGACUCUUCAAACAAAAUUGAGAUUCCAGAUGCAACGCCAGAUAUCAAUGUACAUAAAUUGAACAGGUACCUUUUCUUCUCCAUCAACCAAAAAAGUGGUAAAGGGAUUCCAGGAUUUGUUCUUGAGUUCCUCUUGCCAACUUGAGACCAACCUUGCUGCUUUGCCGUCUGGAUCAUUGUCACUGUACUUCCUCUUGCACGCAUGGUGAAAGGGCUUUUCAUCAAGUUGUCCCAUCCUUUUGAUCCCUAUAACUGUGAAAUCGCUGAUCAUCAUGCUCUCCAAACACUGAGCAUUAUGAUCAUUCCACGAAGGGAACUUUUUAUACAUAGCAUUGCUCAUACAGGUGGAAUUGAAAAUGUAAAAAAACAACACGUUUACCUUGAUCACUUCUUGGCGGGUCUCUUGAAGCUCAUCUCUGUUCAGCUGAUCUCGUUGUGCUAGGUCAAUGUAUACAUUUUGAAACCUUUCACGUUCUUGCUCUAGACACUCUUUUGAAAUUGUCACUAAUCUAUGCAGAUGUCCAUAUGCUUCCUUCAAGUUUUCCUCUGCCUGUAGUUUCGUGUUCAGCAGACAUAUUGCAGACUCUUGUGCUUCCUUUUGCUCCAGCUGCUUCUCAAGUUGAAUUACUUUUGCGUUGAUGGCUUCCAUCUCUUCCUAAAAAGCAUACAUGCAUGUAAAUGCAUUUGUAUGAAUUGGUUGGUCAUUUGUGAAACAGCUGAUGCAAAUGGUCUUGCUAACUGUUCAAUCCAAAUGGAAAGAAACCUUAUAUUUAUCAUGAAGCAUUUGAGCAUGGUCACUCGCCUCGGGCUUCCUAUCUGCCAUGUCCAAUGAAUUGACCUCGAUAACUAGCUGAGAGAACCAUCAUAUCAGAAACAGCAUAAGAUAAAAUGUUGUAUUGAGAAGGUUAGACAGAGGUAGACAAAAAACACAGAAAAUGGAACAGAUUGCGUGACCACUUGUGGUAUAAUGAGCCAAUUCUGCCAAUAUUGGUCUUGGGUGACUGCUUUUGGUGUAAUAAGCAAGUUCUGCCAAUAUUGGCCUUGGCGACCACUCGUCGUGUAAUACUGGAACAAAGAAAAAAAAUACUAAUGCUAUAGCCUAACACAUGGGGGUAAAUGAAGGUGAUGUUUAACCGAUGUUAUUUUUGUUUCCAGCUGCUUGUAAAUUUAACUACAGCAGGGAAACCGGGUGUAGCAUGACAAUGCAGUGACAGUGAUCCAUAAAAUCUUUAAUGGAAGGAGAGAGGUGGUACUAUACUAUCAUAUGGAAUUGUAAAAUGUGUUCUUUCAGGCUUCUGCUGCUGAAGAUUUGGUGCUACUGUUCAUGGACUGCUGAUACAUUGACUCUAGUUUUCAAGGUAAACAGAUGUUUCUGUAGUGAACAACUCUUGAGUCUUGACAGCAUCCAUCACUACAGCAAGGAGUCGGUUCAGACACAUGCAUGUUUAUGUGAACUGCAGAUCCAUACUGAACUCUGCGAUGCAGAUAUAUAGAACUCUGUAUACCUUCUCCACUUUGCUGCAGUGCAGUUCGGUUCUGCAUUCCUUGAGCUCCUGGAUUCUGUCCACCCUCAACUUGACCUCUCCCUUGAUCGCAUCCAGCUCGGCCCUGAGCUUAUUGUUCUCCUCAUCGGCGCCACGGAACAUCUCUAGCAGGGUAUUGUCUGCUACGGCUUUUAGCUCUGCCAACAAUUACAGGAACAUUUGCGUUAUCAUCAGAUUCGGACAGAAGUCUAGGAUCAUUACCAAUGCAAUUAUCCUAAACACGUGUUCUGAAAGCAAUCAGGGAUAUUUUGGUCAUACAAUUUUGAAAAUGGUAUUUGACAUUUGGACCAUCCUUUUUUUUAAAAAAAAAAGCAUUUUCUUGCAUGGAUUAACCUUUGAGCUCGCUGUGGAGCCUGUUGCUCUCCUCCUCCAUCCUCUGGACCACCCUGGCCAUCUCCUCGUUCUUGGCGGCCAAGAACCUCUCCCUCCUCUGGUACUCGCUGGCGACGGCGCCGAGCAUGACGGCGGCGCUGGCCUCGUCCUUCUCGAUGUCCUCCACGCUCCUCGCCGCGGUGCCGGACUCCCUCAGGAACCUCCCGACCGCGCCGUCGCCGAUGAGGUCCUCUCGCACGGCCGCCCAGCCGAAGACGCAGCCGGCGUCGCCCUCGCCGCGCCGCUGCCACCUCCUCCUCCCGGCGCCGGUGAAGUAGGCGGCCAGCGACAUGGCGUCCCGGAGGCCCGCCCAGCUCUUGCCGAAGUGGAGCAGCAAGAAGUGUUGCUGGCGAUGCUGGUGGGUGGUUGGCUCCUCCCGGAGCGCGGUGGUUGCGACGCCGGCGAAGCGCCGAUGGGCGUGGAAGGCGAGGGUGGCCGCGGCGUCGGCGUCCUCAUCAGCGGCGGUCGUGGAGAGAAUGCCGGUCCACGGCCAGACGAGGAGCUCGCCUGCGUCGUCUGCUCCGGCGGCAUCAGCCUCGUCAGCCGACAUGGGAAUUUUGUUGCUCGUCGAGGUUUCAAUGCCGUGUGGUUGGGUACUUGGGUGGGUGUGGCUCUGCUCUGAAAUUCAGGAUGGCAUUGCCUCUGUUUUUUAUGGGUGUACGUUGUACUUACCGUGUCAUGUGUUCAUGGAAUGUACGUGCUGUGUGAUGGCGAUAUUUUCGUGUUAUAUCUCGGUGGCUAUUUUUGGGAUCAUGGUAUUUUACUUAUACGGAAACAGCAGUGAGCGAUGCCUGAAGGGUUAUUUACUGAUUUCAGGUUCUGAAUUUCUUCCGAAGAAAUAGGUGAAGUAAUUUCACCCAAUCACAAGUCAUGCAGCAUAAGCAGAAGUUGCUUAUCAAUUACUCCAUUCGUCCCAAAUUAUAGGUCGUUUUAGCUUUUUUUUUAUUCAUAGAUUUUAUGUUACUCCAUUCGUCCCAAAUUAUAGAUCGUUUUAGCUUUUUUUUUAUUCAUAGAUUUUAUCAUGCACUUAUAUAUAUCCUAUAUCUAUAAAUCUAGAAAGGCUAAAACGAACUAUAAUUUAGGAAGGAGGGAGUAGAUAACUGCAGUUGUGAUCACAUAAAAGUGUUUCUUACACAUCAUGCAAAAGAACAUAACUUUCUGUUGACUGAAGUGUUCACUGAUGAUUAAACCAGAAAGUCCAGGGCGUAACCAUAAACAUCACAAACACUAACAUAAAACGGCGACUGAUCAGAUGCAUACAUCUUCAUGUUCUGCUGCAAAUUCACUAGUUAGAGCAACUCCAAGAGACUGCUAAUCUUACCCCCAAUACCUGUUUUAGGGAAAAAAAAGAGAAAAAACGGACUCCAACAGUCCACCCAAAACUCCCCCAAAAAAUUAGCGAUGCUAAAAAAACACCACCUCACCCCGUAUAUUUUCGCAGCCGCGGUCUUCCCCCAAUCCUCCGCGAGCUCCUUCCCGCGCCCGCUCUUUUUUUUUCGCGCGCUUAUCUCCUGGCGGCGCCGUCCUCCCCCGGCGGUGCCCUCAUCUCCCGGCGGCGGUUCUCUCCCGGCGACAGGCGGCGGCGACCCUCCUCUCCUGGCGGCGCCCUCCUCUCCCGGCGACGGGCGAGCGCUAGGCGGCGGCAGGCCGGGACGCGGCCCUCCUCUCCCGGCGGCGGCUCUCUUCUCCCGGCGACGGGCGAGCGCUAGGCGGCGGCGGGCCGGGACGCGGCCCUCCUCUCCUGGCGGCGCCCUCCUCUCCCGGCGGCGGCUCUCUUCUCCCGGCGACGGGCGAGCGCUAGGCGGCGGCGGGCCGGGACGCGGCCCUCCUCUCCCGGCGGCGCCCUCCUCUCCCGGCGGCGGCUCUCCUCUCCCGGCGACCGGCGAGCGCUAGGCGGUGACGGGCCGGGACGCGGACCUCCUCUCUCGACGGGGCCCUCCUCUCCUGGCGAGCGCCCACCGUGCGUUGGCGGCUUCCACGAGCAACAGGUACGUCCGUCUCAAGGUUCACCAUUUGCUGCAAUGCGGAUAAUGUCUCACGAUUUCGGUCGAGCGAAUCGCCAUCCCUAGAUCGUUUUCGAUUUGUUCGUCAGUAGUGUGCCUGGAAACUGAACUAGUUAUAUGAAUGCUAUCUACUUUUCUGACACUCUGUAGCAAGGAAGUUGUUCUUCUGCUGGGUUGCUAUUAGUGUAGAACAACUGGAAGCAGCUCUGACCACUGUCAUCAGAAACAAAACGUACAUUAGUAGUAGGGGCCGGGGAAGCCUUUCUUCUAAACAAACAUUCAGUAGUAUGUACAUAUGUAUAUCCCACCAAUAUCUCCACUAGAUGUUUGGGGGGCAUGGAUGCAUAAAAAUUCUUAUAAUAAAUAUGCAACCAAUUGAACAGAUAGCCAGCUCACCAGCUGUGCAGAACCAGGCUAAAAAAAGAUGGUGAAGGUGUAGCCGAUUCCUGUCAUGCAGUAGACGAGGGCCAGAAGAACCACGUAGUUUUCCCAGAUUGAUGACCUCAUGUUGUUAAAGAAGUAAAACGUGGAGAGGUAGACGAUCGGCUUGAUAAUUGUAUCGAAGUGAUCUAUUGUAUGUUUGGACAAGAAGUAUGCCAGUGAGCUCAUGCCAGAUGCUCUCUCCCUCCAGUAGUGUAUUUUCUCCAGUGAAAAUGACCUCAGGGCCCCAAUCUUGCACAGCAGAGCUGCAGCCAACAGAAGCUUAUUCGCAAAUGAACCUAAAAGUUAUGAUUAUUGCUUAUAAAGUUCAAGCAUACAAUAAUUGCAAAAUCAUCUCCUUUCCAUGACAGGUUCAGAUUAAUUUAGAGUCCUAAGCAUACUGCACUCAACUUACCAGUUUGGUAUGUUACCAGUUUGAUGCAUACCAUUUGUACAAAUAUAUGUAUGCCUUCAACUUAAUUUAGAGUCCUAAGCAUACUGCACUCAACUUAGUUUUCCAGAAGUUUCUUAUUCAUCCGUGUACUAAUGCUUUAGGAGAGCAUUGCUGCAAUCAGAUCAUGUGGAAUUACUUGUGCAUUUUUUUUUGAAGAGCAAUUACUUUUGCACUAGUUACAGCAUACUUUGUACAGUUUUGAUGAGCUAGAUAUGAAGCUUACCUCAAAAAAUCAAAGUGCUGAUUUUAAUUCCUUUUGUUGCCUGUGCAGAUGCAGGCACCACGGCCAACCGCUCCUGUCCGGCAAGGCCAAGUAAGACGCGGCGGAGGGAUGCUUCAACGGCGCGUGGUGGUCGUCGGCGGCCAGCACCCUCAAUGGCCCGGCGGUGACCACAUGCCUCAAUGGACCGGCGGUGACCACGACCUCGAUCUGGCCGGUGGUCCUCCGAUGGCAGCCCUUGCCGGCGACGAUUUCAAUUCCGUAUCCAGUGACCCCUCAGCUGCCUUCGAACAAGUGGUCAACGACAACUCAUUUGGGAAUGGUAUGAAUCAUAAGCUACUCAUUUCAAUUCUCUAGGGUAAUCCGGACUAAGCAAUGCAUGUCGGCUUAUUAAAGUUUAUAUCUCAGAGUUGAUGAGUAAGAGUUUGACAUGCAAGCAUAUGACAUUGUCUGAAAUUGUCCUAUGAAUUUUACCUAUUAAAGCAAUGAUGUUGUCUGAUGCAGCAUAUUACCAUUUGACUGAAAUUGUCUUACUGAAUUAACUCAGUCUUACUAGGUUGUUGGGUUAGGAUUGUGAUGGCUGCCACUGAUGGAUGUUAAAUGUCACUGGUAAUUUUUUAGACCCAUGCUAAAUUUUUUGAUGUUUAUUUUCUACCUACUGGGCAGGAAAUGGAUAUUUUUCGAACAUGAUGAUGGAUGAAACCAAUCUAGGGGAUUCUGAUUAUUAUAGCAACACAUUUGCUGACCAACAGUCACAGGCAAUUGAAGUGGGUCCAGUAGCCCCCUCUGCGAGGCCAAACCAUAAGAGAUCAAAGAAUUUCAGUGACCACGAAGAUGAGGUUUUGGUUUCAGCGUGGCUGAAUGUAAGCUUGGAUCCGAUCGUAGGCAAAGAUCAAAAAGGUGGCAAGUAUUGGUCUCGUAUCUAUGAGUACUUCCAUGAACACAAGACGUGCACCUCAAAGCGUACCAUAAAUUCUCUCAUGCACCGGUGGGAGACCAUACAAAAAUGUGUGAACAAGUUUUGUGGGUGUCUAGCACGGAUUGAGUUAAGACGUUCGAGUGGUAGUACAAUGAAAGACAAGGUACUUACUACGCAAUACCAUGAUUUGUUUCAACUAUUUUAUUUUUAUAUAUCGUAUAUGAAUAUCCCUUGUAUGUUGGUGCGUGUAGGUUGCAGAGGCAUGUGCUUUGUACAAGUCUGAAGACGAACAUCAGAAAUCAUUCCAGUUCAUGCAUUGCUGGAAUAAGUUGAGAACACAACCAAAAUGGCUUUCUAAAAUUGAUGAAUUGGUUGCUGCUAAAACAUCUAACAAGAAGCAGAAGACAAGCUCAACUGUUGACCCGAGUGCAAGUUUACCUAAUGACAUAGGACAAGGUGAAGUUCAAUGUCUAGAGGAUAAUGCAUUGACAAGACCAAUUGGUAAGAAGAAGGCAAAAGCAGCACUGCUGCAAGAGAAGAAAAAAAGUGUGACAGCAACCUUAGAAAAUAUGUGGGCACAGAAGAAAGAAACUGAUGGGGAGAAAGAGCUAAAAAAAGAGGAGAGGUUCAACAAAGCAUUUGCACUUGAACAAGAACGAGUUGCUCUUGAACAGGAUCGAGUUGCAAAUGAAAAAGUACUUCUUGAGUUGAGGAGCCAGGAGGUCCAAUUGCAAAAAAGGAGGGAUGAAGAGAGGAUUAUGACCAUGGACCUUACCGCCAUGCCAGAUGAGCAAAAGAAAUACUACAUGUCCUUGCGCGCUGAGAUCAUGAGUCGACUAUCUAUGUCUAGUACUUAAUUACUAUCAUGUUUGUGUUCUGUUGAUUUAGGAACUCUUUACCAAUUUCAUACUUGUUUUAUUCACUUCGAACCUAUCGAUGAUUUAGUCUGUUUGAUAUUGAACUAUAAAGUCAUUUAUAAAUUUCCGUUGCUUCCUGGAAAUAGGAGAGAGAAUGGUCAGGGUUGAGCUGAAUCUGCUGAUGGUGCUUGGGGUCUGCCGGCAUGACGAUGGCCUGGGGUGUGCCGGCGUGAUGGUGUGGGUGGCCUUGUUUAGGUGGUUCAUCUUUUAGAAAAAAUUAGAAAAAGAUCGUGUUUGAUAUUGAACACUACAACAAUUUAGAAAUGGAGCAUAUACCAUGCUGAUGAACAUCUACCUUAGUCUACCUUAAUUUCUAAAUGAUGAAUACUAAUGCGCCAAUUACAAAUAAAUUUAUAAAGUAGCAAAAAUUAUUGAAAAUAACAAUUACUAGAGUUGAACUAUAGGUAAUCAUUUGUAGAGGUCUGGAUGAUGUUGCCACAAGUGCUCGAUGAGGUCAUCUUGAAGCUGAUUGUGAAUAUCUUUGUCCCUUAUAUUCUUGUAAUUUUUAAUAAACUCCUCGAGUUCAGGUGUUUCAUCGUGAGAAGUCUUCACCUUUUCUCCCACUCCAUCAUAAUUUAAAUCAUCUUCCUCAUCACGCUCAUCCUCAACUAUCAUGUUGUGCAUAAUGACACAAGCCCUCAUGAUUUGUCUGAGGGUGGCUUCAUCCCAAAAUCGAGCUGGCCCCCUAACGAUAGCGAAACGAGACUGUAGAACCCCAAACGCUCGUUCCACGUCCUUCCUACAAGCUUCUUGGGCAGUUGCAAAAUAUUUCUUCUUGUUACCUUGUGGAUCAGGUAUGCUCUUCACAAUUGUGGCCCACGAGGGAUAUAUGCCAUCAGCAAGAUAAUAACCCAUUGUAUAUUCGUUGUUAUUAAUGGUAUAAUUCACCUUUGGAGCUUGACCUUCAGCUACCCGUGCGAAUAAAGAAGACCGGUGCAAAACGUUGAUGUCGUUGUGGGAACCAGGCAUCCCAAAAAAAGCAUGCCACAUCCAAAGAUCUUUAUCUGCAACAGCUUCAAGUAUAAUUGUAGGCUCAUGCACAUGCCCGGUAUACAUACCUUGCCAUGCCGAAGGACAAUUUUUCCACCUCCAAUGCAUACAAUCAAUCGACCCAAGCAUACCAGGAAAACCUCUACUCUCUCCAAUGGCAAGUAAUCUAGCAGUAUCAUCUUCAUUAGGUGAUCUCAAGUACUCAUCUCCAAAAACCUCAAUAACAGCACUGACAAACCUUCUCAGACUCUCAAUAGCAGUACUCUCACCAAUACUGACAUAAUCAUUUGUAGCAUCAGCUGCUACUCCAUAAGUUAACAUCCGAAAUGCUGCAGUAAUCUUUUGCAGACUAGAAAGGCCAAGUACACCGGCAGCGUUUCUUUUCUGCACGAAAUAUUCAUCGUGUUCCUCUACGGCAUUCCAUAUGCGUACAAACAGUGUACGCCUCAUGUAUAAUAUAAUUUUUUUUGAAAAAAAAUGGUUGAAAUAAAUCUAUUGUUUACGUACCGUCGUCUGAAAUAACUAUGUCCGUACGUAGGAUCAUCUGAAAAAUAAUCUUGAUACAACCUUUGAUGCCCUGCGUGUCUGUCUCGCUGAAGUACUCGAUGACCUAUGAUAGAACCACGAUGUUUUGUUUCAUCAUCGGACUCAUUCACAUUCACGGUCACAUGAGUAACAGAGAUUAAGAAAUCAUCAUCGUCAUCAUCUGACGACGAAUCCAACACUAGGUGCAUCGAAAGGCUUCGAUUCAUAGCAAUUCCUUUUUAGAACUAUUUUUCCUAGGUAUUGACAGCCACAUAAAAACUCAUUACGACAGAAUCCUCGUGCCAAAGCUGAUCGCAACAAAAAAACAAAAUGAAAAUGAUGCUGCGAAGUAAUCAUUACUUUGAUCCGCGCGGUGUACGGAGGAUGCUGGACGGAUGCCGGCAAGGAAUGCCGUGCAGGGGCUGCCAAAGUCCACCGUGCGCGGGGGUGGCGGCGUGAGACCUCUUGCGCACGGGCAGGUGGUGUGAUAGAGUACCGGAGAAGAAUUUUUGAUGGGCUCUGGACACGGUACCAGGGAAAAAAAAAUCAACGGAUACUAAUGGGCCUAAUCCGAUGACGUGGCCUCUUUUAAAUUAUUGGGGAGUAGUUUUUAGCGAUCUGCUGUGGGCUGAUAUGUUUUUUGGGGAAAAAAUUUUUAGCAUAGCCCCCAAUAUCUCAUUUUGGGGAAGAAUUUUUUGGGGAACUCUUGGAGUUGCUCUUAUACGCUACCUGACACUAGAGUAAGCUCCACCUUCACUACAAGGAACAAAAGACACUGCAAACUCCUGGGUAUCAACAGACCGAUGCUUGGGUGCAAAAGGGAUGCGGUGAACAGGCUGCAGCCUAGUAGAGUGAGUCCUCUCCGUCCUCUUCUUCAGGGGAACUAGCAGCUUGUCGCCUCUUAGGGCAGUUGCGGUAGUCAUGAAAGACAUGUUCAUUACAGGACCUGAAGUGUAACUUGAAAUUUGAAAUACCAUAAUUUACAGGUCCCUGCAAAAGAUCAUAAUUUAUUUCUUUGUUCAUGUACAGAUCUAGCAUUUGUGAUACGAGGAGGUGUAACUUGAAAUUUGAAAUACCAUAUUUUGUUUAGGAGGACCUCGUUCUGGGCUUUUAGCUCCUCAUUUUCCUCGAUUAGAUUCUCCAUGUCUUUUGCCUUCAGAGCCAGAUCUGCCCUCAGCUUCUUGUUCUCCUGAGAGUAAUAAUUUAUUUCUGUGUUCAUGUACAGAUCUAGCAUUUGUGAUACCAGGAGAUGUAACUUGAAAUUUGAAAUCAUACUUUGUUUUGGAGGACCUCGUUCUGGGCUUUUAGCUCCUCAUUUUCCUUGAUUAGAUGCUCCAUGUCUUUUGCCCUCAGAGCCAGCUCUGCCCUCAGCUUCUUGUUCUCCUGAGAGUACUGAAGCUCUUUCUUUUUCAUAGCUAACUGAGACCUUAAGAAUUCAAUCUCCAUGGAGAUCCUAGAAGAGUCCUCUCCCUGGGACGAGACAUCCAGAUCUUCUAAAUGCAGAAAAAAAAAGGUCAUGUCAUGUAAAAGAAAGUGAGGAUCAAAAUGAUGGGUUCUACAGUUCUAAACUCCCACAUAACUUCAUUGCCCAUAAUAAGUGAUUUGAAGUCAUCAAACUCAGUGCACACCACUGCUGCUAUUAUCUUGCUACACCUGAAUUCUCUCCCAAUUGUCUGACACGUGCAACUGCAGGAAUACUAUCCAAUCCGCAGGUUUUAGAUACCCUGCCACAAGCCUGAUGCAUGCGUUACUUAAGUAAAGCUAGCUAAGAGCAUGCGUGUGAUGUCAUGUGUAAUUGACUCAAACAAGGUGAUUAUUACAUUGAUACAGUUAGACAAUCACAAAACAAGGUAAAAUUGGCUGUAAAGAUGCCGAUGUCCAAGUGUUAGCCUUGCUCGAUCCAUUCAAGUACUAGAAUUUUGCAGCAUGUAAAUGAUUCAUUUCGAUUGAAAGCAAAGUGUGGUACAUAAGAGCCUAUACAUAAAAGGACUUGUAACACGAGCAGAUACGUUUGCAAACUUCAGUACAUUGCAGUGCUCUCAAGCUUCAAUCUUGUAUUUCUCUACUUUUAGAUCCAACAUCACCAACAACACUGGUAUCUGGUCUGGAGUCAGAGAUAGCUGAGCUAUAAUCCCCGGCCCAAAACACCGGGAUCUGAUCUAUCUAAAGCGCCAGCAAAGUCCACAGCCAGACAAUCCAAGAACACCAACGUUGCGAUGAAAUCUUAACGAGGCAGCAACUUGGCAGUAUUUGUAAUGCAUCACAGAUGGAGACUGUAUAUCAGGCUCCCAUCAAUUGCGACCACGAGCAUAACAAUGGCGGACGUAGAAUCGUCGAUUGACUGCUAUCUGAAAUGGGUAAAAAAUUAAAAGAAGUACGUGCAAUCUCUUACCAUCCCCAUAUCAGGAGCUCCACCGAUGCCACCAAGCACGCCUAUGCCGCCGCGCCCAGCCGCCUCGUCGCCUCCGCCGGCCGGGUUGCCGGAGGAGGAAGAGAACAUCGUGGAGAGGCCUUUUCUUCGAUUCCGGUUGCGGAGAUACACGGGAACAGCUACUGAGUGCAGAACUUCUUCUCUGUCCUGCGGGCUGUGUAUUCCGGUUUGAAACAGGCUGUGUCCCUUUGCCUUCCUCCCACCUUUUUAUUAAUGCGGUCCGGGCUAGACGCAUGAAACCAUAAUUUUUUUUUUGAAGUUGCAACGCUGACGGUUGAAUUACAUCUUUUACAAAGGCCAAUGCACAUUUCAUAUAGGCUGUGUCCCUUUGCCUUCCUCCCACCUUUUUAUUAAUGCGGUCCGGGCUAGACGCAUGAAACCAUAAUUUUUUUUUGAAGUUGCAACGCCGACGGUUGAAUUACAUCUUUUACAAAGGCCAAUGCACAUUUCAUAUUUAUUUUCCAAAAAUAUCACAUAAAGUCAGUCUUAAUGCACAAUUUAAUUGGACAGUUACCGAGACUGAGAACUUAAUAGCUGUGCUUGAUGAGUGUCAUGGAGAUGAAACUCCUCUCCCAUAUGAUGAAAUUCUUUAUUCUCUCCCCUCGUAAUGGUCUUGUCAAGUCAGCAAAAUUGAUAAUACGGUAUACAAUUUAAUGCUCAUGAAAAAACCUUCCAUUGAAACUGGCCUAAGUAAGAUAGCAUUUAUUUCGAUGUUGAAAUAGCUCCAUAGAAUGCAUAAUUCUAUUGUUUAUUAUUUCCAAGACUACAUACAAGAAAUGAAUUUUGAAAAACAAUGUACAUAGGUUUCAAUUAGAUGAAAUCCAUCAUCUCUCUCUUCGUUGAUUCUUUGCCACGUAUACGUCAUAAAAGACACUAACAUGACGCUUCAUAUAAUGAGAAUGAAAAUCCCAUCAAGAUUGAUCCAAUACUAUCUCAAACUAUGACAUGCUAGACCAAGAUUCAAAUAUUUUAAUUUUAACUGAUUUACAUAGUAUACUGAAAUUUGAUAUCAUUAGAUUUGUAUUGAAAAAACCAAUUCCAUACGAUUUCAAAGUAUUUUGUGGUUAUAUACAUUAUAAUAUAUAAGAUAUUAACGGUCAAAAUAUGACAUUGAAGACUGUAAUUAGUCAAACCACAUCUUAGGCUAAUCCAGUUGAGAGUUUAACGGUGUUUAACGGUCAAAAUAUGACAUUGAGAGUUUAGGACAAGGAAAUGGUGUUUAACGAGUCACACACUAAUUAAUGAUUAAUGAGAAUGAUGAGACGUACUAGGAAAAAAAUAAAUCCUAGAAAUUGUAAAAAAAUUAGAAACAUUUGGCCAUCCAUCCGGUAGUUCAAAUUAUCGUAGCCAUUAAAUUUUAUUUAACAUUUUUCCACAACGGUGGAAGGUUUCAAUAGAACUUGAUCGUCUAUGCAUGGUAGCUAUGCUAUAUAACGGCUUUCAUGAACAUGCCAUGCCAUGGCACCUCAGUUAGCCCCGGCAGUAGCUGCUGCCGUCCACACUUGAGAAAUUAGUUCAGCCGGCGUUUCUUGUGCUUGAGCUGCCUGAGCCUGACAACCUCACUGACAGCGCUCCUGCUCACCGUCGCCUUCCGUCCUUCACCAAAGUUCCAGAGCUCGCGCGCCAGGUAACCUCCGCUGGUGUUGUGCUCGUUCAUCUCGAUCACCGCGCGGUCUUCACCGCCAUCGCCGUACUCGUCCCGCGGGCGCCUCUCUCAGCUCCGCGUCGUCGUCGUCGUCGUCGUCGUCCACGACUUUCUGCAACACCCCGAUGAUGACUCGUUAUAUUGCUGCUUGACAAAUUGUGAAAUUAAGACCUUGCAAGUUGGAUAUAAGUAUAUGCCUUGGUUUUGCCAUUGGCGUCGUCAAAAAUCCUGAAAGGCACUUCCUCCUGCCAAUCAGAGAUCAGCGUUGCCGCUCUGACCUGCUUGAAACAAAAUAGCUAAUGCAUACUGAUGGAUGGUUAGUAGCUAAGAGUACCUUUGACUUUUCAACAUCCAUAAUGACACCACUUUUCUUAGCCAAUGAUCCAUCGAUCAACUUGGAGCUUGAGCUUAGUAGAGCCAUUUGUGUCAUUCUUUGUGCUCUUCUCAAACCAGUGCAUGUCCAAGUUCCAUUGUGUCUCGUAACCUCUCCAGUUGAUGCAAGUGCGUCUUUUUAACGUCAAUCUGGGUUUCCAAUAUAUCCACCACUACUGGAAAACGGAAUUUCCCUGUGUGUAUUCAAUUUUCCUGUGGGUUUUUUGAGCACACACAGGGAAAUCAAUUUCCCUGUCGGUGUGCAAACACCACACAGGGAAAUAACCAAACCCACAGGGAAAUUCGCUUUUCCUUGUCGGUAUUAAAAAACACACAGGGAAAUGGUUAAACCCACAGGGAAAAUACUCAUUUCCUUGUGCGUUAGGUAAAACACACAGAGGAAAUCGCAAAAACACACAGGAAAAUACUCAUCAGGUAACCUGUAGUAAAUAGUUAACCAGAGCCUUAUACUACGUAGUAGUAAACUUUAACUGCCACUAAAUUUUGUUUGAACUUGAUUUCACAAUUAUUUCUCCUUCACGUUGAUGCUUUCAUAAAUUGACAUUAGAGUUUUUGAAUCAUAAAAUUUUGACGUUGUAACGGGCCUUUUCAGCAUAUUUGUGUGUGGGCGCUUGAUAAUGUUGGAUUUGUGUGCAGCAUGCUCCAUUUGUCCGGUCCGGUUAGUCUCAGGUACAUGGUGAAAAUAUAUCUUUGUGAGUACUAGAGAUAUGAAAUGGGUAAAAAUUAAAAGAUCCGCGGAAUUUAUUACCAUUCCCCUCAACAGGUCCACCAACGCGGCAUGCUCAUGUUGUCGUGCGCAGCCGCUUUGUCGCCAAUGCCGACCGGGUUGCCAGAGGAGGAAGAGGGCAUUGUAAAGGCCUUUUCUUCUGUCGAUUUCGAUUGCUGAGAUACGCACGGGAACGGUGAUAUAUAGUGACUAUAGCUAUUUCUUAUCUGAUCUGUUUGUGGGCUGUGGCUUCCUGUUGGAAACAAGAAUGUUUCCACCCUUCGCAUUCCUCCCACCUUAACUAAUGUGAUCUUGGCUGGAAGAUGGGAAUCAUAAACUUUUAAAGUUCUAACGGCACCUUUUAGGGAUAUUUGUGUGUUGGACACUCGAUAAUAUUGGAUUUGUGUGCAACACACUCCAUUUGUCCACUCAGUCUCGGCACACGGUGAAAUUAAGUCUUUGUCCAGAACACCAGGGGCGGAUCCGGGACUUCAGGGAGGGGGCUCAUCCUCCUCUUCUAACUCCCUCCUCUCUUUCUCUUCUUCCUCCUCCUCCUAUUCACCCAUGGAUGAAAUUUUUAAGGGGUCUUUAGGGGCUUCAUGGGAUGCAUGGAGAUAGGAGAGCUCCAGCAGUCCAGACCCCAUAGUGGAUCCACUCCCGCACAACACACUAUAGUCACUCCCCUUCCACUUUCUCCCCCGUUCACAAGCUCCAUCACGUCUCCCUCUCACCUCCUGCCCCCACGAGCGCCUCCAGCCUAUCUCGAGUGCAGCUCCAAUGCCUUGGUGUGCCAGCGUCCAUGGUACGCCGGCUAGCUAGCUUCUGCUUAUUUGCAGCGCCUUGUGUGCUGCACCUGCACAUGAAGCCGAUAUAGCUGCAAGUGCUGCACACUUCUACCCAGCUGCAACUGCUGGGCUUGAUGUUGGCUGGCUGCAUCUGCUAUAUAUAGGUGCUGCUAGCUAGCUGCUGCCGCGGCAGCCCUAGCGGACGCUGCAACUAGCACUACUGAAUCCUUGUGUGCAACAACUCUAAGCCUCAGCUAGCAAGUCACACGAGCCUGAGCAAACGUGCGCGUGAGAGAGCCGAUUGAGCGUCACGGGACAUAGGUUCGCUUGGGUGGCCACACGGCACAAAUCUAAGUUAUGUGACCGUGUCAGCUAAUUAAUACAAACUUUUUGCUUGUUGUUCUCGCACGUGUUCAUAUAUACGCAGGGCUACAUCUGCCUCGUGAGCGGCCUCAAGUUCAACGAAGCGCUCGAUUACUGCUUCUCCAGGGGGAUGGAACAUGCCUACCCUUUGCCUUCAUCCCACCUUAACUAAUGUGGUCUGGGAGCCUAGGAUGGGAACAAUUUUUUUGAAGUUAUAAUAACGAUGGUCAAAUUUUGUGCGUGAGACACUUAAACAUUGGAUUUAUGCACAACACAUUUCACUCUUCCAUCCUUGUGUGCAACAACUCUAAGCCUCACCUAGCAAGUCACACGAGCUUGAGUAAACGCACGUGUGAGAGAGCAGAGUGAGUAUCACGGAGAUAUAGAUUCACUAGCCACAUGGCACAAAUCUAGGCCAGGUCCUCACACUGUUGGAUGAUUGACCUUUUGUACCAGUUGGGAAACCCCAUUUAGUGCCGGGUGCCCGACCGGUACCGGGCAGCUCAAUCGGCACUAAACUUAGUACCGGUUGGUUUUACAAACCGGUACUAAAAUUUUAUUCAUUUACUUGUUUUCCUUUUGUUUUAAUUUGCAUUCGUAUCCGUUUGCAUAUACUAAUAAUAUUACGUUAAUAUAUCAAACCAUUCAAAUUCAAGCCUCACAAGUUCGUACAUCAAUACUUAAGGUCUUAAAGACAAUAAGUUCAAAUCCAUAUGAAAAGGGUAUGAGUACAUCCAUGUACGCUACAUAUUUUAUACUUCACUUCGCUUCCUUAGAUAUGCGGCAUAGUUUAAGUCUCCAAUCUUAAAGAACUUCAUCAAUAUAAACUAGAGCAUGAAUUAGUGCACUCUCUAUCGCUUCACAUGGAUGGUCACAUCCACUACCAUAAAUCUCAAACAAUGGAGAGGUAAACUCAUAUGGCCUAUAGAAAGUGAGAUGAGCCUAGAGCUUGAAAUUUCUGAUGCGUACCGGGUUUCCAUCAGUGUAACUAUAAUUCAACACAUCCAAGACUUGAGCCAGAAUAGCAUGAAAGCUCAUUGCUGCAAUGGUUUGACCAAAGAGAUCCUAAAAGAUGAGAAUAGCAUGAUGAAAGUUAAAAGAUGUAACAUAACUAAAGAUAAAAAGAAUGAUUAGACAUGUUCCAUACCAUGUCAUGUUGAUUUAGUUGACAAAGCCUCUCAGUAGUCAUAAUCACGUUGCUUUCUCCCUCCUUGAACGCCUUUAUUCAAAAAUAUGAGAAGUCUGGCACAUAGUACCCAUUAUCCUUAAGCUGUUGUAGGCAGGCGUGGACUUUUCAAAAGUCUACCUAAUUGGUGCUUCCUUACUCCAUCAGCAAUUCAUAACAUUGAGAUGGCCUGUCCUGGUCGUAUCGAGUUGGCCUGUCCUCCUCGAAUCAGGUAGUUCAAAAGAGAUCUUAACUCAUAGCAAAUUACUUGUACCAAUACCUCGGAUUGCACUAAAGGAGUAGUACCGCCUAGAGCUUUGACAACAUCUUUGAGCCAUCUAAUAGGGUUGAUAAGCUACAUUGUAUGAGAGUAAAUUUAUGAAUUAUUCAUGUGCAGUACAGAAAACUAAUUACAAGAAGGAAAAAUAUUACUAUGUUGGGUUUUGCUCCUUGGCUUUGAUUGCCGGUAGGCAAGUCAAUGACGCCAUUAGGGAAUAUUUUUUAAGUUAUAAUAACGAUGGUCAAAUUUUGUGCGUGAGAUACUUUAAUGUUGGAUUUAUGCAUAGCACACUUCACUCAUCCAUCCUUGUGUGCAACAACUCUAAGACUCAACUAGCAAGUCACACGAGCCUAAGCGUGAGAGAGCUGAGUGAAUGUCGCGGGGACAUAGAUUCGCGUGGGUGGCCAUAUGGCACAUAUAUAAGCCGGGUUGUCAUGUCAUGGUGAGCUCUUUGUAGACCAUCCCCACCUAAUUUUCUUCCUUAAUUUGAAUUGGUCUUGGUGCUACUAGGAAAGCGCAUAAACCCGCCAUUGGAAAGGCUAUGUGAUCGUGUCAGCUAAUUAAUAGAAACUUUUGCUUGUUGUGUUCGCACGAGUUCAUAUAUACGCAAGGCUACAUCUGCCUCAUGAGUGGCCUCAAGUUCAACCUAAGAAGUGAAGUGCUCGAUUACUGCUUCUCCAGCGGGAUGGAACAUGCCUACCCUUUGCCUGAGGUCUUGGAGCCUGGGACGGGGAACAAUUUUUUUGAAGUUAUAAUAACAAUGGUCAAAUUUUGUGCGCGAGACACUCUAACAUUGGAUUUAUGCACAACACACUUCACUUGUCCAUCCUUGCAUGCAACAACUCUAAGCCAAAGCUAGCAAGUCACACGAGCUUGAGUGAACACGCGCGUGAGAGAGCCGAGUGAGCGUCACUGGGACGUAGAUUCGCUUGGGUGGCCACACAGUACAAAUCUAAGCUGGUCCUCGUUGUGAGCUCUUUGUGGACCGCCCCCAUCUAAUUUUCUUCCUUAAUUUGCAUUGGUCUUGGUCUGCUAGGAAAGUGCAUAAAACUGUCAUUAAAUAGGGCUAUCUUACCAUGUUAGCUAAUCAAUACAAACUUUUUAUUGUUGUGUUCGCACAUGUUCAUAUAUAUGCAGGGCUAUAUCUGCCUCAUAAGCGGCCUCAAGUUCAACCUAAGAAGCGAAGUGCUCGAUUACUGCUUCUGCAACAGGAUGGAACAUGCCUACCUUUUGCCUUUAUCCCACCUUAACUGAUGUGGUUUGGGAGCUUGGGAAGGGAACAAUUUUUUUUAAGUUUAAUAACGAUGGUUACAUUUUGUGCGUGAGACACUUUAACGUUGGAUUUAUGCAUAGCACACUUCAAUCGUCCAUCCUUGUGUGCAACAACUCUAAGCCUCGGAUAGCAAGUUACUUGAGCCUGAGUAAACGUGCAUGUGAGAGAGCCGAGGGAGCGUCACGGGGACGUAGAUUCGCUUGGGUGGCCACACGGCACAAAUCUAGGCUGGGUCCUCAUGGUGAUCUCUUUGUGGACCGACCCAAUCUAAUUUACUUCCUUAAUUUGCAUUGGUCUUGGUUCUGGUAGGAAAGUGCAUAAAGCCGCCAUUGGAGAGGCAGCUAAUUAAUACAAACUUUUCAUUGUUGUGUUCACACAUGUUCAUACAUACGCUGGGCUACACCUGCCUCAUGAGCGGCUUCAAGUUCAACCUAAGAAGCUAAGUGCUCGAUUGCUGCUUCUCCAACAGGAUGGAACGUGCCUACCCCUUGACUCAAUCCCACCUUAACUAAUGUGGUCUGGGAGCCUGGGACGGGGAACAAUGAUUUUAAAGUUAUAAUAAUGAUGGUUAAAUUUUGUGCGUGAGACACUUUAAUAUUGGAUUUAUGCACAGCACACUUCACUCGUUCAUCCUUGCGUGCAACAACUCUAAGCCUCAGCUAGCAAGUCACACGAGCCUAAGUAAAUGUGCGCGUGAAAGAGCUGAGCGAGUGUCGCGAGGACGUAGAUUCGCUUGGGUGGCCACACAGCACAAAUCUAGGCUAGAACCUCAUGGUGAGCUCUUUGUAGACCGUCCCUACCUAAUUUUCUUCAUUAAUUUGCAUUGGCCUUGGUUCUGCUAGGAAAGCACAUAAAACCGCCAUUGAACAGGGCUAUCUGACCGUGUUAGCUAAUUAAUACAAACUUUUGCUUGUUGUGUUCGCACAUGUUCAUGUAUACGCAAGGCUGCAUCUGCCUCGUGAGCGGCCUCAAGUUAAACCUAAUGAGCGAAGUGCUCGAUUACUACUUCUCCGGCGGGAUGGAACAUGCCUACCCUUUGCCUUCAUCCCACCUUAACUAAUGUGGUCUAGAAGCUUGGGAUGUGGAACAAAAUUUUUACAAUUACGAUAGUCAAAUUUUGUGCGUGGGACACUUGAUAAUGUUAGGUUUAUGUACAUGACGCUUCACUUAUCCAUUGACACACACCAUGAAAAUAUCUCUCUGUCCCCUCGACUUCCACUCUCUCCCCGUCCACAAGCUCCACUCCCUCUCUCGCCUCCUACCCCACAAGCACCUCCAGCCUAUGUCGUGUGCAGCUCCCCUAGUUGCCUUGGUGCGCCGGCGUACAUGGCAUCCUGGCUACGCCGAUGAUAGCGACUCUUAGCUAUUAUUUCUGCCUAGUGAUGGGCCUGCACCUACUUUGUUCCUCCAACUCAUCGUUGCCUCCCAUGCCACGGCACGAUGAUCAUUGCAGUGGCGCUCGCCACUUGUGCCAAGCCACCGAGGUGUGCAGUGCAGGCGCCAUGGCUAUAUGUCACAUAUGAGACAUAUAGCAAUCUAUCACAUACCAGCGGGACCCACCCGUUAUUGACAGGUUCCUCCUGCUUCCUCUUCCUCUGUCCCGAGCCCAUCCACUCUCCCCUUCCCCGCUGCUUCCUCCUCUCCCUUCGGUCACCUCCAGCGCUGCUAGGGUUAGGGGCUUCGAGCUUCGGGGUUGCCGGGGGAGGUCUAAUGGCCGCUGGUACUAGAAAAAUGGGUGGGGAUGGGAGGGGAGACCUGCGGUGGAGGUGGGUUGUGGGGCGGUGUGGCGCGGCGGCGGGGACGCCACCGGUCGGGUCCAACGGCUUGAUUGCCGGUGGGCCAAGGAUGGGCCGGGGCGAGGGUUAUGAUGGUGGAGGUGAGCUCCUAGUGGAGCCAGGUUAGGGUGGCGGAGGGUGGUGGCGGGAGCCGUCGGAGCCGGAGGAGGAAGGUGGCACGGGGGUGACGAGCUAGGUUAGGACGACGGAGGGUGUUGGCGGCGGAUGCGGCUGCGGGAGCCGCUGGAGCUGGAGGAGGAAGGUGGCGCAGGAGUGAUGCUAGUGGGCCGUCACUGAAGGCAACAACGGCAGAUUUGUUGCCUUCAGUGAAAUAUAGAACCACCCCGCGCAGGCUCGCGAACGUCAGGGCCGGGGCGGCACCCAAGGGUGGUGGAGUUGCUGUUGCUGCAGUACAUGGUGAUGGGCGCCUCAACGUGUUGGGUAGCUGGAGUUCUACGACCAGGCGCCAGUGAACAGCUUUCCCCUUUUUGUUUACGUCGUCAAGAAACCAAUUUACUUCCUUAAUUUGUAUAUUGUUCUAGUUCUUCUAGAAACCUGUCUAAAAUCACGAUUGAAUAUGGCUAUCUGACCGUGUCAACUGAUUAAUACAAACUUUUACAUGUUGUGUCCGCGUGUGUUCAUAUAUACGCAGGGCUAUAUCUGCCCCGUGAGCGACCUCAAGUUCAACCUGACGAGCGAAGUGCUCGAUUACUGCUUCUCCGGUGCUGCCUUCCUCAUUCCUUAAUUAACGUGGUCUGGGCUGGAAGCCUCGGACUGGGAACAAAAAAAAAAGUUGAAGUUAUAACGGCGGCGGUCAAAUUUUGUGUGUGGAGCACUUGAUAUGCUGGGUUUAUGCGCAACACGCUCCACUGGGUAGUCUCAGACAUACCGUGAAAAUAUCUCUAUGUCCACGACACAUUAUAGUCACUCGAAAGACCAUAUUAUCUUUCUGUCUCCACGACGGGGCUCCGCCUCCUCACACGGCUCCAAGGCGCCAACCUCUGCUCCGACGGUCCGGCCCUACACGUCGCUACUCCGUCACAGAUGGCCAAGCUCCGGCACUCGUUUCCUCCUCUCCUGCGCUACCACGGCACGAUGAUCGCUGGAGUGGCGCUCGCCACUUGCGCCAAGCCGCCACCGAGGUGCACAGCGCAGGCUCGCAACGUCAGGGCAGGGCCGCCCGGCCGGGACGGCACCCAAGGGCAUCGUGUUGCAGCUGCCGCAGUACAUCAUGUACACGGUGAUGGCUGCCUCAUCAAGCCUUCAACAUGUUGGCCUUGGGUAGCUGGAGUUCUACGCCCAGGCGCCUUGGAUGACGGGUGGACACAAGGGACAAAGAAAGAGAGAGGGAGGGCAUACAAAUCAUUUUAUUAGCUGAAGUGUCCUGGAGACAAAAAUCAUGUACUCGCGGUGUGUGCAUGAGGCUAACUCGACGAAUGGAAAUACUUAGUCUAGGAAUUUAUACAGUACAGUAAAAAAAAGUUACCCACAACUGCUACUGAAAAUGUGCUCCUACACCAGUAGGACUGGACUGGGCAGCUCGCAUAAGCAGUAGUACUUGCGGACAUACAUCGAACAAAGACAAGAAACGAUUUAAAAUCAGUACUUUAUUUAACAUUUUCACAACGGGAGGAAUUGAAGGUUUCACUGGACUUGAUGCUCUAUUGGUAGGCUAUAGAGCUUCCAUUCACCAGCCAUGGCACCUCAGUUAGCCCGGCCGACCGCCGUCCCCCUUGCGCAGCUGCUGCAAUCCACGUCCUAUUUCCGCGUCCAACUUUGCUACUUCCUUCUCCAGUUCCUGUUCAAAAAAAAUUGUAAUUAAACAACUAAGCUACUAGGUCUCGAAAGAAAAUUAGCAAUGCAUAAGAAACACACUGACACUGAGUCACUGAUGACAGUUCGCUAAGAGUACCUUUGAUUUAUCAACUUUCAUAAGGACACCACUUUUCUCGGCCAAUGAUCCAUCUAUUAACUUGGAGCCUGAGCUUAGUAGAACCAUUUGUGUCAUUCUUGUGCUCUUCUCAAGCAGUGCAUGUCCAAGUUUCAUUGUGUCUUGUGACCUCUCCAGUUGAUGCAAGUGCGCUUUCUUAACGUCAAUCUGGGUUUCCAAUAUAUCCACAACCUUCAUGGACACAGGGAAAAUAAGAUGCAUCACUAAAUUUUAUCUGAACUUGAUUUCACAGUUAUUCCUUGAUGAUGAUGCUUUCAUCAAUCGACAUUAGAGUUUAGAACUCCACCGUCUCAGUUUCAAUAGAAAUCCACUGAAAUACGAGUACGUCAUUUUCCUGAGGAGCUAAACCAAUAUAUGAUGCAUUAUUUACACACUAGAAAGGAGAGUUAACAGAUUUCUAACAAAGUUCCGAUCACAAUUCGCAAGCUUACAUCCUUUUGGGAACCUUCCAUGUCAGUUAUGAGCUUCUCGUUCAACUUCGUCGGAAAGUCCAUUUCUUGAGGCAUCUUGGGAUCUUAAUCUGCACGCAGAAAGAAAAAAAAAAGAGUCGCAAGCCGUUAAGUGUUCAGAAUAGUGGUUCUCCUCCUGGGCAACUCAGCAUCUUUUGCACGCAGAAAACAAAAAUCCAAAGCCAUUAAACUACAGUAUGUCAGAGAGGAUUAAUUUAAAAAACAUGCAAAUAAAUCAGAGUACGAGUUCAGAGUAGUUCUUUGUGGAUUUAUCAUGAUUGCAAGGUACAAAUGAAGAUCAUAUAUCGGAGCAUUAGAUUACUGACACAGAACACCAGAUUGAGCAGAUAGUAGGCUACUCCUGCAGACCGAGAGUGACUGGUACAAAUUAAACUAGCAAGGUGAUGAAACCUCGAUCUCUUACCACCACCGCCACCACCGGCACCAGGUUGGUUGACGCUACCGCGCACGCUCUGGUCACCGAGCACACCGACCUCGCCGUCGCCGUCUCCGCCGGCAAGGCCCGCCGCUGCAGCGGAGGAGGAAGAGGCCAUCAGGAGAUGGUGCUUGGUAAGGUGCGGUGGAAUGGGAGCAGUGGUGCUGGCUUUAUAGGCCACUUCGUCUCUGUCCUCUGUUCUCUGGCCUCCCAACCCUCCAGCUUCCGCAUUUCUUUAUCGGUUAAUGCGGUUCAGUUUUUCUCUGGCAGCCAGAAACCUUGGAAACUGUCCGUGUUUGCCAUUUUCUUUUUGAGAUCACAAUCGAUUAGCAAAGAAGUCCGGAAGUCUAACGCUAACGCCGAUGCAUGCUUGCGAGCUGUCGAGUUCUCUGUACUAAACUUUAAGCACUCUGCAGAAGCCAGAUAGUUCAGUCAAAUGCUACAUUCUAUCUAAGGCUUAAUGGCAACUUUUUUGUAACUUCUUUUUUAAUUCAGGAAUAUGCUCGACAAUCUGUCCAUGUAGGCUAUCAUUAUCAAACACCUACACGAAUAGGAUUGUAGCGUUCACUCAUCCUACUUCCAUUCAUCCAGCAUGUACGAUGUGCACCUACACGAAAGCAACCAAACACACCCUUCGUUCAUCUUCAGAGCCAGAAGAGUAUAGGUAGCGGUCUUCCGGGGUCAGUCAACCAAAUGCUAGGCGUCAGGAUAGCCUUACCAGAGUUUACUCCUGCAAAAACAAUCACGUCAACAAAUUCACGUGCUACCUCCACCACCAUACGAACAAAGCAAGCGCUAUCUUAAUGAUGUGAUAUGAGAUUCGAACAGCAACAGUCAAAAAGUCUGUUGCUCGGUACUCUGCUUAGUAUCAAGAGGUGUUUGGGAUACAAGUUGCUAAACUUUAGCAGAAUCAUAUCGGAUAUUCGGAUGCUAAUUAGGAAGAGUAAAUAUGAUCUAAUUACAAAACUAAUUGCACAGAUGGAGUCUAAUUCGUGAGACGAAUCUAUUAAGCCUAAUUAGUCCAUGAUUUGACAAUGUGGUGCCACAGUAAAUGAUGGAUUAAUUAGCUUUAAUAGAUCUCGCGAAUUAGACUCCAUCUGUGCAAUUAAUUUUAUAAUUAGACUAUGUUUAAUACUACUAAUUAGUAUCAAACAUCCAAUGUGACAGGUGCUAAAGUUUAACGGGAGUAUCCAAACCACCCCUUAGAUCAUAUGCCAGUGCUACCAAUAGAAACGUGUCAUUAAUUCAAUCAGUCAGUGGCAAAUUAAUACACAGUAAGCAUCAUCAAACCGAGCAUACAGAUGCUAGAAAUAGGUAAGCAUGAUUAGCCGGUUACACAUGAACGAUCAGAUGAUCGCACACAAGAGAAAGCCAAGCAGGCUACUACAUAUGCACACCUGCACAGCAUGAGGCAGAGUCUUGCUUCGCUAUCUCCAUGACACCAACAAAGUUGUGAUCUUCGAUUGCGUCCGAGAUAUACCGAUAUUUAGACAAGUCGGGUCUGCUAUUCCAAUAGAAGCCUUUCAUGAGGAAACUUUCCCGCCGGUUUUGGUGUCGCUCCUAUGUUGUUUAUUUUUCUUGAAACUUGACUUUGACUUGCGACCGGUAACCAUGAGAUCACAAAUUCUCAUGUCUACCUCUGUAUCAUCAAAGCCAAUAUCCGAGACAUCUUGGACCUGCUGUGUCGUAGCCAUCAGCUGUUUAGCUGAAGCCUUCUCGGACUCUGCCUCUUCAAUUUUCUUCUGAGUGCGUUCCAGGUAGGCAGCAUAGGCUUGCAGCAAACAGAAGAUCAGUAAAUUGGUUGAAAAGGCCAUCAUAUGUAUACAAAUUAUAUAUAUACCCAAAAAAAAAGCCUUACCAGCAAUCUCCUUCUUGAGAGCUGCCUUGGUCUCAACAAGUUUACGGUCCAUAGCCAUCAGCUGGUCAACGGCAGUCUCCGAUUUGGUCACUUGAGUUUGGAGAUGGCCGAUCUCCUCGAAGUUAGAUGCAGCUUGGCAAAGGAUUGCCUGCAAAACACGUGUAAGAAAAAGAAAAAGAUCAACAACUUGACUACAGGUCAUACCUCUGCUUGCUUGAGGCACGGAACAGACUCCAGAAUAAUGUCCCCGGAGUUUUUGGUCCCAAUAUCAGUGCAUCCAUUGAGCCCGUCAUUCAAGCCCUGAGAAGUUGACUGAACUGUUGGAAUGUGGAAAGUUUAAAGAAGAGAUGGGCUCAGUGACAAUGUUGAAAUCUAUUCAGAUGAACAUGGAGUUACGAGAUACGCAGAGAAAAUCCAUAGGCAGAAUUGCAGAUGAAAUGGAGUUACAAGAUACACAGAUGAACAUGGAGUCACAAGUUUACUCGGCCAAGUUUUUUUUUGAAUUUUCUAAAAAAUGUAUCACAUACUCCAGAUGAAUAAAUAUGGACACUUCAAUGGACAGUUGGCUUACUUUUGACUAAUCUUCAGUUUUUCUAUUGACACCAAUUUUCUCAGCCAAUGAUGCAUACACCAAGUUGGAGCUUGAGUCUAAUUGUUUGAAAGUGGGAAAGAAAACGAACUUUGUCAUAAUGCCUUUGGUGCACAGCCCAAAAAAAAACAAAGCUGAACAAUGAAUAUUAGGGCUGGCUAUGCUUAAAACCAACCUGCUUGCAUAAACAAGUGCACAUCAGACCAAAAUAAUUUGGCAAUACUUGAAAAGGGUUAAACCCUAUUACUCAGGUAACCUAUAAUAGCUAUAUUAAAAAUUUCAGCAUCAAUACUUUUAAGGAUUUUUUGUAACUAUAUUUUGAAGGUUUGAUGGAACUGGAUCAAUUGAAAAUAUGUGAUGCAUGGCAUAAAUAUAACUGAUGAUUCUAUUUUGGUGAAUUUUGAGAAACUUCCCAUCACCAUACAUACAAAAAGGGGCAUGUAAAAAGAUUGUAUACCUUCCACAGACGACUUGACCUCCUCAGGCUGUGGAAUUGGAAAGAAUGUUCUGUACAGCUCCUCAAGUUGCAGCAAGUCCUUUCUCUUAGUGUCAAUCUCAUUUUCCAGAAUCUUCAUAAUCUUCAUAAUCUUGAUUGAUAACAAGAAAAGUUACAGCAAAUUAGACAUUUCUACUCUACCUCCAGAACUUAGUAAGCAUUCACAAACUUCUAAUGAACCAUGAUUUCAUUUUGAUUAGCCCAGGUUUACAUUGAACUAACCCUUCAUCCAUGGUACAAGUGUAAUAAACAUAGGAGGUCUCAGGUCUAGUGUUGUGAUUCUCUUCUUCUUAAGCGAAUGGCCGAGCUCCUGCGCUUCCUUUAAAAGAAAUUACUAAAUGAAAUCUUACAUGCUUAUAGAGGCCUUGCAGCUCCUUAUUCCACUUCCUCAUGCUAUCGUUGAUCUUGGCCUGCAACUCCUCAUUCCCCUUCGUCAGGCCAUCAUCCUUGGCCUGCAGCUCCUCAAUCCGCUUCGUUAGGCUGUCAUUCCUGGCCUGCAGCUCCUUGUUCCCCUUCGUUAGGCUUCCAUUCUUGGCUUGCAGCUUCUCACUCCGCUUCCUUUGGCCGUCAUUCUCUGCAUGCACCUCCUCAAUCCGCACCAUGAGGCCGACAUUCUUGGCUUGUAGCAUCUCAGUCUGCUUCCUGAGGCCAUCAUUCUUGGCUUGCAGCUCCUUAUUCUGCUUCAUCAGGUCAUCAAUCUUGGCUUGCAGCCCUGCACUCCACUUCAUUAGGCCGGCAUUUUUGGCAUGCAGCCUCCUGUUCUGCUUCAUCAUGACAUCACUAAUGGUUUGCAGCUCCGCUAGGCUGACAUUCUUGGCUUGCAGCUGCUCAUUAUGAAUCACUAGCCCAUCAUGCUUGGAUUGCAGCUCCUCAUUCUGUUGCAUCAGGCCGUCAUUGUUUGCUUUCAACUCAUUCUGGAUAGUUAGGCCGCCAUUUUUGGCUUUUGGCUCCCCAUUCACCAUCUUCAUGCCGUCAUUACUGGUUUGCAGUACCUCAUUCUGCUUCACCAGGCCACCAUUAUUUGCUUGCAACUCCUCAUUCUGCUUCACCAGGCCAUCAUUCUUGUCGUACAACUCCUCAUUCAGCUUUCUCAUUCCAUCAUACUUGGCCUGCAUCUCCUCAUUCUGCUUCCUCAAGCACUGUAUCUCUUUCACUUUCACAGCCAGCUCAACUCUCAGCUUCUGAUUCGCCUCACAGUAUCCAAGCUCUUUCACAUCCUCAUCUAGUUGAGCCCUCAGGUCUUUGAUCUCCUUUAAAAUUCUCUGAGAAUCCUCACACACCACCGUCAAAUGUUCUGCCCAUGGGUGACAAAUAUUAAAGCCAGCAUGAAGAAGAGCGUGAAUGAUUGAAGUGGCUUUUCAGUAACACGUACCUCCAUUCCCAACCAGACUGCCCAAAUCUCCGGACAGAACCGCGGCUUUCCUCUUUCUGCUUCCAGAUUCUGCCCCAAGAUCCUGACCUGCUGCAGCUGCAAAAACAAAGAAAUGAUUUCCCUUGAGUAAGUGUAAGCUAGAUACCCCAUUUCAGGUGCAGCAAGGCGAGUAAUGUAGUACGAGUCUGUUCCUGAGAAUAUUACACAUCACUGCUGACCACAAACAAAGACAGUAAAAGGAAUGAGAGAAUGAGAUGGCUGAACACAAACUGAUUUGUUUCAACAAUAAGAAGUGUCAACAAAACUGAUGAUCCAAGCAACCGAUUAGAGUCAGUCGACAUAUCGUGUCAGCAUUCAGAUACUCUGCAUGCUUGAUUUUGACCAAUACUCACAGUUGAUUUCACUUGACAUUUGCCUUAAUUCAAGCGCGAUUGCUCCCCGGUAGCCGUAUCACGCCACUAUACUCCUCUAUUUCCACAAGUUCCACCAUUCAGACUAUUACUCCUGAAGGCCAAAAGGUCUCGAAUCGAAAGAGUAUGCGACCCUCACCCAAGGUCGCAGGAAAUGAAAUGAAGGGAAUGAGCAAUCCGGUAUUCGAAAUGCAUGACAGAUCAGACUAGGUAUCCACGCCGCUCGACCGCAAAGAACAACAGGGAAGUGUAGCUAAACUGAAAUGCAGGGAAGUAGUACAAGCAGAUCAAGGGCUCCAGGCACCCUCGCAAACAAAAAUAAAAAAUAGAAAAAGAAAUGUGAUCAGGUGGGAGAAAGAGAAAUCGUGGCUUCUCUUACCACCAGCAGCACUUGGAUCGACUCCACGGGGGAUGGGCCGCCCGCCGCCCUCUCCCGCCCCGUCGUCUCCGCCGGCGGGGGCCAUGGCUACGGCGGAGGAAAGAGUGGUGUUUUUCUUUGUUGCCUCGCUUGCUAACGGCAGGCCACGGGGGUGCGACGUGUCACUUGUGAGCUCUCUGCCUCUCUGCGCCUGUCUCUCGAGUAUCCACCUCCCACUCUCCCCAAUAAAAAAUAUUUUUUAUGCUCUCUUUCCAAAAUAUUGUUUAUGCUUUGAUUGCCUACUUAACGCAAAGUACUCCUCUAUCUACAAAUGAGACACCGAAGAGAGAGAGAGAGAGAGAGAGAGAGUGCAUGGCAUUAACUGCACAUUUUACCUGAAAACGAUUGAGGGUGCCAUGAACAGACAUGUCUACAUACAUACAUCAUUAUCAUUGUGUCAAACUCUAAAAUAACUUACCGAAUGCAUUUGCAGUCGUGGGGAAUAUUUCUAGAACAAUUUAAAUUGCAUUUAAAAACUCAUAUAAGAAAAGAAGACAUUGCAUAUACAAUGGAAUGGAAUACCAUGUUUGAAUGCAAAACUGAAUCCCUGCAAUGGAACUGGGGUUUUUUUUUCAAAGAAAAAACAAAAAAAUUGCUCAUCUCACAACAGUAGGCGUCAGUGUAGCCUUAUCAGAGUUUGCUCCUGCUAAAACCAUCACCAUAUGUCCAUAACCCCUCAUGCACGCUCUGAAAUGAGAUACCUCAACCACGCAAGAACACAACGGCUUAGUAAUCAGAUGCAAUGCAAGUGCCACCAAUAGAAACUUGUUCUCCAAUGCAGACAGUCAGUGGGAAAUGCCACUGCAUUGAUUUUACAAAGAAAAAAAUGAAUACUCCAAAAUGAUCAGAUGAACAUGUAUCAUCGGACCAACACCAGGUAGCUAAAUUACGGUACAAAUGCUGUAAAUAGGCAGCAUGAUAAGCCGAUUACGCAUGAAUGCUCAGACGAUCGCACACAAUUGAAAGCCAAGCAAGGCCACAGCACUUGCACCACACCUGCACAAUAAUACAAUAUACAGACACCUAGGAACACAAAGGCAACGGGUUGGUGUCAUUCAGUUCACCGAUCACAUCAGUUUUCAGGACAGAAAGCGGCAACAACACCACCACAUGCACACAUCACAUACGCUUGUAAUGUCUCUAGGCAAAGGGAGAACACAGAGGAUACAUCUCCUACCUCAGGAGUCAGGAGGGGGGAUCCAGCAGCACAGCUGCACGCGGCUCCCACAAAAGCACCAAUGGCGCGCAUGCACUACUACUUAGUGGCUUGGUGGGCUUGAGGACCCUGUGUUGUUUCACGUUUCAUCUGCCCAAACAGGUGCUUGAGGACCUCCUCCAUCGUCGCCCUCCAGCCUUCCCCAAAGUUCCAGAGCUCGGGCACCACAUAACGCCCGCUGGGGUUGUACUCGUUCAUCUCCAUCAGCGCGGCCUUCACUGCAUUGCACACAUCCUCGCCAUACUCGAUCAGCAGGAACUUCAGUUUUGGAUCAUCGUCAUCUAGAAAUUCCUGCAACAAAGUAGGAUGACUAUGAUUCCCAAACAAAUACUAGCCUCUACAAAUGCCAAAGAUAACACCAAACUUGGAUAGAAAAAUACAGUAAAUACCUUGUGUUCUCCAUUAACCUGAACAAUCAUAAAAGGAUGCCAGAAUGGGUUCUUCAAUUCCUCCUGCCAAGUUGAGACCAACUCUGCUGCUCUCAUCUGGUAAUCGUCGUCUCCAUAUUUUCUCUUACAUGCAUCUUGAAAUGGCUUCUCGUUAAGUUCUCCCAUUCUUUUGAUCCCAAUAGCUCUCUGCCCAUUUAACUCGUCUAAACCCUGAGGAUCACGAUAAUCAUUUCAUCAAUGAAAAACAGCUUAUGAACAUCUGCUGAUGGAGAACACGUUAGAUGCAUGGUAACUGUUAAAACAUUCACAAAAAUAAAACGAGCAGUACCACAAUCAACUCUUCAAACUUUCACGCUCUUUCCUCACAAGACAUCCGGUCAAAUCUUCCAGCCCGUCAUUAUUAGAUUCCAGCUCCUCAAUCCCAUUCAUCAGGCUACAAAUCGUGGCUUGCAGGUCCUCAUUCCUCUUCAUUAGUCCAUCAUUCUUGGCUUGAACUUCCUCACUCUGCUUUGUUAGGCCAACAUUCUUGGCUUGCAGCUCUCCAUUCCGCUUCCUCAUGCUGUCUAUAUUGGUGUGCAGCUCCUCAUUCUCCCUCGCCAGAUCGUCAUUCUUGGUUUGGAGGUCCUUAUUCUGCUUAGCCAGGCAAUCAUUCUUGGCCUGCAGCUCCUUAUUCUGCUUCACCAGGCCGACAUUCUUUGCUUGCAGCUCCUCAUUCCCCUUUGUUAGGCUUACAUUCUCGACCUGCAGCGCCCCAUUCCGCUUCCUCAUGAUGUCUAUUGGUUCGCAGCUCAUCAUUCUCCUUCACCAGAUCAUCAUUCUUGGCUUGCAGUUCCUUGUUCUGCUUCGCCAGGUCAUCAUUCUUGACAUGCAGCUCCUCAUUCUGCUUCCUCAUUCCAUCAUUCUUGCCUUGCACCUCCUCAUUCUGCUUCCUCAGGCACUGCAUCUCUUUCGCCUUCAGAACCAGCUUAACUCUCAGCUUCUCAUUCUCCUCAACCAGAUCAUCAUUCUUGGCUUGCAGGUCCUUGUUCUGCUUCGCCAGGCCAUCGUUCUUGGCCUGCAGCUCCUUAUUCUGCUUCACCAGGCCGGCAUUCUUUGAGUUCAGCUCCUCAUUCCACUUUGAUAGGCCGACAUUCUUGGUUUGCAACUCCCCAUUCUGCUUCCUCAUGCUGUCUUUAUUGGUUCGCAGCUCCUCAUUCUCCUUCACCAGAUCAUCAUUCUUGGCUUGCAGUUCCUUAUUUUGCUUCGCCAGGCCAUCAUUCUUGGCUUGCAGCUUCUCAUUCUGCUUCCUCAUUCCAUCAUUAUUGCCUUGCACCUCCUCAUUCUGCUUCUUCAGGCACUGCAUCUGUUCCGCCUUCUGAACCAGCUCAACUCUCAGCUUCUCAUUCGCCUCACAGUACCCAAGCUCUUUCACAUCCUUAUCUAUUUGAGCCUUCAGGUCUUCAAUCUCCAUUAAAAGCUUCUGAGAAUCCUCGUACGCCACCUCCAAAUGUUCUGCCCAUGGGCAACAAAUAUUAAAGCCAUGGCAUGAAGGGUGAAAGAUCGAAGUGGGUUUUCAGUAACACGUACCUCCAUUCCCAACCAGAUUGCUCGAAUCUUCAGACAUAACUGCAGCUUUCCUCUUUCUGCUUGCCCCAAGAUCCUGGCCUGCUGCAGCUACAAAAACAAAGAAAACAUUUGCUUUCAAGAAGUGCAAGCUAGAUAACCCACCACAGGUACAACUAGGCGUAUAAUAUAUCACAAAGUCUGUUCCUAAGCCUUACAUAUCACCGCUGAACACAACCAAACACAGUAAAUGGAACGAGAGAAUGAGAUGACCGAACAGAUACUGAUUCUUUUUCAAUAAAACUAAACAUAAAGAUGUGUCAACAAAACUGAUGAUCCAGGCAACCAAUUAGAGUUGACAUAUCGUGUGACAGCCUUCAGAAACUCUGCACGCUUGAUUUUGACUAAUUGUCGCAGUUGAUUUAACUUGGCAUUUGCUUUAAUUCAAAUGCGAUUGUUCCUUGUAGGCAGCAUCACGUCAAUAUACUCCUCUAUUCCUACAAGUUCCACCGCUCAGAUAGUCAGAUUAUUACUCCUGAAGGCCAAAAGGCUUGUGCCUCCAAUCGAAAGAGUAUGGUAUUCGAAAUGCAUAACAGAUCAGACUAGGUAUCCAAAUACACCGCUCGAUCGCAAAGAACAGUAGAGAAGUACUGUAGUAGAUAAACUAAACUGCAGGGAAGUAGUACUAGUAGCAGAUCAAACGCUCAAGGUGCCCUCCCGCAAACAAAAAGAAAAAAAAAUGUGAUUAGGUAAAAGAAAGGGGAACCACCAGCAGAAGCAGAACUUCGAUCAACACCACGGCGCAUGGGCGGCCCGCCGGACUCUCCAGUCUCGUCCCCUCCGCCGUCGGUGGCCAUGGCUACGGCUGCGGAGGAAGAGGGCACUGAUGAAGAGAUGGGGUUUUCUUUUUGCUUUCCUGCCUCGCUUGUUAACGGCACUACCGCACUAGUAGGUAUACAAACUACGCCACUCGACCGCAAAGAACAUCAUAGAAGUAGUAGACAAACUAAACUGCAGGGAAAUUGUAGUUGCAUAUCAAGGGCUUAAGGCACCCUUGCAAUUUGCAAACAAAAGUAGAAAAGAAAAGGGAAAUCGUUUCUUCUCUUACCACCACCAGGAGGAAUUCGAUCGACACCACGGCACACGGGCGACCCGCGGGACUCUCCCAUCUCGUCACCUCCCCGGCGGGGGCCAUGGCUACGGCGGCGGAGGAAGAGGGCACCGAUGAGAAGAGGGGGUUUUCUUCCUUUCUGCCACGCUUGCUAACGGCACUACGGCAGGGGAACGGCCCAAGGUGGGGUUCUGUGAGCUCUCUCGACCUUCCAAGAGACCCACAAGGCUGGUUUGGUUGGAGGCAAUUGAUGGGGGUAGAGAGAGUUUAGAUGCAAAAAAUUAAAAGUAUAUUGUUUGUUGUCUGUUUGGUGGGUUUAGGAAUUUUAAUUGAAAGAGUAAUGGGAGUUUAGAAAAGUAACUCUCACCGAUCACUUUAUAUGAAAGGGGUGGAAAUUUAUUUUAAGUGGAAGAUAGAUGAAUCUACACUGUUAAUCAUUACUUGAUAUAAUUUUCCACCUCUAAAGUCUAAAGCCCACACAAAACAAGAGAUAUGAAAAUCUCACUUAAAUUUCUACUCUUAAUUCCAUCCAAAAGACAAACAUGCAAUGGGACUUGUUGGGAUCUGGAUUUGAAUUGUAAACGUCACCCUCACAUGCCGCUUUAAAGAAUUGGAUCAUCACAAUGAUAAUCGAAAUAAUCUUCACCUUCGCUCAAAGGUAACACCCUCGUUUCCUUUUCUUACCUUCAUCACCUCGGCUGCGAGGGUGCGGGGAAAUUGUUUUGAUCGUGUCUGCAGGUACUCGCGCUGGAGGGCGUGAAGCGAAGGUAUUCGGCAAACUUAGAAGAGCGAGGCGAAGGUUGUGAGCACAUUCGAUGUCCAAAAUCCAAGGCCUAAGAUCAUUUGGGCGAAGGUGUGAAGGAUUAAGGUCACGUUGUGAACGUGACCCCGGUGAUAUGAAUAGCAUGACUCGGUUAGGGUGUACAAAUCGGAUUAGAACUCUUUCUUGUACAACAUAUUUUUGGAAUGUAAUGGUUAAGUGAGGGUAAAUUCGGUAUGUAAAAGUCGGUUGGCCUCCCUAUAAAAGGGGAGGCACCCCCACUGUACAAGGGUUCACAUUUUUUAGAAAUACAAGCCUUAAGAGUUUUGUUUUCCAUUUGUGUGUGCUUUCUUUAAGUUUUCGUUGAAGAGCUCACUCUAAACCAACAUUUUGGCGCCCAUUGUCGGUGUUUUACACUCGGCAACCUACCGAGGGUAUCCUUAGAUAGUAGAUUGGUUGGUGGGGGAUCGUCGGAUCUGGAACUUGAUGGUAAAAUCAAGGAGAUUUAUACAGGUACGGACCGCCAGAGUAGCGUAAUACCCUACAUCCUAUUUGGGGUGUUGUAUAUUGCGGCCCUACGCUUGGGUGUUGCUUGGUGUUGAGGAUUUGAUCCUCUGUUGUGGUUUUGCCGAUCUAGGUACCCCUACCCUCCUUUAUAUACUCCAAGGGGGGUGGGAUUACUAGUCGGUUACAAGGCAGAAGUCCUAUUAGAAUUAUAGGGUACGAGUCCUAAUAGAAUUACAGGGGAAUCCUAGGAGUCCGUCUUCUUCCUUCCUUGCAGAUACUAGGGAUUUAUCCCCGACAAGCCACCAAGCGCUUCAUAGUCGAAUGCAGUAGUCUUCAAAUACUUUGUAGAUCCUCACCAAGUAGUAUUAGUUCUCCUCGAGUAAUUUGUCUAGCUGAAUCUUCAAAGUUAUUUGAAGCUACCAUGAAAUUAUGGUGUGCUCAAGUCCUUGAUCGUCUUGAUUUCGUAAUCUUCAUCUUUGGAAUGUGAUAUGGAGGGCGGCGGAAGUUGCACUCCAUAUGGAGUAACCCCUGAGCCUUAGGUUGAAUCGAAGAAUCAGGCUAAGGGUCAAUAAAAUCUUGAAUCUUCUUCUUUUAUCUUGAAAAAAUCAACUACUGGGUGUAGCUUAUUAGCCCCCGAGCCUUGGAAUGAUUAAAUAAUCAAUCUGAGGGUUUUCAAUCUUCACAAAAUUAUCAUCUGAGUAGUUUCGCGGCAUUCAAACCCCAAGCUUUGGAGCUGGGUGAACCGUAGGAGCCACAUCGAGUAGUUAUUUGGCGCUUAGCCCCCGAGCUUGGAAGCUAGCUGAGCCAUUGGAGAUAUUACUGAGUACUAAUUGGUGCUUAGCCCCUCGAGUUUAGGAACUAGCUAAGCCAAUGGAGGUAUGCUGAGCGUCCUGGAGAGUCAUCGCCCAAGCUUGACCUAAAAAAUGAUGCAUAUAUUAUGUAGCGUAUUGUAAAUUUUGGAACUACUGAAAAUUAUUUAGUGAUGAAUAUAAUGUAAAUGUUGUGUACCAUGCUCUUGUUUCGGUCAUAUUUUUUUCGAGUAGUUAGCCUAUUACAUUUAGGCUCUCAGUCCCUGUUUAGCCAUUGCCACUGCGUGUGAGAUCUUUGUCUCGUGUACGCGUACUAGCACUGCUGCUACGGAGAUCUUUGUCGCCUAGCGUUUAGGCAUGACAGAAGAUCCGAGACUUUCACGGAUUAAGGUGUUUUCUACUCGAAGAGAUUAGCGACCGCUAAGAAGAGACAUUGAAAAUAAGUAGUUGGCAUUAUGAUAAUAAAAAGAGUGCACUUAAAGUAGUCGUUAAGACUUUUUCUGCCUUUUGGCGAGUAUAGCGCGUGUUGCCAUGCACAAUAUUUGUGCCUCCUUAGGGUGUAACCAAUGUGAGCCUCCAGCGCUCAGUCCAUCAAACUCGUGGCCAUAGCCUCCGAAAUUAAAUGUACCAAACCUAUGGUGGUGCCUCCAGAACUCAGUGCACCAAACCCGUGGCUAUAGCCUCUAUAAUUUUGUGUACCAAGCACAUGGCUGUCGGUCAACAUCCCCCAAGAGUAGUUGGCGAAGUGUAGCUCUAGAGGGUAAUUCUUGUCGAGAGAUGUACACAGAUAGGUAGCCAGCGUAUUGGCCAACCACGCUGAAAACAAGUCAGAGAAAAAAUAAUUAUUAAAAAAGUGAUUUAGCUUGAUUCAUGGGCGAUUGCCGAUGAAGCCAUGGCGGUCGUAGAUGAAGCCACGACAAUUUGUUGAUGAAGCCAACUAGUCGAAGUUGAUUCCAACUAGUUGUCGAUGGUGUGCGACCUGCCCUGACUAGUUUUUUAGUCGAGACGAGUAGUCGAAGUAGUCGUUGGCAAGUCGCGGGUCAAUUUUGUCGAAUGUAUCUAUGCGUGCUGAAACCGCAUACUGCUUUGCCAGAGAUUUGUUGGAGGUUACUAACCUUUAUUGGAGAAUCACCGUGUAGGGAACAGGUGCGGCUCUUUGUUGAUCUCGAUGCUUCCCUUGUGCUCCGUUUUCUUUUUUGCCUCUGCAUGUGAGUAGUAAUUUUCAACUAGUUGAAUUUUUAGCCGCACAGUAGGGACAACAGCCAUGCUCUGCUCCAUUUUGAUGUGUGUGCUGCUACUUGAUUCAACUUUCUGCAGACUUGAUUUUCUACCGAUAACGCAGUAGCUUGUGGAGAUGGAGUCAUUAACGAUUGGUGCAAGUACUCCUCUCCGCCUUGGACUUGAAGAAGUUGACUCCCCCUUGAAACAGAUGCCAGGUCCAACGGGGCCCGAAAAAAUUGAAUCUAUCUCGGAUUGAUAGCAGUAGUCUGCUCUCCGUUGUAAAUUGACUUAGACCAGUGACGCUGACUUCUUUUUUCCGGACUCUGGCGAAUUCCAAAGAUGCGAUGAUGCGCGUCGGCUCCUUCUCGGACUCGACGAGCAACAAAUAGAUUGAUUUUGUGGAUGAGGUCCUUCAAGCUCACCCGAUGAUCUCGACAAUCACCCCUACCUAGCGCGCCAGAUGUCGGUGUUUUAUACUCGGCAACCUACCGAGGGUAUCCCGAGGUAGUAGAUUGGUUGGUAAAGGAAUCGCCGGAUCAGGAACUUGAUGGUAAAAGUGGGGAAACAAGGCACAGAUUUAUACAGGUUUGGGCCGCCAGAGUAGGAUAAUACCCUACGUGCUGUUUAGGGUGUUGUAUAUUGCGCCCUGCGCUUGGGUGUUGUUUGGUGUUGAGGAUUUGGUCCUCUGUUAUGGUUCUGCCGAUCUAGGUACCCCUGCCCCUUUAUAUACUCCAUGGGGCGGGAUUACUAGUCGGUUAUAAGGUAGGAGCCCUAUUAGAAUUACAGGGUAUGAGUCCUAGUGGAAUUAUAGAGGAAUCAUAGUAGGAAUCCAUCUUAUUCCUUCCUUGCCGAUACUAGGAAUCUAUCCCCGACACCCACCAUUUGUGCUCGAGAAGAAUUCACGAUGGCUCCUGCUAGGAAGAAGAUAACGAUGGCAAAUUCAAGCAAAUCAAUCCCGAGUGAAGAAGCAAACCCUAGAGGCCCAAAUGCAAGCAUAAAUCAAGAAGCCAAAGGGAAAAUGGUGAGAAUCCCCCACAGCAAGAGACUACCACAGACCAGCAAGAAACAAGAGCUUCCAUUAAUUUGACUGCACAUGAAAUUGAAAUGGCUAGGCUCAGGCAAGAAGCGGUGGAAUUGAACCAAGCAAGGCAAAUAUUAAUAGAUCAAGCAACAUCGCAGGCCGCUAAAGAGGUGCAACUAGCUAGAGACGAAAUCAAGAGAUUAUGUGAGUGGAAUUGGAACGACUCAAAGAAAAGCAAGUUCAUCAGCAAAACACCUAUGCUCAUCCCAAUCAAGAGAGGCAAGCCCAUCAUCAAAACACCUUCGCUCAAUCCAAUCAAGAAAGGCAAUUCAAGCAGCUGAGCAACUUCGCAAACGAAACACAAGGUUUGGGGUAGGAAUCAUGGCUAAAUAGUUUAAGUCAGGUCCUUCAUCACAAGAAGUGAGAGUCUUGCAUACCAGAACAUGGGAUCAAAAAUCGUCUUUGUCACAAGAGCUCCAGCUAACCCCUUGAUCUCAAACUUACAGGCUAGGACCCUUGCCAAAGUACUCAGGACACUCUGAUACAAGGAAAUUCUUGAUGAGUUAUGAGGCUGCAAUACUAUCAGCCGGAGGUGAUGAAUCAGUUCUGGCAAAGUCUUUUAUCAUUGCAGCAGAAGAUGCAGCAACUAUGUGGUAUUCAUUGUUGAACCCAGGGGUAAUUCAUUCGUGGAAAGAUUUGAAGCUAGGGAUACUGGAAAAUUUCCAGGGUUUUUAGAGACUAAAAUUGACGGAAAAUGAUCUGUUUUGUUGCAAGCAGAAAGAAUAGGAGUCAUUGCAAGGCUAUUUCAAAAGAUUUGUGCACUUGAGAGCGCAAGCUCCAAAUGUGUUAGCUUCAGUAGCUAUCAGAGCGGCCAUCAUUGGCUUAAAGAUAGGGCAAUGUCGAUCCCAUCUCAUGCGAGAAACACCAAAGACAAUCCAAGUGUUGUAUGAAGAAUUUGAGAAAUAUUGUAGGUCUGAUAAUGACUACCUCAUGUUCAUGGAGGAGCAAUCUCAACAAAAGCAGGCUGCAAGACAAAACUAUAGCAACAACAAGGGUUGGGUCAGUCCUAGAAGUAUUCCCACCCAACCAACAAGAAUAGUAUUUGGUGUCAAGGGAAACAAUCAGUCAAAACAGAUGGAGCAGAAUUCUACUAACACAAACAACCAAUCUGCAAACAAUUCAAACACUUAGUCCCAGGGAGGAUUUAGAGGUGGAAGAGGUGGAGGAAGAGGAAGAGGCUGAGGUAGAGGUCAACCCCCUCACCAGAGAAGGAAAUUUCAUUGCAUUUUUCAUGGGGAAAAUUUUGAUCAUGGCUCCACAUAUUGCUCGAACAAGAAAAGGAUGGAUGCAAUACUCGAGAAAGAGAAAAAAACAAAAGGAGAGAAUGAACCUAGUUAAUCACACAUCUACACCUUGGCUUUCACAACCUUAUUGCCCAGUCUACUGAGGAGUAAAUUCAAGAACAGUUCAUGCUUCUACACUUGCAAGCUCAGCAUCCACACCAACUUUCAAUUAUCAGCCAACCCAUGCAUUCAAUUAUUAACCCACACAAGCUUGCAGUUAUCAGUCAACUCCCACUUUCAAUCAUCAACCAAUUUGGCAAUCUCAAACUUUACAAGCUCAGAACGUGGAAAAAAGAGCUCUGCAUGAACACCACAUAAUCCCGUAGCCACCACCAUAUUUCGGAGUAUCAGCACCUCCACAGCCAACGAAGGUGGAAGGGAAAUUAGAGAAAUCAGAUGCAUUGCCGACAAUCGGGAUGAUUAUGCCAAUAACCAGAGGAUCAGCCUUGGAAUUCGAAAGUAAGAAACAAAGAAACAAUUAAAAUUUAGAGAGGUAGGCAACAUAUUUGUGGAAGGCAAAGUGAAGAAAACCAAAUGAUCUCAUGUCCCAAUCACCUUGACGGAGGAUGACAUGCAGUUGAAAAGCUAUCAUCACAAUGAUGCCAUGGUAAUCAAUGCAAACAUUACAAAUUGGGAAUUGGAAAAAUCUUGGUGGAAAAUGGCUCUUCCACGGACAUCAUGUUCGCCAGCACCUUCGACAAGAUGGAGUUAAACAGGAAUCUGUUGCAACCCCCAGACACGCCGUUGUAUGGUGUCGGAGGAAAAGUAAUACAUGCAUUAGGAAAAAUUUCCUAACCAGUCUCGUUCCAAACAGUUCAAAAUUCAAGAACAGAGUAUAUAUCAUUUGAUGUGGUUGAAAUGUAUUAUCCAUAGUUCGGAAUUUUUGGUAGAGGAUUUUUUGAACAAAUUUGAAGCUGCAAUUCAUCAACCCUAUCUAUGUAUGAAGAUGCCUACGUUGCAUGGUGUCAUCACCAUUUUUGGAGAUCAAGGUGACGGAAAAAACAUAGAAAGGAGGAGAAUUCUGGGUCAAAGAAAUGUGAAUGCACUUGAGGCAGAGAGUCAAGUAAAGAAGGUUAUCAAAGAGCCCAAAGGAGAUAAAGAGAAAGUAAACAUCGAGGAAAAUUGUGACACAAAAAGAGUGUUAUUUGAUGACAUGGUCUUUGGCCAUGAAGUAAUCAUCAGGACUGAUCCUGAUCCUGAGGAGGAAGAGAAAUUGGUUGAAUUUCUUCGCAAGAACAAAUAUGUAUUUGCAUGGUCUGCAAAUGAAUUAGUGGGGGUCAACAGAAAUAUUACUGAACACAAGCUAAGCAUCAAAAAAGCAAUAAGACCAAAGAGGCAGAAGCUGAGAAAGAUGUCAGAUGACAAGGUAGCAGCAAUUAAAUCUGAGGUCCAGAGAUUGCUCGAUGCGAAGGUCAUCAGAGAGGUUGAGUAUCCCCAAUGACUAGCCAAUACAGUCCCUAUCAAGAAAAAGAAUGGAAAGUGGAGAAUGUGCAAAGAUUUCACCAAUCUGAAUAAGGCUUGCCCAAAAGAUAAUUUUCCUCUACCUAGAGUUGACAAAGUGAUUGAUGCGGCAGCAAGAGCAGCAUUAUGUCACUCCUCAAUUGUUUCUCAGGUUAUCACCAGGUGUGGAUGAGAAAGGAAGACGAAGAGAAAACCAAUUUCAUCACCCCAUUCGGAACAUAUUGUUUUGUCCAAAUGCCGGAGGGGCUCAAGAACGCUGGGCCAAUGUUCACGCGCAUGACUGAUGAAGUGUUGAAACCUCAUAUUGAUAGAAAUAUAAUGCAUACGUUGAUGACAUCAUCAUGAAAAGUGACCAAAGAGAGGAUCACAUCCAAGAUCUUGCAGAGACUUUCGCUAGGCUCCGCGAAGCAAACUUAAAAUUGAAUCCGGAAAAUUGUGUUUUUGGAUUCCAGAAAGGGAAAAUGUUGGGUUGUCUUGUGUCCACCAAGGGGGUAGAGGCAAACCUAGAUAAGAUAAAAGCAAUCAGAGUUAUGGAAGAACCCAAUUCCAGAAAGGAUCUCCAAAAGCUCAUCGGAAGAAUUGUGGCGCUAAACAGAUUUAUAUCAAAAUCAGCUGAAAGAAGUUUGCCCUUUUUCAAGGUGCUAAGGGGGGCUGGAAAGCUAGAAUGGGGUCCUGAGCAGAGCAAAGCAAUCGCGGAAUUGAAAUAUUACCUUGAGAAAAUAGCUAUACUAUCACCUUGGCAAUUGGGGGAACAUCUCUUCAUGUAUAUUGCCGCAUCCCAAUCAGCGGUAAGCGUCGUCCUAGUGUGAGAAGUUGAAAGCGAAGGUGCAAUGAAACAAAUGCUUGUAUAUUGUGUGUCAGAGGCACUGUCAGGUUCCAAGUUAUUGUAUUCUGAACUGGAAAAGAUUGCUUUUGCAGUGAUCAUGGCAUCCAGAAAGUUAAGGCAUUACUUUGAGGGUCACAAAGUUACCGUGCUAUCAGAUCAACCGUUCAAUGACUUGUUUCCAAACAGAGAAGCUUCAAGCAGAAUUGCAAAAUGGGCAACUGAAUUGUCCAAGCAUGUAAUAGACUUUGAGAAGAGGGGAGCCAUAAAAUCUCAAGUGCUGGCAGAUUUUGUCAUACAUUGGACCGCUCCAGACCAUAGUUGCGAAGGUGAAGAGGUCAUUCCAGUCCGAGAUAUCACCUACGAUGGUGCCUGGUGACGCAAAGCAGUUGGAAUCGCUGCAAUAAUAACAUCACCAUCAGGAGUGAAAAUCAGAUACACUGCAAGACUGCAAUACUCAGAUCCAUCACAUAAGUGCACAAACAAUACCACAGAAUAUGAGGCACUAUUGCUUGGUCUACGCAAAGUUAAAGCAUUGAGGGCAACAAAUUUCUUGGUAAAAUUGGAUGCAAAAGUAAUCAAAGAGCAAAUCGAAAAAGAAUGCGAGGUCAGAGAGCCGGAAUUGAUAAAAUACUUAGCGAAGGUUAGGAGAAUGGAAAGGCAUUUUAGGGGAGAUUGAAGAUUAUCUUGACCCCCUAAGUGGGUUUUGGUGAAUUAAUGACACAAGCUUAAGUGUCUAAUGAACUUUAAAGUGCAUGAGCAGGUUUAAAAUGAUUGGUGGACAUGUAGGACUUGUGGAUGACCCUCAAAAAGGAAAUGAAUGAAUAUGAGGCAUACCUUGAAGGCUAAAUUUAUUUUUUGUUUGAAUUUUGAGUAUAGGAAUGCCGCACUAUUAAGAAGGAUACAUAAUCUUUGGUCAUUACGUUGAAAAAGGUGCUUAAGAUGACCUAAUCAACCUAUGAGAGAUAUCUUUGCACUGGCACUUCACUUGGGGAUACUUAGAAUGGUGCUGAUAUGAGAGCUCCAGAAUAUUCAGGAGGUUCCGGAGUUUUCGGAGAAAGUUCCAAAAAACUCCAGAACUUAACGUCCCAACGGCUAGUUUUGGGGCGAAGGGGUAUAAUUACCCCCUCACCCUCUCGCACAGUUAGGCUCUUGACCUAACUUCGUGCUGAGCUUCAGAAAAGCAUUCAAGUCCUCCUCUUUACUCUCCUUUAGCAUUCUUAGUGAGAUUUGGUGGAGAUUUAAGGAGGGAUUCAAGGGAAGGGCAAGAGAGUGUGCUAGUGAGCUGAUUUCCCAUCUCUUGAGCACCUUGUUCUUCAUCAAGCCGGUGAUUUUGUGUUGGUUACUCUUGGAGCUUCAAGCUCCUAGCCGGCUAGGCAUUGCCCAUGGAGCAUCCAAGGUUGUGGCUACCUACAUGAAGUUUGUAUUACCCCGAUGAUUGAGUAAGUGACUCUAUCUCAAUCUUUAUGGUCGCUAGAGUGAGGAAAGUGGCUUAGGUGAGAAAAGCUCACCCUUUGUGGGUUCCUCAAUGGAGACGUAGGCUUCAAGUGUGGAGCUGAACUUCGGUAGACAAAUCCUUGUGUCUCUUGUGCUUGUUGUUCUUCAUUCCGUUCAUAUUCAAGCAUGGAACAUAUUUCUAGGGUUUGUGCUCAAUCUACUUUUCUAGAAGGUUGCUUGCAGUUCUAUCUUGUCCCAGAGACUUAGAAUACCCUAUCGCUUAACCUAUAUUUGGCGAUUUACUUUUGGACAAGCAUUUCUUAGGGUUGUAGUUCACUCACAUUAUUCUCCGGAGAAUCCGCAGAUUUCUCCGAAAAUUCCGUAAGUUGCGGAAUUUCUGGAACAAUCUUUGAAAACUCCGAAUGUUGCUUAUAAACUUGUUCAAAGUUGUGUAAAAUUUUCAAGUUCGACUAUUCAACCCCCCCCCACCCCCACUCUAGUCGACAUCCUAGAUCCUUUCAGUUUCACUGUUGAGCAUUACCAAGAAAAGGGAAUGGUGAGGUUGAUGAUUUAGCAAAGAAAGCCUCCAAAAAUGAGCAAUUACCACCAUAUGUAUUCUUUGAAGUCAUUACAACUCCAUCGAUAAAACGAGACAAGCAACCAAUGAGUUUAGUAAAUGCAAUUAGCAGCAUGGAUUGGAGAUCCCCAAUCAUCGCUUACCUUCGCAGCAAGUAUGAACCAGUAGAGGAGCACAAACUCAAGCACAUGAAGCAAAGAGCGAGAGGCUACAUCAUGAAAGGGGAAUAUUUGUACAAGUUGGGAGUGAGUGCAUCGUUGCUAAAGUGCAUCUCACAAGAAGAGGGAAUCGAAUUGCUGAAAUAAAUCCACAGUGGAUACUGCGGAUGUCAUAUUGGGGUUAGAGCAUUAGUUGGAAAAGCUUUCAAGCAGGGAUUCUAUUAGCUAAUGGCAAUCAGAGAUGUUGAGCAAAUUGUCAGAAUGUGCAAGGCGUGCCAAUUUGCAACCAAACAUCAACGAGUACCGGGAUUACCUUUGCAGUUAAUCACUCCCACCUGGCCGUUACAGAGAUGGAGAAUGGAUAUAGUGGGUCCAUUGCCAACAGCUCAAGGAAAUUACAAAUAUGCAGCCGUAGCAGUCGAAUAUUUUACCAAAUGGAUUGAGGCAAGGCCUUUGACAACAAUCACCUUCGAAACCAUGAGAAAAUUUUUCUGGCAGCAAAUCAUAUGCAGGUUCGGAGUCCCAAGGGAAUUAACCAUCGAUAAUGGCAAGCAGUUUGAUUGCUAUGAGUUCAGGCAGUAUUGUGGGAUGAUUGGAACCAAGCUAAACUUCGCAUCAGUAUACCACCCAAGAUCCAACGGGGCUGUAGAAAGAGCAAACAGUGAGAUUUUCACCGCAAUCAAGAAAUGCCUUUUCGAUUAGAAAAAGGGAAAGUAGGCAAAAGAGUUGCCGAGGGUAGUUUGGUCUCACAACACAACCGAGUUCAAAAUAAUUAAGUUCACUCCAUUCAUAUUGCUCUACGAGGCUGAGGCAAUGUGCCUGGAGGCAAUAGCACACCAGAGUGCGAGGGUAAUAGCUGAGCAAAAUGAGGAAAAUGAGGCAAUAGACAAAUAUAUCAUUGAGAUUGAUAGGCUUGAGGCAGCCGAGAACUUAGAAAAAUAUCAAGAACAAACAAGAAAGUGGAGAGAUAAAAAGGUUGUCAGAAAAGACAUCAAAGUGGGAGAUUUCAUUCUUAAAAGAAAAAAGAGUGCAGAAACCGUAGGCAAAUUGCAAGUAGCUUGAGAAGGACCGUAUCUGGUUGUGAGCAGCGUCAGGCCAGGAGCUUAUCAUUUGGCCGAUGAAGAGGGGGAGGAGCUGCCACAUUCGUGGAAUGUGGACAACCUUUGCAAGUUCUAUCCUUGAGCAAAAAAUAGGUGCGGGGUCAGUUGCAUGGAGUUAUAAGCACAAUCAGGUCCUAAAAAUAGCAUAGUUUUACUUUAUUGCAAUUUAUUUUACCUCAAAAUGUAAGCGCAGGGUCGGUAGCAUGGAGUUAUAAACGCAAUCGGAUCCCUGGGCAGCGCAAUUUUACAUUCUUGCGAAUUUACAUUUCUACAAAAUGGGUCAUACUCUUUUCCUCACUAGGGGGGCUCCACAUCGGAGGUGAGGUUUUUAAUGAGGCGAUCCUGAUGUAAUCAUUUACAUUAUGAAGAAAAGAAAUUCCCCCUGAAACCGUGCUCGAGAAUGCGCAUGUGAUGCGAUAACUUUACUUUUAUGUCUAAGAACACAUUCGCAUGGGGUGUCAGAAAGAACACACCUGUGACGCGAUAACUUUACUUUUAUCUCUAAGAACACCUUCGCAUGGGGUGUCAAAAAGAACGCGCUUGUGACGCGAUAACUUCACUUUUAUGUCUGAGAACACCUUUGCAUGUGUGUCAGAAAGAACGCGCAUGUGACACGAUAACUUUACUUUUAUGUCUGAAAACACCUACGCAUAAGGUGUUAAAAGAAUGUGCCUGUGACGCACCUUAUCAUCUUUCUAUAAGAGAAAGAGAUAAGAAAACACCUUCGCACAAGGUGUGAAAAGAAUCCGCCUGUGAUGCACCCAAUCUUCUUUCUAUAAGAGAAAGAGAGAAAGAGAUAAGAAAACACGUUCGCACAAGGGGAUAAAAAAAUGCGCCUGUGACGCACCUUAUCGUCUUUCUAUAAGAUAAAGAGAUAAGAAAACACCUUUGCACAAGGUGUUAAAAGAAUGCACCUGUGACGCACCCAAUUUUCUUUCUAUAAGAGAAAGAGAUAAGAAAACACCUUCGCACAAGGUGAUAAAAUAAUGCGCUUGUGACACACCUUAUCGUCUUUCUAUAAGAGAAAGAGAUAAGAAAACACCGUCGCACAAGAUGUUAGAAGAAUGCACUUGUGACGUGUCUUAUCAUCUUUCUAUAAGAGAAAAAUUUAAGGAAGAGAUUCGGCAUGUGAAGGUGUCAGAGAAAGAUAUCAUGAUCAUCGAAAACAAACUAGGAAGUAAAAAAUAAGAAAUUAACGUCGAAAGCAACCUAAAGGUUGCCAAUUCGACACACACAAGAGUUGGACCUGCGAAGGUUUUCAGCUAAAUGAAUCCAUCUCAGGCCAUGUUCAAUUAUAAAAGCUUACAAAGAAACAGUUUCCUCUGCAUCUCUAUCACUUUCUGAAAGGGGGAAGACCUUUUUUGUAAAAAAAAUUCCGAAAGUGAUCGAGACUUGAGGAAAAUCAAAAGUUUACAAUUCAAAAGGGAAGUUCGACAACACAGCCUACACGAACAGAGGCUAUGCUAGGAUCAAAACCAUUAUAUAUAAAGCAAUAUUCUUCAUCCUUGGGGCACUCAUUUUCGAUCUUGACCUCCGCAGCAUACGAUUCAAAAUCUGAUGCUUGGGAUCGACUAACCCGUCCACCACCAGUAGAAUCAAGCAAGUGACAUAGUGCAUAGCUGCGCAAUGGAUAAUAGGAACAACAAAAAUGCUAAAAAUCUUCAAAGGACUUAUCCGGGAUACUUAGCAUGAUAAACCGUCCAAGAAUGGCUACUGACGCACAAGCCUUCUCGAUAGAAUGUUCUGGGAACAACAUCACGCACAGUUUCAUCACAUGGAACCUGCGCCACAAUUGAUAUUUACAACAAAAUGAGUAAUAGUUUUUCCACUUAACAAACAUUAUUUACACCUUCGGCUCCUAUUCAAUACUUGGCAGAUCUUGAGGUUGUGCAUCAUGCGGCAAUGAUUCUUGGGGCUGGGAAACCCGAGGAUCUUCAGGCACGGAUGAUGUAGAGGGUUUUAUAGUUUCAAGAGCAGUAGACGCCAAGGGCGCCAUCUCUGCAGACUGACAGUUGGGCUUUGGGGCCGGCCAUUGACAUGGAGGAGCAUAUGAGCCUUGAGUGGCAGAAUCCCAAUGAAGAGCUUGAAGCUUGCAAAUCUCCAUUGUCUGUUUUUCCUGGCCAAGAUAGAACUAUGAGGUAGUAACCUCAUAGCAUCAAAAAGUAUUUCAAAAGCAUUCUCAAGAUUGCAAAAAAUAAAAGACUAAAGGAGAAAACUACCUAUGCGAGACGGUCGGCAGCCUUUCUACGGACACCUUCGCGGCCGCUUUUAAUCUAGAACUCCCUCAGAAAUAACUUUGACACGGCAUCGACAUUACGACUAGGGGCUAGAAUUUCAGAGUGAUCUGGAAACUUGAAACCGCAUGAUCCAAAUUUUUUGAAGUGAUUGCAUCCUUCACCUUCAAGAAUUUGAAGCAAGGACUCAGCAGUUGUACCCACGCCAUAAUCACCAACCUUGGAUAAGAUCUCAGGCAAGAAUUUUAACUCAUCCGACAGCCAUUGGAAGAGUGUUCCUGUGUUCCUAGACCCAGGAAAAGGCUGUGGCUCAGUGCCAAACAGGUUAAGAGCACCGCGAUAUUGGUGAUUUAUGUGAAGGCCCCAUUGCUAAUUUUUUUGUUCAUUUUCUUCAAGAAUUUUCUCUUGAGACGCAUUAACUUGCCUUAAUUUAGAAAUUAUCUUAUCCUUAGUCACCAAAUCCCUAGCUUGCGUGAUCGCAGUCAUCUUGAUAUUUACAAGCUCCUUGCGAACCCUGUGAAAGCACUCUGCAUCUUUCUCAAUCGUCACGCGAAGGUUAUCGAGAGCUAUCUCUUGUUGCUCAUUACGCAAGGUCAAAGACUUAACCUCAGCAUAGAGGUCUUUAUUGUUCGCUUCCAUUUGAGCAAUUUGAUCCUUUAGCCUCUGUACCUCGGCAGCGAGAUCUGCUUGCUCAAUGCGUAGGUCUUCCAUCUCGUUGAAAACAUUUUCACAACCAAGUUUUCCAGCAAUCAUCCCUUUCAUUGUGAACGUCGUCAUCAAUGAGCAAAGCUCAAGUCCAUUGAGACCAUCGAUUCAUGACUCAAAGGCUGCCAAAAAGAAUACAUUAGGAUUUUCUCUACAAGCGAAACAAAAAAAUAAAUAAUAAAAACGUCAUUAGCAAAGGUGUUAACCUUUCGAAUCGAAAAAUUGAUAUUGCGGAAUUUCAGUGUUAGCCUCACCAAAGUUAACAUCUGCGCCUUUGAAGGAAUCCCCUUUUUCAACAUUUGUUUCAAAUGACGUCAUGUCUCUAACCAAUCUCAGUUCAUCUGAGUCAAGUUGACUCAAGGAAAGCAACGCACGAGCAGCAGUUUCACCAUCUGCGCAAGCCAGGCAAUUUAAUAGCAGGACAAAUUGAAUACAAAACAAAAACACAAAGUAACAUUGGAGACAAGUCAAAGGUAACCUUUAGGGGGAGAGCAAAUCCCUUUACCCUUUACAUAUGAGGGAAUCUCAAGAACCUUAGGAAAGGAGAAAUCCUCAUCAGUCUUGGACGUAAGAGAAUUCCUUUCGUCAGCAAUCUCAGGGGGCAAGGUCUCAUUGUCUUUGCUUUCUUGAGAAUUUAGCACAGGAGACAAAUUAAGAGGCAAUUUAUUAGAUGAGCCAUCAACAUGCUUGGCCCCGCAUGACUCGGGCGUCAAUACUUUGCUAAAAACAGCUGUGUCUUUGUCACAGUCAAUUGGAUCCUCAUCUAAAUAAAUCACGCUUUCAUCUUGAUCCAAAAUGUCAAUCAUCCUAGCAAAGGCAGUAGCGGAGGUGCUAGGCAUUUCGGCCUCAAAAUUGAAAUGCAUGUCCUCCAUACGCUGAUAGUAUUCAGCAACCGAGCCUCAAUGUUGAUCAAUUUCACAUUCAAGAGCAUCAGUUCCACCAAACUAUCAUGAGGAGCAUCCGCAGGCUCGGGUGUGGGGGUCGCCUUAGCUCCCGGUGCAACUCCGCGUUCAAUCUCAUGAUGCUUAGAAGCAACACUUUGAGUUUCAAGCACUUGGAGUGAAGGCGAGCCCUCAACACUUGGCGGUGCGCUGGGAAUUAUCUUACGUUGUUUAAUAGCGGCACCAGCAGUUUCAAUUUCUCUUUUACGUUUCUACAGUGCCGUUACAACUUUCAUGGAUUCAGAAACAUCUAAUGACCCAGCAACGACCAGUUUUUUCUUCUUGGAAAGCCUUUUCUUCUUGACCUUGGGAAUCUGAGAGCCAACGUUUCCCGGCAAAACUAUUUUCUUCGCAGGCCUACCAGGACGCAGGUGCGGGCUGUAAGAAAUUUUCAUCUCGUCAAACACCUGAUUGAUUCAUCCACCGUGUUUCAAAGCUAUCAUCGCAGUCUCGUGUUCCUUCAAUGAAUAGUUACCAAUCAGAAGAACAGCCUGCCUCUCAAUUUCAGCCAUGAACUCUGCAUCUGAUACCCCAUCUGGCUUUUUAACACCAAAUUUUGGAAAUUUAAUCUCUAGGUCUGUGUCGGGGAUCCUUUUGUUAACAAAACUAGUUGGUUUCCAACCAUAGCGCGAGGGCCAGAUGCCAGCAGCCAAAAACUCUUCAAUGGCAUCUCGACUAGAAACAACUUGACUGACUUGGAAAUAAGCAGAUGUCCCUGGUGAAGAGCGGCUUCGACGGCUAAGAGUGGGCGCGAAUUCCAGUUCCAUAUCCUCAAUUCUUGCAGGCUAAAGGGUACUCCAAAAUUUCCUUACCCUCAAAAUUUUUUCCAGCAACAACAGGAAUGGUUGCAUAGAACCAAUACGAAUCCCACUUCUUUGACCACUUAUUUUUCUGGCCUGGGGCGAGGGCAACUGGCAUUAUGUUUCGACCCAACCACCACGUUCGGAAAGUGCAGCAUCCAUACUGCACCUCGAAUUCUUCUUCACCAAUAAUAAUAUGCUUCUUUUGGAGAUGCAAUUCAAAAUGGCGGGAGAAAGACUCUGCAUCUAUUUCACCUCUAAAAGAACGACUACACCAAAAAUAGUUUAGGAGCCGGGGGAUAGAAUUUGGGGUUAGCUGAUGAAUUCGGACCUUGUAUGCAACAAGAACAUCUACGAAAGUUUUUUCCAAUGGAAAUCUUAGCCCAGCCACGAAGAAAUCUCAAAAGACCACACACUCAUUAGGCUGUGGAACAGGAAUAUCCUCGUCCCUAGGGGGCUGGCAAUCUCCAGUGUUGAAAUAUCCCUUCUUGACAUAGAAGUCAAUGUCAUUCUGACUAACCAAAGAACAGCCAAAAAAGCAACUGGUGGGAGUUUCCGCAACCAGAUGUUUCACAUUAGCAUCCACAUCUUCAAGAUCAUCACCUCCUUCUUCUCCUUCUCCUUCUCCUUCUUCUCCUUCUUCUUCUUCUUCUUCUUCUUCUUCUUCUUCUUCUUCUUCUUCUUCUUCUUCUUCUCCUACACCCUCAGCAGUAUCACCAUCAUCAAAAUUGCUAGAUCUAUCCUCAUUAGAUCCCCCCUUAGAUGAACUGUUAGCUUCGCGGGCAUGUUGAGUGCCGCCCAGGUCUUCAUCUCCCACGUGAGGUGGUUCAAUAUCAGGAUGCACCGGAUUGUUGACCUGGAUAUCAUGAGCAAUCAGAUUCACCGGAUCGGCAGCAGGGUUUCCUUGAGCGUUGGGAUCCAUUAGAUUGGCAGCAGCCAGCUCCUCCUCAGUCAUCAAUCUAGCAGUACUUUUAACGCAUGCCACUUUAUCUAUCAAAAAAACAAAUUUGUAUAACAUUCAAUUCAUACCAAGUGCAGUGCUAACUUAAAGAAAGAAAAUCACCUUUGCUAGAUCAACAAAGGAUGAAUCGAAAGGGAUGCACGAAUCUCAAAGCACGAAAUCAGAAAGCAGCGACGGCACUUGUCAAAGCGAGGGUGCAGAAAAGUUACCACACCCCCCAAUGGUAACCGUGCUCAACAGUAAAAAAGCAAGGGCAAAAUAGUCAUUUAACUACCUUCGCAGAGAGAUCCAAUCCAGCGAGCAGGGAGACGUUUUUCAAUCCUUGAUCGAGAUCAAAUGAUAUUUCGAGGGUUCAGCCCGCUGGAGUGGACCUCGCCCCCGAGGGGCUACUAUUGGGGAUAUGGAUUUGGAUUGUUAACAUCACCCUCGCACGCCGCUUUAGAGAAUUGGAUCAUCACAAUGAUAAUCAAAAUGAUGUUCACCUUCGCUCAAAGCUAACACCCUCGUUUCCUUUUAUUACCUUCAUCACCUCGCCUGCGAGGGUGCGGCAAAAUUAUUUUGAUCGUGUAUGCAGGUUUUCGCACUGGAGGGCACGAAGCGAAGGUAUUCGGCAAACUUGGCAGAGCGAGGCGAAGGUUGUGAGCACAUUCGAUGUCCGAAAUCCAAGGCCCAUUCAAGAUCAUUUGGGCGAAGGUGUGAAGGAUUAGGGUCACGUUGUGAACGUGACCCCGGUGGCAUGAAUAGCGUGACUCGGUUAGGGUGUACAAAUCGGAUUAGGACUCUUUCUUUACCAAAAUGUACAGCAUAUUCUUAGAAUGUAGUGGUUGAGUGAGGGUAAAUUCGGUAUGUAAAAGUCGUUGGCCUCCCUAUAAAAAAGGAGGCACCACCACAGGUUCAUAUUUUUAAGAAAUACAAGCCUUAAGAGUUUUGUUUUCCAUUUGUGUGUGCUUUCUUUAAGUGUUCGAACCAGCUAAAAUUCAUAUUCCUAAGUAAAUUCCCUCCAUCAACUCCAACCACUAAUUCUCAUGCUUCUUUCUGUUAGUUGCCAAACACACCACACGGUCUACUAUAAGAAACUUUGACUAGAAAUUUCUAAUAAAAAUAUUAUAUGUUAGAAUAUAUCUACUACUAACAUCAAUCUCACGUUGUCAAUAUAUUUAAUUUUUAUAUAUUGAUUACCAAAGCUAAAAAUGUUUAACAAACAAAAAAUGGGAAUAAUUUUGGAAUUCCAAAUAUCUUUGUGAUAGGUGGGAAUAUCGUAUACUACCUCCGAUUGGAUAUUUUAUUUAAGUCUUAGACAAGUCGAUUCAGCCACCCACCUUUCGCCCAUAAAUUGAAUUAUCACCCACUUUUCACCCAUGAAUUGAAUUAUCUCAUUUGUUGUAGGGUUGUCCUUCCAUACUUUCUUUUUAUUGUUGACAAAGCUAGUCGGUUGCCAGUAAGUCGGCCCGUGUUCAAUCACGGCCAGGGUGGGUGGGUGCUCACCUCUUAGAAACAAUUCAGGAAAAGCUUUGCGACUUAUUAAAUAAAGCUAAAAUACUCCCGUCAUCUCUCCCAAAUGAGUUUAGAGAGAGGGGUGUCAGCGGUAGGGCUGCCGGCGGUGGUGGUGGUGGCAAUGAGACUCCUCUACAAUACUUCUGCUGGAAUCGCUAACGUGUGGAGAGAGGUACUGCAGGGGAUCUGCUUCCAGUGGUGGGCAGUAGGAUAAUAACAUAAGCAUUAAGUGUGCACAUUUUACACGAAAAUAUUAGAGGCACCAUAGACAUCUUGUCUACCCCCAUAAUCAUUGUGCUAAACUCUAAAACUACGACUGAAUAUAUUUGUUGUUGUGGGAAUAUUUUAUAGGAUAACCAACUCGAAAUGGAUUAUUCACUCACACGAGAAAGGAGACACUGCCUACAAUGAAAUGUUUGGAUGCAACAUCGAGUUCCUAGUUACAGUUCACAAUAUUACAUCCCCUCAUUCAUCUUCCUCGGAAGGUAUGUCCCUCGAGCCAUUUCAUCUCCUCCAUCUUCAGAGCCAGAAGAGUGUUUAGAUGGUGAUUUUGCAGGGAAACGCAGGUAUCCAGUUCAGUCAACCAAAUGCUCCACUCACAUCAGUAUGCUUCAGAGUAGAGUUUGCUCCUGCAAAACCAUCACCACAUCAAAUGGGACACCUCAAACAACGCAAGAGCGCAGUAAUUCAGCCAGUCAGUGGGAAAUGUUAUUGCAUUGAUUUUUUCUGAACAAAAUAAUACAGGAAUCAUGAAACCAACACCAAGUAGCUGAAAAAGGUACAGAUGCUGAAAAUAGGUAGCAUGACUAACCGAUCACGCAUGCCAGGACUUUGCACUACCACAUAUGUACACCUGCAAAAGAUACAGACACCUAGCUGAUAGGAGCACGAAAGCCACGGGUUAGUAUCAUUCAGUUAACCAAUCACAUCAGUGUUUAGGACGGAAGCGGCAACAGCACCACAUGAGCAUAUCACAUACGCUUGUAAUGUCGUUACGCAAUGGAACGCAGAGCAGUGGCGGAGCAUGCAGAGAAACUGAGAGGGGGCCAAUAACAGAGGAGAUUAGUAUACAUAGAGUGUUUAAGUAGUUAAAUUAGCUGUUCCUUUAAGAAAUUUAGGAGGUUAGGGGGGGCAUGGCCCACCUUGGCCACAAUGAAGCUCUGCCAGUGACGCAGAGGAUGCAUCUCCUAUGUCAAGAGGGAAUGAGCAGCGCAGGGCUCCCACAACGGCACCAACAGGGAUUAUUGGCUUGGUGGUCACACCGAUCAGGGUGCCUCUUCAGCCCCUCCUGCGCUUGGUUAUCAUCUCCAUUUGUCCGUACAGGUAGAGAACCUCCUUCAUCGUCGCCUUCCGGCCUUUCCUGAAGUUCCAGAACACAGGCACCACGUGCCGCUCACUGGGGUUGUACUCGUUUAUCUCCAUCAGCGCAGUCUUCACCGCAUUGCACACAUCAUCGCCGUACUCAAACCGCAGGAGCUUCAGUUUUGCAUCAUCUUCGUCUAAAACUUCCUGCAACAAACGAGGAUUGGUUAUGAUUUCUGGACAAAUACUAACCUCUAUAAACGACAAAGAUAUAUAAUACCUUAGCUGGAUAGAAAAAAACAGCAAAUACCUUAUGCUCUCCAUUAACCUGAACAGCCACAAAAGGAUGCCAGGAUGGCUUCUUCAGUUCACCCUGCCAACUUUCAACCAGCUUUGCAGCUUUGGUCUGGUAAUCGACGUUUCCAUAUUUUCUCUUACAUGCAUUUUGAAAUGGCUUCUCGUCAAGUUCUCCCAUUCUUUUGGUCCCAAUAGCUGGCCGGCCAUUUAACUCGUCCUCCAAACCCUGAGCAUCACGAUGCUCACAACAAUCAUUUCAUCAAUGGAAAACAUCUUAUGAACAUCAACUGAUGGAGAACACGUUAGGUGCAUGGUAAUUGCUAAACAUACAACACAUAUAAAAUAAAAUAAUGGAGCAGUACCAUAGUAAGCUCUUUUCGGGCUUGCAGUAGCUCAUCGUUACUUUGACGCUCUUUGCUCACAAGAGUUCCGUUCAAAUCUUCCAGGUCGUCAUUCUUGUCUUCCAGCUCCCCAAUCCACUUCGUUAGCCUGUCAUUCUUUGCUUGCAGCUUCUCAUUACUCUCCGUCAGGCCCUCAUUCUUGACUUGCAGACCCUCAUUCCGCUUUGUUAGGCCAGCAUUCUCGGCAUGCAGUUCCCCAUUCCGCUUCCUCAUCCUAUCAUUAUUGGCUUGCACCUCCUCAUUCUGCUUCACCAAGUCGACAUCCUUGGCCUUCAGCUCCUCAUUCUGCUUUGUCAGGCUGCCAUUCUUUGCUAGCAGCUCCUCAUUCCACUUCGUUAGGCCGCCAUUCUUGAUUUGCAGCUCCAAAUUCUGCUUGCUAAUACCAUCUAUAUUGGAUCUCAGCUCCUCAUUCUCCUUCACCAGGACAUCAUUCUUGGCUUGCAGGUCCUUAUUCUGCUUCAUCAUGCCAUCAUUCUUGGCCUGCAGAUCCUCAUCCUGCUUUCUCAUUCCCUCAUUCUGCUUUCUCAAGCACUGCAUCUCUUUCGCCUUCUGAGCCAGCUCAACUCUCAGCUUCUGAUUCGCCUCACAGUAUCCAAGCUCUUUCACAUCCACAUCUAGUUGAGCCCUCAGGUCUUCGACCUCCAUUAAAAUCCUCUGAGAAUCCUCGCACGCUACCUUUGAAUGCUCUGCCCAUGGGUGAAAAAAAUUAAAACCAUGGUAUGAAGAAAAGAGUGAAAGAUUGAAGCAUGUUUUCAGUAACACAUACCUCCAUUGCCAACCAGACUCGUCAAAUCUUUGGACAUAACUGCUGCAUUCCUCUUCCUGCUUCCAGAUUCUGCCCCAAGAUUCUGACCUGCUGCCACCGAAAAACAAAGAACGCUUCAGCAAGUGUAAGCAAGAUAGCCUGCGACAGGUAAAGCAAUGCGAGUAUACAUCACAAAAUGUUCCUGCCAACCUGUGGAUAUUACACAUCACAGUUGAACACACAAAAAUAGUUAAAGGAACGAGGAAACGAGAUAACUGAACACAAUGAUUUUUUUCCCAAAAAUCUAAGCAAUAAGAUGUGUCGACAAAACUGAUGAUCCAAGUAAUUUAGAGUUGACAUAUGGUGGCAGCCUUCAGAAACUUUGCACUCUUGAUUGACUAAAUGUCAUAGUUGAUUUCACUUUACAUUUGCCUUAAUUCAAGUGCAGUUAUUCGUAAGAAACUGUUUCGCGUCAAUAUACCUAUGCCUACAAGUUCCCACGACUCAGAUAGUCAGAUUGAUGCGCUUGGGGACCAAAAGGCUUGUGCCUCCAAUCGAAAGAGUAUGCGACCCUCAUCCAAAGGUCGCAACUUUGUGGGGAAAUGAAACGAACGAUUAGUAACCUGGUAUCGAAAUGCAUCAUAGAUCAGACUUGGUAUCGAGAGGUAGUAGAUAAACUAAACUGCAGGGGAGUAGUACUAGCAGAUCCCUCAAGGCAGGCUCCCUCGUAAACCAAAAAGAAAAACAAAAAAAAGAAAAAAGAACAAGAAGAAAAUGCGAUGAGGUAAAAGAAAAGGCAAACCGUGGCUUCUCUUACCACCACCAGCAGCACUUCGAUCAACGCCACGGUUCAUGGGUGGCCCGCCGGAUUCUCCAGUCUCGUCCCCUCCGCCGGCGGGGGCCAUGGCUACGGCGGCGGAGGAAGAGUGCUACGGCGGCGGAGGAAGAGGGCACUGAUGAAGAGUGAGGGGGCUUUUAUUGUCUUUCUUGCCUCCUGUCCUCCCGCAACCACAAUAACACUCUUAAAAGGGAAAAAUAUAUAUAUUAUUAUUAUUAUUUCAGUUGCCUACUAUAGUUAUUGUGUCAUCAAUCUAAAACAACUUACUGAAUAUAUUUGUGAUCGUGGCCUCGUGGGAACAUUUUCUAGGAUAACCAAUUUAAAAUGGAUUAUUUACUCAUAUGAGUGCACUAAUUCAGCCAGUCAGUGGGAAAUGCUGUUUGCAUAGAUUUUUCUGAACAAAUGAAUGUAAGUAUCAUCAAACCAACACCAAGUACCUAAAUUACGGUACAAAUGCUGAAAAUAUGCAGCAUGAUUAACCGAUUACGCAUGAAAGGUCAGAUGAUAGCACACAAGAUAAAGGCCAAGCAGGCUAUCACUUGCACUACUGCAUAUGUACACCUGCACAAUAUACAGACACCUAAGUAGGGCACGAAAGCCACGGGUUGGUAUUAUUCAGUUCACCGAUCACAUCAGUUUUUAGGGCCUGAAGCGGCAACAGCACAACCACAUGCUUCCACACAUCACAUACGCUUGUAAUGUCGUUACGCAAUGGAACAUUAACACAGAGGAUACAUCUCCUAUGUCAGGAGGGGAUCGAGCAGCACAGGGCCCCCACAAUGGCACCAAUGGCGCGCAUGCACGACUACUUAUUGGCUUUGCAGUCAGGCGGCCUAGGGCACCUCAUCAGCCCCUCCUGCGCUUGGUUGUCGUCUCCAUCUGCCCGAAAAGGUACUUGAGCACCUCCUUCGUCGUCGCCUUCCGGCCUUUCCUGAAGUUCCACAGCUCGGGCACAACAUACCGACCACUGGGGUUGUAUUCAUUUAUCUCCAUCAGCGCGGUCUUCACCGCAUUGCACACGUCAUCACCAUACUCAAUCCACAGGAACUUCAGUUUUGCAUCAUCAUCAUCUAGAACUUCCUGCAAUGAACAAGGACGAGGACAACUAUUAGUUCCAAUACUAGCCUCUAUAAAGAUAACACAACAGUCAGAUAGAACACGGUAAAUACCUUAUCUUCUCCAUUAACCUGAACAACCUUAAAAGGAUGCCAGGAUGGCUUCUUCAGUUCCUCCUGCCAAUUUGUGAUCAACUCUGCUGCUUUGACCUGGUAAUCAUCGUUUCCAAAUUUCCUCCUACAUGCAUUUUGAAAUGGUUUUUCAUCAAGUUCUCCCAUUCUUUUUAUCCCAAUAGCUGCCCGCCCAUUUAGCUCAUCCUCCAAGCCCUGAUCAUUGUGAUAACCAUUUGAUCAGUGAGAAAAAACCUUAUGAGCAUCAACUGAUAGAGAACACAUCAGGUGCAUUUUAAUUGCUAAACAUAUAGUACAUAGAAAAAGAGCGGUACCAUAAUCAAUUCUUUCCGGGCUUGUUGUAGCUCGUCGUUACUUUCACGCUCUUUCCUCACAAGAUCUCCACUCAAAUCUUCCAGCCGUUUCUUCUCACGCUCUAAUCUUUCACUCAGCUUCUCCAUCUUCUCAUGAAUAUCACCAUCAUCAUCUCCCUCCAAAUGUUUCAUUACUUGGAGUGUACCAUUCAACCGUGCAACUUCGAGCUCAAGUUGCUGCUUCUCAUGCAGUUCCUUUUCCAGUUGGAGCAUCCUUGCGAAUACAUCUUCCUUUUCCCUCUGAUGUUAUUAAAAUGUAUUAAUUCUCAUCACCAGAACCUACAGUGACCAUCUAGAAAGCAACAUAUAAGUAAGAAAGGGGCAAACCUUCUGGUCAUCCAAUAGCUUCAGAACAUCGAAGUCAGCCCUCUGCUGCUCUAUACUGGCUAACUCAAGUUCACUAUUAUCAUCUUUCGCCUGCACAAUUUCAAAAGAAACUUUAAGUAAUUAUAUAAGAUAUUGCUGUAUGCAAUCAUGCUAUCAUACCAAUAUGCUCUAACUGUCAUCAUUAGUUUAUGAGCCUAGCAAGCUUUGGUGCAUGCACUUAGGAUGUAGAAAGAGAACCGGUAUUCUGUGAAUGUCAUAGAACUUAGAUGAUAAAAUACUUCAUAACAAUACAUCCCUUGUCAAAGUGAAAGUACUGAUGAUAUAUAAUUUUAAACAACCUGUACAAGUUUGAAAUGGAAAUAUAAAACAGCAACAGUAAAUCCUUGUUUUCAAAGUAAUCUCAAUCACUUAACCAAAAGAAUGGUUGCCACCCUGUUAGUCCAGAUUAGUGCACCAUAAGCAUGAUAUUUCAGCAGAGCUUACAUGAGCAUAGCCUAGUGCUUCAUUCGUAUAGUUGUUUUGCUUACCUUCUGCUUCUCAUCAUCGAGUGUCUUCCAGUCGUUAGCAUUCUCAGCUGACAGCUUUUCAAGUUGCUUAGCUCGUGAAUUCAGUUCUCUCCUCUUAUUUUCUAAUUCUUGCCUCAAGUUGUCAUUUUCUUGGAAAAUUCGCAGAGCAUUUUCACGAGCCCUGCGAUGAAGAUUUCGCAUUUCUGAAAAAGAGGAUACAAAAUUAUGGAUGAGUUAAUUUAUAAAAGAGAAAAAUUGCUUUGUUAAAUUUGUAAAGCAAAGAAAUUAAAGCUAAGUAAUCAAAGUUAACAAUUGGAGGAGGUUUGUUCAUACGUGUAAGCAUUGUUCAUCUCAUCAGGUAAUUCGUAGUUUUACAGAUAAAUAUAAUGUUAAAAAAGGAAUCGAGUAAUUUCAUGCAGAAUGGCAUUACUAUCAGAAAAACCCUGCAUUCAUCUAACCAACCCACAACAUCAUUUCUCUAUGUAACCCAUGUCCAAUAUAAGACUAUUACAAAACUAACUUCAGGACUUACAUGCAAAAUAUCUAAUAAUAUGCAAUGGUACAAGAUAGAAUUAACAUCUGAGAUCUGCUCUGUUACAAAUAAGUUUCUGUUUCACAGCCAUGACUAGAAAUGUCACCAUCUAAACCAUCAAGUAGAGCCGAAAGAAAGGAAGCAAAAUUGUACAGAUUACCUUCAUUGUACGCCUCGUGUAGCUUCCUGUUGUCCUCCUCAAGCCGUGAGAUCGAGAGUUCUGUUGCAUUCUUCUUUGUCUCCAAAUCCUGCAAGUAUCGGUUCUUUUCCUCUAUCUGAGAUGCCAGUCUUGCAACCAUCUCCCCUGACUUCUCUAACUCAGUUUUGGAGACCUCAUCUAUUGUUUUCAGGAUGGUACGCUUCCUCAAGAACCUUCCCACCACAGUCCCUCCAUUGUAAUCCCCCUCUCGGGCAACCCACCCAUAAACCUUUACCUCACCUUCGCCACCCUCCCCCUCUGCAGCACCUAGACCACUAUUCCUAGUCUCAAAUUCCUUCUUCCCCAGCUUAUUCACACUAAAAUGGUUCUCUAGCGUAAGCGCAUCAUUAAAUCCACUCCAAUCAUUGGUAAACCUCACGAUUGCAAAGGUUUCCAUGCCUUCUAUCUCAUCGAUAAACAAAGGCACAACCUCAACAAAACUAAACAUGGCUACUCUACCAGCAAACUCCUCAGCAUUGAACCCUGCACCGGCUGCAAGAACACAAGCCCAUGGCCAAGCAUACCUCUCAACCUCCCGUGGCGGCCCCACGUUCUCCGCCGGCGCAGAACUGGAUCCCGUAGGACCAACAUUGGCUUUCGCCUCCGCGGUGGCACUUCCACUGCCAUUGGCGUUAGCAGGGGCGGGCUUAAUGGCACCGAGGAUGCCAGUGAUACCGACAAGGUCUUCCGCGAAGGACGGAUCGGUGCGGACAAAGCGGGCGAAGGCGCGGUGAGACGCGCGCUCGCGGCCGUGGCGGCAGUGCUUGCUGGAGACGCCGAUGCCGUCGGCGUGCUGGAGGAGGUCCUUGAUCUUGUACCCCUGCUUCUUCUUGCCGGGGCAGAAGGGGCAGCGGAAGGUGCCGUCCGGGUUGCGCACCCGGUGCUUGCCGGAUGUGAGGAGGCGGAAGGAUUGCUCCUCGUAGUCGCUCUCCGCGUCCGAGUCGUCCUCGGAGUCGUCGUCGGAGUCCUCGGAUUUGGGGUCCGCUAAUCCGGCGGCCUCCGCGGCGGCCUCGGCCUCGGCCUCCUCGUAGGGGUCGAUGUAGUCGUCCAUGUCAAGAUCCAUCCCCGGAGCUCAGGGAUUCAACAGAGACGAUUCCUGAACGCAAAUACAGCGGUUAUUGAUCGAAAUUUUACAGGAACGACGCGAUUUUUCUCCCCAAAUGUUCUUCGAUCCAAACAUACUACGAAAGAGGAACCGAAAGGACUCACCUUCCCCCGAACUGGAGCACGAUCGCUCCAAAUGGCAGCGAAACUGGAUGAAAUUGGGGGGAGAAACCCCCGCCCUAUAUAAAGCCCGGGCGAAAUCGCGUUCUCACGCACCACGAUUGAACGCAACGACGCCGCCCUCGCUGGAUUUAUGGUGGCAUGGCGGAAAUCGGCGAGAAAGGCAACAGCUUUACUGGGCAAGGAUUAACACCUGCAUUCCAUUCCAGUCCUGGGGUUUUGGGGGCGGCGCACGGGAGAGAUGCCACUGGUACGGGGUGGGACGAUGAUAUGUGGGGUCCAUUUCAGCCCGUCGACGGUGGCCGGGACCACGUGUCAGGGACUCUGACACUUUGACUCCUUUGGGAAGCGUUACGUGGGCCCGAGUUCAUCCGGCUCAUUAACUUUAGGUCAUCUCAAGAUGUUUUUCCUUUUUUUUCUCGUUUCACUGUUGAAAUCCCACCCACCUCCAUCUAAAGGAAAUAUUGAAAUUUCUAGGAAAAUAGUUAAUUUGGUUAAUGCAUUAAUGAUGGAAUAAAAAGUUUCCCCUUUUUUCAUAGAGCGUAUAAUUCGUUGACAGAAGAGUUUGAUACUAAGAUUUGGAGAAAAUUUACAGCAGAGGUACAGCAAAAGAUUUCAUUUGAUCUUCCCAUUUAACAUAUGGUUAAAAGGCAACGCAUGUAGAUUUUCUCCCUUCUCUAGUUGGAUGGAAUUCACGCUUAUAGCGUAAAGAGUAAUAGUUAAAUAGGCUUGUAAACAAACUAGGUGUCAUUUGGUAAAUUUAAUAAAAAAAACAGCACACUGCACAUACCCUACUGGCACGAGUAAAUAAUCUUUCUGUAUAUAUGCAUGACACAGGUAAUAAGUAAAUAAGCUUGUAUACAAAGAUAGUAAUAGUUAAACAAGAUUCUAUAGGAACCAACUGUCAUGUCUAUAUUAUACUAUUAUUAUUUUGUACAUGACAAAAGGUAAUAAUUAAAUAAGACUGUCUAUAAACCAACUGUCAAUUCCUAAGUAUAUAUGCUACUAUUACUCGGUACAUGAAAAAGAGUAAUAACUAAAUACAAUUGUAUCAAACCAACUGUCAUAUCUCUGUAUGAUACAAGGUAAAUCAAAUACAAACCAAUUAUUAAUUCAUACAUAUUAUUAUUACUCUGGACAACAUAAAAGGCAAUAUUAAAUAAAAUUGUUUACUACACAACUGUCAUUUCAAAAUAUUGCUAUUAUUCUUUACAAGAUAAAAAGGUAACGGUUAAUUCAGCUUAAUGCAUACCAAUCGUAAUUUCUUCAGUAAAUUCAAAUUAAAAUCAGCACAAACAUAUAAAUAAUCCAUGUUUUAAGUGCAUAGGUUGGUGCUUGAAUCUAGAUCGAUGAAAAGAAAUGAUCUUAACAAUUUUGCAAGCAAAAUUAAAAAUAGAAAGAAAUUCAGUGGUUUUUCUUACUCUUAUAUCCUUUCCCACAAGUUGGUUCAUCUUGAACGGUUGUUGCGGCAUCUUCCACUCCAUGAUCCUUCAAUGAGAUUAUCAUUAUGGCACCCAUGAACUAGACUCGAGUCAACAAUGUCUCAAGGAUUAGAGAGAACCUUGGGGAUUCCAUGGACGUUGGGGUGGCAACUGUGGUGGAGCAGUGACACAAGGAAUGGUUAGCUACAGAUCUAUCUAGCAUGUCUUAUCGACUUAUCGUCGAAGAGCGGUGCAGGGCAGUAUGCUGGUUCGUCAUAGAUAGCAAAGGUCCAUUGUCGCAAUAAGUAAGGCAAAAGGAAGAGGGAGAGGUGUGCGGCCAUGUCAGGUUGAGGACAAUAGGCAUGGCGAUGAUUAAAAAAAAGGGGGUGGCAGUAUGUGGAAUGCUACAAGAGGAGGGUGCUCUAUCCGCCAGAGAAGCAUGGUUGGUUCUACGCAAAUGAUAGGAAGGGGCGGCGGUGUGUGGGAGCAUUGUAGUGGCCCGACCAAGAUGAAGGAGAAAGCGCGGUCUGCAGUCAUGUUGGGGUUGAGGACGAUAGGCAUGGCGAUGAUAAAAAGGAGCGGCGGGCGGCGGCGCAUGGGACGGUACAAGAGGAGCGUACUCGAGCUCUUAGGGUUUUGAUUGUUGCAAUAUCUACAACAGUCGGGGCAUAAAUCAAGGGUCAAGAUCCUUGAUUUAGAUAUAGAAAGAAUGAAAAUACCCUCAACCGACAUCCGACGCUACAGAACCAUCGAACGGUUCACAUUGCUGCCAUUUUGCACUGCAACAUAUGGCCCCGUAACACAUGAGAAGAAUGGGUAUUGAGUCGGAUGGUUGGGAAAUACUCAAGGAUUGAAAUGUGGGAGCAAGAUUGUCAAGAGAAAUUACAAAUCACCAAUUUUCGAAUUUCUUAUCGAGUCAAAAUUGUUAGUUCGUUCGGACGGCGUUCGGACGGUUCUCGGGUACAUGUAGUAGAACAGAGGAUUUAUCCCAAUUCCCAUGGUACAUUAUCAAAUUUUGCAGAUCAGAACCGGAAAAGGAGUCAGUUGUCUGCUCGAGUCAUCUUCCUUAGGCAAAAGAGAGUACAACAUUUUUGUGAUUGGUUUUACGAAGAGAGGCUUUAUGGCAUGCCGGAUCCUUGCUCUCUUGGUCUUUUUUUUCUUGCACCAGGCUUACUCUACCUUAGUCCCUGGGCUAAACUUUAAGCCAUGCUAAAGUUUAGCCCCCUUAAAUGGAGGGUUAAAGUUUAGCCCCCUUGGGCUGUUUGAAAAUUAGGCUAAACUUUAGCACCUAGGUUUACAAAAGACUCAUUUACCCCCACUUCCUUCCUUCCUCCUAUCUCUUCUUCUCUCUCUUCCCCUUCUCUCGCUCUUCUCCCCACCUCCCCCAGCCGCGCCAGCCUCCUCGCACGCCGGCGGCCCUGCGCCCACCCGGCCUCCGCGCCCCUAGCUGCCCUCCCUCCCCCGCUGGGAGCCAGUGGCCACGCGGCCAAGCUCCCCUCCCUCCCUGCAUCGGCAGCCGGUGGCUGUGCCCGCGUGCCCAAGCUCACGUUACUCCCCGCGCCGGGAGCUGGCGGCCGCGUCCCAGCCUCCUUCCUCCCUGCGUCGCGCUCGACUCCCCGCACACCAGAAGGUCGCUUCACUCCACUCCACCCCGCCUCCCCUCUGCAUGCUCCGAUGGUGGCUCGAGGUCCGACGAAAGCCUAAGGCAGAGCCCCGCGCGGCACAACCGAGCUGCGGUGGGCGAGCAAUGGCAGAGCCCCAUGCAGCAGCACGAGCUCCGACGAGCGCCGGACCUCUCGCUAAGCCGGUAGCCGCGAGCUCUUCCGCGUGCCACGGCGCUAGGCCGGAGGCCAUGAGCACGCAGCCGGCCGCCCCGGAUCCAGCGUCAGGGGCGCCGCCAAAGAACUCGGCCGAGGCGGAGGCGGAGGCGGAGGCAAGAGGAGGGCGGCGGGGGCGAGGUUGGGCGGCAGAGGCGGCGGGGCCGGCCGGAGGCGGCUUGGCCGGCGAGGUGGAGGCGAGUGCAGUGCGGAGGAGAGAGAGGGGGGUGCGGGAGGGCAACCAGGGAAAGAUGGUCCUUGGAACCACUUUUAACACCCAUUAGCCCAUUUUAGCACCCCUUAAGGGGCUAAAGGAAAAGGGGGGCUAAAGUUUAGCACCCCUCCUUUAGCCUAAAAUGGGGCUAAAAGAGGCGGGCUAAACUUUAGGCCCCCCCUCCAAACAGGGCUUAACUCAACUUUGAGAAUGCCAGACAUAAAUUUUACCUAUUUUAGUUUAGGGCACUAGUUUUGAGGUCCGAUAAACCGUUUCGAGCACUAUAGAGUCCUGCCACCUCUUCACACUAUACCUCCAUACGACCCCUACACACUCCAGAGCUCAUUACCCGUGGCUAGCCUCUUCAUGGCGUGCUCCACUUUAAUAACUCCCUCCCAAACGAGUGGCUUGCCGUCUCCCUCAUCUUUGUGCUAACACAUGACUUCCUGAUAUGCACCCUGUGCUUGGGUCGUGACAUGGAGUUCAUCCUUAUCUAGGUGGGCUUCGCACUCCUGCAUUAGCUCGACCCAGUAUAUGCCCACAACCACAUCUUCAUCUUUCACGACGAGCUCCACGUCCUACCACCCUUCCUCUUUCCUAAGAUGUUGUUCGUAAAGGUCAUGCUUACCAACAUCUAUGACACCUGCAGCCCCGACACCAUCCAUGCUAUUACAAAGCUACACCGACGGGCUGUCCAAGUGGGAGGAAGAGAACCUCCACACGGUGCGCUUCGCACAAGGUGUUUUGAAAUGUUGGACUUUACAUGUUUUAAUGCCGCGGCAGUGAUUUGAGACUUUGUUUUAGCAGUUGGUUUUGCAUGUUAGUUUUAGGAACUUUUGAUGUCGCAGUAGAUAUAUUUUUGUUGCUGCAAAAGGUGAUUUGAGGCGCAUGGAAUUUUACAUGUUUCGAUGUUGUAAGGAUGAUUUGAGUCUUUCAAGUUGGCUUUGGGUGUUGAUUUUAGCAAAUUUUCAAUAUUGCAGAAGAUAAUUGUGAAGGUUUUUACUGCAAUAUGUGUCUUUAGAAGUUGGGUCUUACACCCUCCGUCCCAAAUUACUAUUCGUUUUGACUUUUCUAAAUAUGUAACCUUUAAGAUUAUAUCUACGUACAUAAUAAAAGUUAUGUACGUAGAAAAGUUAAAACGAAUAGUAAUUUGGGACAGAAGGAGUACGUGUUUUGGUUUGCAACGGAGAGUAUUUUAGCAGUUGAUUUUGGGGGUACAUGUUGGCCUCGUAAUGAUUUGAUAUUGCAAUAUACGUAGGAACAAAUAUUUGCGGGAGCAGCUCGCAACCGGAGCAGCAAUACGCUCCACUGCCGUUGGGCAGCUCGCCGUUGGGUAGCUCAUGGACCUCACUCGGACGCUGGAAGGUUUUCUUCUGCUUUUGCUUUUGGAUCGCGACGGGAGUAGGGUGCAGACGUUUUUUUAUUUAUUUAAUGGUUAAAUCGGUGCGUCAGACGUUCAGGAGCUAGCGAGACCAUAAAAAAAUCUAAAGAUAUUUCAUACUGAAAUGAAAAUAUUUUAUUAAUAAGGUACUAUUGUGUUCCUUUUUAUUGAUUUUUUCCCUGUACGGGACCAAACUCUUUUUUUUUUCCGAAACUCUACGGGACCAAACUCCAACGGCUCAACCCCAACAAUUUACAUUGUGCCACACGGUAGUAGUUCACGGCUUGACAACACUGUCACCUUUCACUGACCAGAUGCUGGUGCAAAUCACACCUCGACCAGAGAACACGGCAAAAAAUUAGCACGCAGCGGCUUCGAGCCUUCGAGCGAUCGACCGAGACGACCAAUGCACGGACGCUCGCUCACCAGACGGGCAGCAGGUAGCAGAACUCGGCGUCGUACGGCUCGACCUCCACCAUCUUGGCCGCCGGCGCCGGAGUCCCCACCGUGCCCCUGCCGCCGCCGCUAGCGCCCAGGACCUCCCUGAUGGCCCGCCGGAGCGGGCCCGACGCCCGGGGCAGCUGGCUGUGCACCCACUCCAGCAGGGACGCGUCGUCGUCGGCGAAGUCCCGCAUGUGCCAGUGCAGCAGCUUGGGCACCACGACGGCGCGCUGCCUCCGGCCGCCGGCGACGCGCACCGCCGCCUCCAGGUACUCCACCUUGGCGCGCUCCAGCUCGUUCGACACGUCCUCCGCCGUGUACACGCGCAGCUGCAGCGGCCGCGCACGUGAGGUCAGUGUCAGUCUGUGGAGCAGAGAAAAAAAAAUGCCAGUAUGUAGGAGGAGCUCUGGCAGUGACUGAUCGGCAUACGCACCGCCGGCGAGGAGCGGCUGCCUCUGCACAGCGCGAAGACGACGUUGGGUUCAGGGUACCCGAGGCCGUACAAGUGCAGAAGAUCCCUCUGUCCUUCGUCCAUGAUCCCCUUAUCAUCAUCAUCAGAAUAUCAGAUAACCUUGUUGUUAAGAAUUUAAUGAAGGGAAAUGAUGUAGUAGCAUCCUAUUCCUGCAAGAAAGUUUAUGGUUGGAUGGUGUAAACCUAAUCUUGCAUACCUGCUUGCCUUCGGGAGAGUGCCUCAGGAUGAGGUGCUCGAUCGACAGGACAUUCAGCACUGUUCCUCCGACGUUCACUGAAGCCUGAAUGCCAGUUUCUGUUAGCAAUGUGCGUAAAGAUGACGGAAUUCGAUCUGAAUCAUCAAAUUUUUUGUCAGCAAUGUGGAAAGAAACGCUACACCUGAUUCAGCAGCGCAACAAGCUUUUCCGGGGAUGGAGGUAAACCGUGCUGAAGAAACGCCUGAAAUCAUGCCGGAAUAACCUGUCCUGAAUCAGCAUUGUUGCUUUCGAGCAAUUGUUCUAUGCCUGGAGAUGCAAUUAAAGGGCAGCUUACAGUACAUGCAUCACGCAGAAGUUGUAGAUGUUGAUCCAGAACGCCAGCUUCUGCUUGUUCGUCAGAAGGCUCGGAUCGGCGGUGCAAAGCUUUUGCAUCAAUCCCCUGUAAGAGAACGCACACGCAAAACAAACGCUAUCAUUCAGACCUGAAGCUUCCCCUGACCGUUGAACAACAACACGCCCAAACGGGAAGCCUCACCUCAGGUUCUUGAUGUCGACGAGGCACAGCGAUAUGCGGCUGACGUCGACGGACGCCCUCGUGAACUCGACGAACCUCCUGUGGCACCCGGCACCGGCAGCGGCAGUCUCCUUAUCCGCGCCAUGUCCGGCCUUCGCCGUCGCCGACGCCCUCCGGUUCUUGAGCGGGCUCAUCGCGGCGGCGGCGCCGGUCACGGCGACCCUGGGGACGAGGCUCCGAGGCCCGAUGCAGGAGAUGUUGAGCUUCGACGCGCCGCCCAGCUCCAGCUCCCCCGCGUCCCCCGCCUUGUUCAGCUUUUGGAAGAUGGUCACCAUCAGCCUGAUCAGCUCCUCCGACAGCUUGUUCGGGCUGCUCAGGCAGACCUUCCUCUCCGGAGGCGUCGGCGUCGUCUCCGACGGCUUGCAGUGGCUGCUUCUCCUUGCAGUGACAUGCUCCAUUUCAUCUCCUAAUUAAAAUAUCAUGAUGAUCAAGCAGCAACAAAAAAAGAACAUAUGAACUCUGAACUCGCACGUGUUUUUGCUGAACAUUUCAUACCUUUGGCGGAGGCGGAUCCAACAGAAGCCUUGCUCUCGCAUUCGAGAGCUUCGUCGCUGCUUGGGCAGGGCAGCUUCGGCAGCUGCUGGGCACCCUGGAGCUGGAGCUCUCUCCUGGACACGGAGUGCCGGGGCUGGCGGCUCUGCGGCCAGCUCUGCUGCUGCUGCUGCUGGAUGCACUGGUCCGUCCACCUCUGCUCCCGGCGCAGGCGCAGCCGCAGGUCCUCGACCUUCUUCUCCAGGUAGAAUAUCUCGUCCUCCACCAUCGCCAGCUCCCCAAGCAGGCCCCUAACCUACAUACACCAGUGCGAACAAAGCAAGUGAAAAAUUCAUGUCAGUCAGCGAACACGUUCAGCAGACAGGCAUUUUGGUCAGGUUCCAGGCUUCCAGCCAUUGGCAUGAUGAGCACACAGAAGCACAGAGUUACCGACAGAAGAAGAAUUUUACAGCUGAUGCUGACAUGGUUAAAUACUUCGUGAGAUCGAUCGUACUGAUACCAUGCCAUGGAAGGCACUGAUCAUUGGUCAGCUAAUGGAGGUACAAUAAUGCAGGAUCCAAGGAAACCAGCAGAUCUGGUAGAUAAGAGGUAGGAGGCAGCGAUUGUCCGCAGGCGACUCGAAACGGCGACGCUCCAGAUCGGACACAGUACUUCCGCGUCCUUCGUUCAGAGGUCAGAGCCAGGUGACAUCGGAUGAGACAGGAACGGAGGCAGGAAUCCAAAGGACAUACUGUACCCGCACCUGGCGUUGCUCUCACACCCGGGGUACGGGGACCCUGAUGAGAUCUUGGGCCCGUGGAAUGGAGAUCAGGAAAAUGGCCGUGCUCUCUGUUACUGUUACUACUACUGCGUGCGUGAUGUUACCGUAGGUGAUCUUAUUGGGUGCAGGAUUUGCAGACAUCUGUACGAGGGUGACAGCGUCACGUGUGUGAUCUUUCAGUUCAGAUGCUGCGGUGAAGUGAAAUGCAUGCUAUGAUGGCAAUUCCUCUGCUGCUGCGGCUGCAGUGAUGGUACGCUGGCAAUCAUGCUUGUUCGUCGUCGUCCAGACUUCAGACUGAACAGCUUCAACUUUUUAAGCACAGCUCCAGACAUAUGCAAAGUGUGCCCUAUUGUAGUAUUGCUACAUAAUCUGAACUAUCAAGUGUAUCCUAUUGUAGUAUCGUUUACAGAUAAUGUAAGCUACCAACGGUAAUAAGGUAACAUGAAAGAAGAACAUAUCGGAAGCUGCAAGGCAGAAUUUGCUCGAAUGGUACUCGUGCGGACAUCAGUUCAAUCUACGGAUGGGGGAUGGCAAUAAUCCAUGAGCUUACACUGAGUGUCAGAUACUUAGACUGACGGAACUGAACAUUUAGCAGCCCAUCAAACAGAGAUGAUCGGACGAUCGGAAGGUGAGCAGAGAGGUACUCACAUUGGUGGGAACGAGUGUGGAGAGGCAGCAAUGGCAGACGACGCGCCCCUGCAGCGAGCACUGGAGGACCCUGCCCAGCCGCUGCUCCUUCUCCAGCACCGUCUCCAGCUCCGACACCUGCACACAGCAAAGGCCCACAGCGUUCAUCAGCUCUGAAACGUCGAGCGGCGGCGCUCGCCGAUCAUCCAUCGCGCGUGCACGCGCAUGUCAGUGUCAGUGCUCUGCAGCAGCCGGCCUGACCGACCUCGAACUCGAGCUCGAGGCGCUUCUCGCGCUGCUCCUCCCGGUCCAUGAGGAAGUACAUGAGCUUCAUCUUGCACCGGCGCACCCGCGGCCUUCUUAAACCCGCGGCGCCCGCGCCCGGCCUCCCCCGCCGCCGGUGCUGGAGCGAGGUGGGGUAACUCCUGGCGCCGCCGGCGGCGGCGGUGGGGCGUAAUGGCGUCGGCGAGCUCAUUUAUGCGUCUCCCCGUCAAGAAAAAGGAGGAGGCUGGUGGGAUGGAGGCGCGCGCGGUAGGCAACGGUGGCGGUGAAGCCGGGGGGACGCGUCGGCGUCGGCGUCGCGCGCGUCACGCUUCCCGUGCGGGCAACGGAAAUCUCUGGCCCAUGCGACGCAUGACCGGCUUAAAUUCACCAGCGGUUGACGCCAACGCUCGCUCGGGGAGGAGUUUGCUUGCUUACCGAGGGGCUGAGAAUUUAUGCCCGUGACGGGAUCUGUUACCGAGGAGACUUUGAUGAGGGGUCUCUCCUCUCCUCUCACAUUUUCUCUCUCGAUUUGUUAGGCCAGUCACAGCACAAUUUCAUUGCACAUUUACCUGAACUACGUAACUGUGCUAUAUAAAUUUUACUAGAACUCCUUCCUCGUUUGAUGAAACUUCCUCUAUUAAUUAUCUUACCAAGUCAGCAAUUUUGCUGAUGUGAUAUUAAAUUUAAUGCCAUAAAACUUCCCAUCGAGACUGGUCUUACUGUACCAAUAUUUUACUGUACCAAUAUUUUAGGCAAAAUUUGAACCUUGAAUAAUAUGGUUUGGUUUCCUAUUUCAUUCGUUAAAAACAUGAUAAUUCUGAAGUGACCGGCACUCUUUCUUUCUUUUUUUUUAACCCAACAAUUCCCAGGGUCAGUUUCCUUUUCAGAUUGUUGAAUUGUAUUGUGGAAAAGAUUGCAAAACAUAGUAUAGGUUCAAAAAUUCAAAAAAGCUAGCACUUCCCCCGUCAAAUGUAAGGCUUCAUGCAUCAUCACCCUAAUCUGAUCCUGCCAAUCAGCUCAAGGUACAGAUACUCUUUCAUUUCUCCGAAAGUGCAUUGGCUAGGGCAGCAUCGCUAAUCCCCUUAGAUGUGCCUACAAAAUGUUUUGUUUGAUCGGCCAAUAAUGAACGCAUCAUUCCAUCAUGGUACAAUUCUGACGCUGCGUCCCAAUCAUCGCAGGCGUGGAAAAGAAUCCUAGUCCUAGGACAGUGUAGGGUUUCAUACCAAUACUGUUAUGUCAUCAAUGAAAUCAAAUUAUCACUUUCAGAACACAGUUUCAUAGAUAACCUGCGAGCGAUGAAACUAUAACAUUCUAGUUUCAUAAGGAUAAAACUCCCCUUUCAUCUCUCCUCAUAAUUAGAUUGCCAAGUCAGCAAAACGGCUGAUAUAACAGAUUUGGACGGUUUCAUGAGGAUAAAACUCCCCUUUCAUCUCUCAUUGCCAUCUCUCCUCAUAAUUAGAUUGACAAAUUGCCAAGUCAGCAAAAUUGCUGAUAUAACAGAUUUAAUGCCCAUGAAACCUAGAAUUUAAUACCAUAAAACCCCACUGAAACUAACCUUUAAGGCUGGUGAAACGAUGAGCGUGGCCUUAGUGAAACGAUGAGCGUGCCAUACAACUGCUUUGCUGCCUCCGUGCAAAGAUUAGCUGACCCGUUGCAUUCACAGGCCCGGCUAAUCCGCCCUCAUUAAACACAAAAGACACAGAUAAUGCAAAGUUCCAAACGGAGUCACUACUAACGUGGCCAGAGCAUUUGGCUGGAUAGCCGGCAUCCACCCAACAACAUUAGGAUAAUGCAAUCAAAACAAGCCUAACGAUUCAGCAACCUAAAGGUCCAUGUAGAAAAACAGCAUCGAAUCUGGUGUAAUGUGACUCACCACAAAAGGGGGCUAACAAAAAAAAACCAUUAUUGAUAUGUCCAGAGGUAGUAAACAUUAUUAGCAAGCUCAAGCUGUGGCCUCAGAAAAAGCUACAUAGCACAGAAAACAAUUCUGUUCCUGUUCAGCGGAUCUCCGCGUCAGGGGUGGAAGGGUCGGGGACACAUCUUAGGCGGACUUCACGGUGGCCGAGUUGAUGAUGUCGAUGAACUCAGGCUGCAGACAAGAUAGGGGAUAAGAAACAGUCAGUAACAGAGGAUGUUGAUAAGGCCAGACACCAUCAUUUUGUUGCAGUCUUUGGUUUACAAAUUAACAGGACAUCAGCUGUCUUCCAGGAUUUUUCGUUACCUUCAAAGAAGCACCACCGACGAGGAAACCGUCAACAUCGGGCUUUGCUGCCAGCUCUUUGCAGUUUGCAGCAGUCACAGAGCCUGUAGGAAGAAGAGCACAAAUAAUCAUGUACCAAAAAGAUUUAGCAGCUGGUGCACAUUUGUAAGGCAACUGCUCGAGAAGUGUAUACCUCCGUAGAUGAUCCUGGUAGAUUCGGACACCUCAGGGCUGACGUUGAUCUUUAGCCAAUCUCUCAGGGAUGCGUGCACCUGCAAAGAUAAUGCAAAUCUGAGUGUUUGUGCGACGUUGUAGUAGAUGAAGAUAUUUAUAAUUGCAAGAGCAUAGCCCAAUGUUGAAAAAUGUAUGAACCAGUAGAGAGUUGUGAGAGUUAAGAGAGACUUACUUCCUGAGCCUGAUCAGGGGUGGCAACUUUACCAGUUCCAAUGGCCCAGACUGGCUCGUAGGCAACAACCACGUUGCUCCAGUCCUUGAUCUUCUCUGUAAAACAAACAAGCAUUACAUCCUUUCAGCCUGAAUUUCCACAUGGCACCAAUAUUUUUAACUUGGCAAAUUGAAGAUAAGGCACAAAGUUAACAUGAAAUAAACAAUCCAGGCAAAAAUAAACACGUAAUCCUUCCAAUCAACAGGGGGGCACAGGAACCAAUUUCUGAACUACAGCUGCUAGAGAAAAACAGUAAUGCCUGAACUAGAAGAGUACAUUUUCUAACCAAACUGAACGCCGGGAUCUAAUUAGCGUAAAACAAGAUUAGAAACGAAGUGUUUAUCAUAAGAUGUAUGGCUACCUUUUUUAUAAUUUUGAAGUUCUAUAUGCCUGGGAGAUAGACAUAAAAGUAUUUGGAUAUAAUCAAUCAACAAUCCACAUGAAAAACACUAACAGUGAAUACAUAAAAAAGAGAGUAUGCACAAUCACAGGACUGAAUGUAAAUGUGAAGUACCAGCAAUUGCUUUUGUUUGUGCAGCAACAACAUCCAUGGUCGAUCCAGCUUCCCUCUGCUCAAGGGUCUCACCAACACAUGCAAUGACCUUUAGUCCCUGAGAGAGUGCAUAGGCGACUUUGUCUCCAACAAACUGGCAUCCAAGCAGAAGAUUGAACCAUUAGAUGUGAACAUUCUUAGAACAGGUGCAUCAAUAAUCAAAUAUAUCGCAGAUUCAUGUCUAAGGGAAGGAUUAAAGAAGAAUAACUGAACAAGUCUCAGCUCAGUAACUGUAACAUAGUCCGAUUGGCAAUAUGCAUAACAGCACAACCACAAUGCAAAUGACACGAAAGACAUGCUGAAUUUGAACUGGAGCAUACCUCAUUUGAUUCUCCCAACAGAGCUCUCCUUUCAGAGUGUCCAAGAAUGACCCAGGGAACGCCAAGGUUGACGAGCAUCUCAGCACUGCAUCAAUAAUGGCUUGCUUAUCAACCAACACAAAAAUUGAAUGAGGAAUGCACCGAAGCGCAAUGUACAAACAGCUUAAUAAGGUUAUAUAUGCAAACUGCUUAACAUGGCAUCAGCAGUAUGAAAAUAACUAAAAUUGAGUGAAAGCCUGAAAGGUGAAUUCAAAAGACUCCAUGCAUUAAUGGUCAAAGGAACAUGAGCCUUGUGCUUGUGUAAACGCUGCAUGAAUUUGCAUUUCAGAUUCAACAUUAAUCCUUCCUCACAAGGGCUAUACAACAUAUGGGGUGGACAGCCAGGAGAGAAUUAGAGACUAACCUGACUUCACCAGUGAAAGCACCUCCCUUCUUCACCCAGCAGUUCUGAGCAGCAACUUGGAACUCUGGGCGGAGCUGACUCUUGACCACAGGAAGGAACACAUAAGGAGGGCUGACAACAACCUCUGCAAUGCAACAAUUCCAAAUAGCUAAGUACAUCAUACAAGUAAAAUUUCUCAGAAGUACCACAAAUCUGCGAUGUUCAAGGUCACCCCUAAAAGGGAAGAGUCCAUACCAACAACAUCUGGAGGGGGAACCUGCCCUUCAUUCAGAGUUUUGACAAUCUUGUCAACCUGAUCGGCGGUUCCAUUCUGCAAGCAUGAAGAUCGACCAUGUCAAUAAUCAGUUAACAAGCAAUUCACUAGAUAUGCAUGUCAUUUGUAUGAGAAAUUUGGCAAAGCAACAGGCUCUUUCACUACCAACCGAUUUGCAAAAGAAGCUCCAAUCUAAGCUCAAAUUUACCGAGUUUCAUCACAAGAAAAUCCAUAAUUUACGAGCUCCAUCACAAAAACAAUAAAGGUUCAAGUCGCUAUAUCUAUAACAAGCAUUGCACGAUCUUAUAACGAUACAGUGAGGAAUAGUAUGUAAAUUGGGGGCUGAUCUGCGUGGCAGAUGAAUAUGGAUCUCCAGAAGUUGGCAGAUCGAACUUCUAACCGCUCCUGGAAACAUGCAUCACACAAGGUUUUAACGGUUUGUUCUGAGCACGAAGCACAGGCGGGUUGCAAGAAUCACGCAGGCACUUUUCAGCUAGGUCCAAACAUACAAAGACCAUCAACAUCACGUUGUCUGAUUCCGUACGAGAAUGACUAAAUCAGUUGUAUUCCUGGCCGGAUCUUAAGAGAUAGCACCUGGAGCAACACAUCCAGUCUUCCCAAACAAGACAGAACAAAAAAAAAUAUCCAUACGUCGAUCUAAAUCGAGAUGGGUAGAAUUCACUAGCAAUUUCCGCCCUCGAAUCCCCCAAAAUCACUAGCUCAACCGCAAACAGAACGCGAAAAGGGAUCAGAAAAGAAAUCCAAAAGCUUCCCACCCGAUCCACGACGAGAAAAACAGGCAGGUAGGAGGGGAAGAGCGAUUACGCAUUUCCAGUUGCCACCGACGAAGAACUUGCGGCCCAUCUCGACGAGGUGUUGGGUUCGGAAGGAAGAGGAUGGCUGGAUGGGGACUUGGGGAGCUUCUAGGUUGGAUUUUGCUUCUUGUGGAGGAAGACCGGAAGAGACAGGAUGGAUGGAUAAUAUAAGGCGGGGCGAGGUGUGUGGCCUCUGAUGUGAUCACAUGAGGCCGGCCGGCCAGGACUCACGAUGACAUGUGGACCCCGCAGCCACCAUCGAGUUUUUCUAGAGCUUUUUCCCCCUAAAAAAAUGUCUUGGUAUCUUUAGGCAAAAGCUAAAUUGUUACGUGUACCAAGGAAGCUUACUCGAAUCUUUGCUUAUGGAUGGCUCGUAUGAUUGCCUCAAGCUCCAAGCUGAUGUUACAAUAUCUCUAAAAAUAGCUGGAAGUAUCCUAAUUCGCCACCAUCUUUUUUAUAUAAGGCAAACAUAUCAAAAGUUCUCCAAGUUCCUAUGCAGCUUGGAAUAAAUUAAACCAAACUAUAGUUUAGCACAUUGUUAAAGCUUGUAAGAGGUUAGUAUAAAGUAGAAACGUUUUAUUUCAAAAAAAAGAAAGUAAAAAAACGUCAUGUUCGUAUGCUCAUCUGCUGCGCGCAUAAACGAAUUCUGGCGGUGGCCUUAGCUAGGUUGGCCACAGGGGACGCGGCUGCAGACGAUCCCACGGUUGCGGGUGGUAUUGUGGGCACCUGGCACAGCAGCGCGGAACAAGGGGCGGCGAAGCAGCGGCGGAUGCGGAUGGCAUGGCAUCGCGCUCGUGCGUGCGUCAUACGUGGCUGCUGCUGAAUCGAUGCGCAUCUCCGCCUCGGUGAUUCCGCUUUCCGGCUUUUGCCCGUGCUGCCUCCUCCUCCUCCUCCUCCUUUUGGUUCCUCGCCUUCAAUAUAGGCCCACUCGCUCCGGAACGGGCCACAGGUCGGCAGGUCCCAUCUCAGCAGAUUCGGCCCGUUUUAGAGACCCAGCAAAAUGAUUCGUUAAUAUUAAGUAUGAUUGAUGAAGUACGGAGUAAGUUUCUAUUUUAAUCGAGAAAGUUGCCCGGCAAAAUUUGUAAAAUUCUCACGGUGAAGGUGCGAGAUUUAUAAAUCACACCCCUCCUAAGACUACAAGAUGGACGAUUUGACAUAGAAUUCGGUUCAACGCGGUACAAAUUUCUACGGCACAUGGGCCUACACCAUCUUGCUGCUAUAUAUCACAUCGAUUUCUUUAUAAUAUUUUUUUAUCUCACUUCAAACUUAUAUAAAAAAGAUUAUAGCAUCAUUGACUUUUUAAACAAACUUUGAACAACAAUAUUUAUUUAAUGAAUUAGUUUAAUAAAGCAAAGUAAGUACCACAAUGCCUAUUAUAAAAAAAAUGUAGAUUUAACUUAUAAAUUCAUCUAUUUGCAUAACUAUUUGUAGAAAAGAUUAAUAGUCAAAUAAAUAAAAAAAAUUAAUGGUGUGCUAUGAAACUAUGCAUUGAGAUUGGUCAAACUAAUAAUGAAUGAUUAACAUCUUUGCUACGCAAUGGUCAACUGGUUGAUAGGAAAAUAAAGAGAGGGGCUGCGUGCUUUAAAACUUGUAGAAGAAAUAGCAGGAGUGAGCACAACAACUCAUCGCUGACCACCAACUCUCUUUGCCAUUGGCGCCUUCGCCUUUCUUUCCAGGUAGCGUUCGUUAUGAUGAUGGUUACAUCCGCACUCGCUACCAUGAUUUAGGCAUCUCUUAGCUUUGUCGACGUUUCCUUCUAGAACUCAAUGGCAAUUGGUCUUAAAAACUGAUGAUAUGAUAGGACGUGUGCCUCGCCGUCCUACCGUAACCACGAAAUUUUAAAGACGACUGGACGCGGGUGAGCAAUCCUCUUGUCAUUGUUUUGUUGUCCGCAGGAAAGGAGUUAGUAGCAGCUAGCUUUUCGUCAAGGUUGGCAAGACCGGCUGCGUAGCUCCGUCCUUAAUUAGUUACCACGUGAAUAGCAUGUUUUUAUAUAUGCUUUAUUAAUUGGUAGCUCCAUCAAUAACUACCGGUAUUUCAUCACUUCCAAGAUUCAAUGGGUUUUGCUUACCGCUUUUUUUUCCAUUAAACCAUCCUGUCAACACUAGUUAUGCAAUGUAAUUCGCAUGGUUGCAGUAGGGUCUGUUUGGAUGUGUUAUUGCUAAAGUUUAGUAUUUUCAUCCAUUAGUACUCCCGUUCGAAGACAUGGCUAAUGGAUGGAGCUAAAGUUCAUGAAAAGUCACUUUUGCCCUUUUAUCUACUCACCUCCUCCCUUUCUCUCUCCCUUUUUGUUUUUUCACAAGCUAUUAACACCCAUUAGCUUCUCCCCACCCGUUAAUGCUUUUGCAAUUUUUUGAAGAUGGGCUAAAGUUUGGAUAGGCUAAUGCAUAAAGAGGUUAACUUUCGUCCAUUAAACACGCCUAUAAUCAAAAGUUGCUUCUUCUUUUUUACUGGCUUUUGACCAUCAUGCGAUGAGUGAUGCCGUGGCGGUUGCGGGGUGUUUUGAUGAGUGAUGCCGUGGUGGUUGUCCUUAGGGGGUGUUUGGAUACUAGGUGCUAAACUUUAGCAGCGUCACAUCGGAUGUUCGGAUGCUAAUUAGGAGUACUAAACAUGAGCUAAUUAUAAAACUAACUGCAGAACCCCUGUGCUAAUUUGCGAGACGAAUCUAUUAAGCCUAAUUAAUCCAUCAUUAGCAAAUGGUUACUGUAGCACCACAUUGUCAAAUCAUGGACUAAUUAGGCUUAAUAGAUUCGUCUCGUGAAUUAGACUCCAUCCGUGCAAUUAGUUUUGUAAUUAGCCUACAUUUAAUACUUCUAAUUAGCAUCCAAAAUACCCGAUGGGAUAGGUGCUUAUUCAAACGGGCCUUAGUUAUCACGUGAGCAGCUAUACCAGCCUUCCACCAAACUAAGGUCACCCGGUGGUCCACAUCCACAUGUUAUUUACAGAAAGGUUAAUAUCAUCGACCGUGACCUGAAUGAAGCCUUAAGGAGAAGGUUCUCCAUGCCGGGACGAGUCAUCGCCCUCCGUGGCACGCAGUGCGAUCUCUCUGGUUGCUGCUAGUCAUGAAACAGGCGAUGUUUCAGAGAUCUCAGGAUUUUCAGACACGACGUCGUGUUUCUUCCUUUUUCAUGUCAGUCAGAGUCGGGCACUCAGGCCUACACGAGUCACCGACCAUUUUUUCAUCAGCUGCUAGGCUAUUUUUCUUCACCGAGGAACAGACCACAUGUCCGGCCAACGAAGGUUCAUCGCGUCCUUUGAUUGGUGACGGUAGAGCUCUCGCGCCUCUCCCGUUGACGUCUGGUGAUUCUGUCUGCCACACAUCUUAUCUGACAUUCUACAAUCGUUCAAAGAUCUCACGCAUCCAUGAGUAAGGUUUGGGGAUGAUGUUGCAUCCGGAAAUUUGACGACCGCGAGUGGUAUGGUAAUAAAUACACGGACUGAGCUUGAUCAACGUAGCUUACUCCACAUGUAUACGUACACUAUAUACACUAUAUCUAGAUGCAUAAUAAUAUCUAUAAAACUAGAAAAGUCAAAAUGACCUAUAAUUUGGAACAACCAUCAAACUUAAGUGUCAAAAUUAAGGUUCUCGAUUCAUCGUCUAGCAUAAAAUUUGCUUAAACCCCGACCUGUUCUUUUUUUUACUGUUGCAACUUGUUCCACGGUGGAUAAAAUCGUUGGCGCAACUAUAUAAUGAUAGAUCCGAUUUGAACUUGAUUCGGAAACGCAACUAGGUUGGCUAAACAUUGAAAACUGCACUAUAAAUGUUGGCAAAGUAAUUUGUGUUGCCACGUCAACCUCGCGUGAGAUGGUCUGGAAUGUGCUUUUUAGGCUGACGCUCUACUCAACUUCUUAAUGAGGUUUAUUUCUUGUCGGGGACAUUUGUCGUGAUGCCUUCUCUUCCAUCUUAAGAGGAGUUUGGGUUGAAAGACCUUGUGCCAGCUUUCGGUCGGCGUUGACAGUGCUUGCGGAUGUUGUUUCCUUGCUGGAGGCAUCAUCGUUGUUACCCUUUCCCUAAGUUAGUUACCUGUUUUGUGUGAGUUGGCUGUCAACUGCAAGUGUAGUGGCUGCAGUUUCUUCCUUGUGGUGGUUUAUGGUUGUCGUGUGGGUGUGGGCUAAUGGUUGAUUCUGAUGACUUGUAAUUGUUGUUCUUUUAUUUCAUAUUCUCUAAAUUAAUCUGUGGGCUUCGUCUAAAAAAAUAAAAUUCAGCCGCGUCUAAAAAACUUUUUGCCAAAUUUCCUGUCGUAUCUCUUUUUUCCCUAAAAUUCUUCCGACGGGCCGGGCCGGGCGCGCCAUUUUUGGCUAAAGUUACCGCAGUGCCCCUUUUCCCCCAGUCGCAGGCUCGCGGCGCAGUGAGCCACACGCCCGCACAUCACGAUCGCUGCUAGCGGGCCCCGCUUUCAGUGACCGCACACCGAACGAACCCGCGCGUGGGACCCACCGCCCAGCGGUCGAACCACCCCUCCCUCUCUCUCUCUCAGCUUGCCGCGACGAUAAGCACGGCAAUCCAAUCCACCACGAAGCCGCCAUCCGCCAUUAGCCCUGCACCACCCCGUCACGCAAUAGGCAGGAGAGAGGUGGAAGAAAGAAAGAAAAAAAAACAGAAAGGAAAAACACCAGCUUACACGAAUCGUCUCGAGCCUCUCGGGUGAAGUUAUAAAUAACCCCCAUCGGGGCUAGGGUUGAGGAUUUUCUUUCUUCGCUUCUCGCGAAUCGCCGGACGAGCAGGGCAGCAGGCCGAAUCGGUUCGAGGUCUCCGCGGGAGGCUUCGCGGCGCGGGAUCUGCCGCGCAGGAGUUGACGGUGUGAUUCGGGAGGUGGGGUUUUGGCGGGCGGCGCCGGGUUCCCGGUUGGCCGAUUCGGGCGAGAGGCUGGGGCGCGGGGGCGGGCGAUCGGGCCACUGGAGCUGCACCCACUGGUUGCGGGCCAUGGCCGGGAUCGACGCCGGGGAGGGGGCGGCCGCCGCGCCGCCGGAGAUGUCGCCGGAGCAGCGCAUCGAGCAGGUGCGUCGCGUGUCCGCCUGGGGCCCCCUUCCUUCCCUCCCUCCCUCCCUCGUGUGUGAUCCUCACCCCAUCAUCGACCCCGUGCGGCGGUGGCUGCUUGCCGGGUGCCGUCGCCCCUCUGGUUCCUGGUCUCGUGAUUGGUUGGAAUCGGUUCGGCGGGUGAUUUGAGAUUUUACCGGUCGAUGGGCGCCGUGGGACUCGUUGCUGUCCGUUGGCGGUGGUGGUGGUGCUUGCGAUUUGCGAUUCCCUUCGAUGGUGCGAUGAUUGGUGUGUUUGCUGUGAGCCUGUGACAGGAACUGACUGGUGUAGGGAGUUUGGGGGUAGGUCCUGUUUUUUAGGGUGACGCAUAUUGGGAGAAUUUGAGAACAGGCCUUUUAAAAAUGUGUCAAUUUUUCAUACUCCGCGUAACUUCACUCUAGUUCUAUUUCCUUAUUAGUACCUUUGAAGAAUUUGUCUAUUUUUUAGUUGAUCCCUAAGAUAGGGAUGGGAGAUUCCUUCAGAACUGGGUGUGUUUCUCGACUGUGUUGAAGAUAAUCAGUUGUCUUGUUGCAGUUGCAGUGAUAUGAGUUUCACUUCAUGAUAAAUUUAAAUGAUCCAGCAGGGUCUUUUGUAAUUUGCUAAUUAUUUGGCAUUGCCCUCACCCUGCAGAAGCUCAUUCUCUAUGGAGUACCCGAAGAGCAACUGCAAGAACACCAAGAAGGCUUACUCAUGUACAUAGAGAAGCACAAAGAGCAGAUACCUGAUAUAGUGAGGCUGAUCUUGUCAGUAGGUACUGAUAUUCUGGAGGCCCGAAAGCCCUCAAAGAAGGAAUCAAGUAGCAGCAGCAGUGGCGAUGCGUACAGUGAGAGUUUGUCUUGGUUGCAGUGGUUGAUGUUCAACCAUGAGCCAGAAGCGAUGCUUCAAGACCUGGAUCGUUCCUCUGCAGGAGAUCGUGCUGUUUGUGGGUCAGUCUGGGGACAGAGUGAUCUUGCGUAUCGCUGCCGGACCUGUGAAAAUGACCCCACGUGUGCAAUUUGUGUCCCAUGCUUCCAGAAUGGCAAUCACAAGGAUCAUGAUUACUCCAUCAUGUAUACAGGGGGUGGAUGUUGUGACUGUGGAGAUGCUACCGCCUGGAAGCGUGAAGGGUUCUGCUCAAAGCAUAAAGGGGCCGAGCAGAUUAAGCCUCUUCCAGAGGAGCUUGCACAUUCUGUAGGACCUGUGCUGGAUGUGCUUUUGCAGUUCUGGAAGGAGUGGAUAUGCCUGGUGGAACCACCCCCUGCAAAGGGUGAUGGUAGUAGCUCAUGCAAGAGGGUUGCUGAAGAGUUGACAAUGUCAAUUACUAACAUGAUGCUUCAGUUCUGCACUUGCAGUGAAAGCCUUCUUAGUUUUCUGUCCCUAAGGAUCCGUGAGUGCCAAGAUCUGUUGGAUGCAUUAAUAAGGUCAGAAAGGUUGCUUGACAAGAAGGUUGCUAAAAAAUUGCAUGAGUUGCUAUUGAAACUUAUCAGCGAUCCUGCUUUUAAGUAUGAGUUUGCCAAGGUUUUUAUACGCUACUACCCUGUCACAUUUGGUGAAGUUAUCAAAGGGUGCAAUGAUUCGCUACUGGAGGAGUAUCCACUGAUGCCAACUUUCUCUGUGCAAAUAUUCACAGUACCUACACUAACUACAAGGCUUGUGCAUGAGGUUAAUUUGUUGGGUGUUCUUCUUGGAUGCUUGACAGAUCUGUUUCUUUCUUGCAUUGGUGAGGAUGGUCGUUUACAGGUAUGCUCAUGUCUUCUUUUUAUGAUUUGAAGAGUUUGAUGUUUAUGCUGAACUAUUUUCUGGUAUAAUGGAUGUAAAUGUUAGGCUGACCAUAAGACCUUACGCCAGGAGUCUAUCAAUGUUGUUAUAACGAUAUGUCAUCUGGAUGCCUAGUAUCUUAAAUUGCACAGAAAAAAAAGACUAGUAGAAUUGCCACUUUGAUAUCUGGGAAUGGAUGAAUGAUAAACAUUUCUGGACAAUACCCUUGUUGGUUUCUGUUAAUUUUUUUUUGAGAAGUGGCAUUGAAGUGCGAAAAUAUUUAUAGAUAAUACUGAUUGACUGGUAGUCUUAUGCCAUUGUAUAUAUCAACUCAGUGCAUACACAUACAAUGCCACUUUACUUUCAUAUGGUUACGGGAGACCCUUUUCACCUUGUUAUUUGCAGACAAACAAAUGGGGAAACUUAUUUGACGCUUCUGUUCGAUUAUUGGAUGAUACACGCUAUGUCUUGAGUCAUGAGGAAGUUUCUAAGUAUGUUGCUUAUGAGAGGCCUGAUCUAACAAGGUCAUGGAUUAAGCUCUUAUCACUUGUGCAAGGUAUGGAUCCUCAGAAGAGAGUGACAAGUAUUCAUGCUGAAGAUGAAAAUGAACAUCUAUCUGCACCUUUCGUGCUGGGGCACUAUUUUGGAAUUGUCCAGAACCUUCUGAUAAAGGGUGCAUUUUCUCCUCCUGAUCAACAUGAAUCAACUGAUGUUACUGUUUGCUCCUCUGCGAUAAACGGCAUGGAGAGUGCUGAAAAUCAACGGCAUGCAAAAGUUGGAAGGGUCUCCCAGGAGAGCUCAGUAUCCAAUUUAAGCAUCCGAGACAGUUCUUUGAGUUGUGGUUUGCCGUCACCUGCUGCCUGGUUAAUUCUUCAAUGCCUGAAAGCUAUUGAAAGUUGGUUGGAACCUGACAUAGCUCUGAGGAGCAAGCUGUCAUCCCUUGAUCCUAGCAGCAGCGAUUCUCGUAAUUUUAUGGCUUCGCCUGAAGAUCGGACUUCUGAUAAGGGAACCAGUUCAAAUACAAAUAUAGGCGUGAUGGGUGUCAAGAUAAAUGAAGGAUCACAACCAGAUGGUACUGCAGAUUAUCGUGAUGUAUCUAGUUCUCCUGUUCAUGGUAAUUGCGACAGGAUGCAGAUUGACCAAGAAGAGAUACCUUCAGCUAGUAACAGGACAGGCAAAGGGAAGAUGCAUGACAGCAGCAACACUACAGAUAUAGAGUUGCACCCUGAGAAUGCCAUUACUUAUACUCUGACUGACGGUAGCCUUUUGCACGCUCAUCCUGAUUCAAGAAUCGAGGAACUAGGAAUACUCAACACAAGAGGUUGGCCUCAUGUUAUCUUUGACGUCAGUUCACAAGAAACUUCUUUCCAUAUCCCUUUGCACCGUAUGCUUUCAUUGCUGUUGCGGAAGGCGAUGAAGAAAUGUUUUGGAGAGGAUGCCAGGCCAGAUGAACAUUCAGUUGUGCAAUCCUGUGAGUUCUUUUCUCAGGUACUUAGAGGUUGUGAGCCUUAUGGGUUUGCUUCGAUUGUGAUGGAGCAUCCACUGAGAGUCAGAGUAUUUUGUGCACAAGUGCGUGCUGGAAUGUGGCGUAAGAAUGGUGAUGCAGCUAUACUGAGUGCUGAGUGGUACCGCUCUGUGCAAUGGUAAUUUCAUACUGAUCUCAUGUUGAUUCACUGUUCAAAUAAUGGUGCUAAGGUUAUCUUGUUACCCCUAUUUCCAGGCUUGAACAAGGUCUGGAGUCAGAUCUGUUUCUUCUUCAAUGCUGUGCUGCACUAUCUUCUCCAGAGUUCUUUGUACGAACAAUUCAAGAGCGAUUUGGUUUGUCCAGUUAUACAUCUUUGGAUCUUGCGGAACAGAAUGAGUAAGCCCUAAUAUAUGCUUGUCAACUUCUGUUUCUUUCUAGUAUUGCUUCUUCAAUUUCUUGCACUACCUUACCUAUAUAUGUAGCUUUGUGGGUUUGGCGCAGUCACUUUUUUGUUUCCACCGGUAUCUACCAAUAAAAGUUACAAUGGUGACAAAAGUUAAAAUGAUUCUUCCCACCUUCCAGCAUUACUUCUCUGACUACGUAUUGCUCAUCUUUUGGUUCCCAUCAGUAGAUUUUAUCUGUCAUCACAAAUAAGGAAAAAAAAUAGCCAUUUUCAUUUCUUUGUGCCUUUGCUUGGCAAGAAAGUAAGGUGCCAUUCACUCCGUUCUGUUAUAAAUAAGUCCCAGUUUCUGUGAAAGCCCAAUAUUAUAGGUCCAUUUAUAGCAGCUACUCCCUUCUUGUAUGAAGUCAUAGAAUCUGUGCCAUCAGACUUUCUAAAGUUCAAUUGCCAAUUUGUUUAAAACCACACUAUAUCAAAACGCUUUCACAAAAUUAUAACGUUAUUAGUAUCAAUUGACGAAGUUAGGGAAGUAGCAGUCAAAGUCAUGUGUCCGAUACCGCAAGAACCAAGAAGUAAAAAAGUGUGAUUCAUAAAAAGAAAGGAGAGAGCAUUUAGUUCUAUCCAAAUUUAUCAAAGACAACAAAGUUUUAAGUAUUUGGUCAAAACUAGCUUUGUUCAAUUUGAGCUCCAUAAUCCAUGAGAUCCAGUCAUGGCCUAGGGAAAUAUUGUUUGCAUGCUUGCCUUUUGCCUUCUCUAUCGUCCCUUCACUGUUUUCACAGUUAUUCAGACUAAUUUCUUACUGAAAAUUUUCUCACAAAAUUUAAGAAUUAUUUUAUGCCACAUGUAGGUUCUGACAGUAUGUUGCUUUCAGGUAUGAGUCAGUUCUAAUGCAGGAAAUGCUAACUUUUCUUAUACAAUUGGUUAAAGAACGCCGUUUUUGUGGGCUUUCCACAGCAGACAACUUGAAGAGGGAAUUGAUUUAUAAGUUAGCUAUUGGAGAUGCCACUCAUAGCCAGAUUGUGAAGUCUCUUCCUCGCGAUCUUUCAUCAAGUGACCAACUUCAAAAUGUUCUGGAUUCACUGGCAGUUUAUUCUAAUCCAUGCGGCAUGAAGCAGGUAUUAGUCCUUCGGUUUAUGUAACACAUUCCCUUAAAAUGCAAGAUUAAUGUAAAACUUUAUCGCAGGGUAAGUAUGUACUUCGCAAAUCGUGCUGGAACGAAUUGGACUUGUAUCACCCCCGCUGGAAUUCUAGGGAAUUGCAAAUUGCGGAGGAGAGAUAUUACCGUUUCUGCAAAACUUCUGCUCUUAAUGCUCAGCUACCUCGGUGGACUCACGUUUUUAGCCCACUGAGAAGUAUUUCUAACGUUGCAACCUCAAAGGCUGUCCUUCAGAUUGUUCGUGCUGUUCUCUUUUAUGCUGUUUACAGUGAAGCAUCAUCAGCAUCACGCGCCCCUGAUAAUGUUCUCGUGACGGGUUUACAUCUGCUUUGGUUGGCACUUGAUAUUUGUGAAUCAGAAAGACAAGUACAUGCCGACCAGUAUGGCAUGGAUGUGGUGCAGCAUGAUGAUGAAUCAUGGGUUGUUCUGUCAUCGUACACAGAAGAGGCUUUUCCCAUAUUGACUUACUCUACUGAAGUAGUUUCCCCGGAGUCUGACAAUGUAAAGAAAGAAAGCAUGUUAACCCUACUUGUGUUGCUAAUGCACAAAUACAAAGAAGAGAAUGAUGCCACCUUUUCUGGAUCCAAGUACUGUAAUAUUCCAUCCCUAAUUGAGAGCUUAUUGAAGAAAUUUGCCAAGUUAAGUAAGAAGUGCAUGUUUACAUUAAGACAAAUGGCGCCACAUGUAGUCCCAUCUACACCAGACAGUUCCAGUAUCAAAGAAAGCCUAGGAACUUCAUCAGAUCCCAUGGAAAAGAAAGCAAAAGCACGUCAACACCAAGCUGCAAUUAUGGUAAGAUGUUUAAUUACAAAAUUCAUAUAUAUUUAGUUACACAUUAGACAUGUCUCAGAUAACCAAUUACCAGCCUUAUUUGAAUGCGAGUUGUCUUUGUUGAAUGAGCUUACCAAAAAUAGACAACUUUAUCAAUUUUCUUUGUAUAUGUACUAGUUCUGCAGUUUCCUUGGUUUGGUGUUAAUUUUGUUUUUACGGCUUGUAAUGUCUACACUUAUUUUGCACAUGCUUAGGUUGUGAAGUUAGUGGUUUUGACCUUUUUCUAAGUUACAUUAAGGCAUUAAGCACAAUUUUCUUCUAUUGGACCCUAUUUAUUUUAGGCGAAGAUGAGGGCAGAGCAGUCCAAAUUUGCUGAAAGUAUGAAGUCAUCAGAAAACGAGGGGCAUGAUGUUCCAAUGUUAGAGACAGAUGUGUCCAGUUCAACUGGUGCGGUCUCUGAGGAGUCACUACCAGUUUGCUCCUUGUGCCGGGACUCGGACUCCAAAAGCCCUCUAUGCUAUUUGAUUCUUCUUCAGGUAAUCAUUGUUGACUUGACAUUAUCUGGUGAUACCUGAUAGGUCUUAAAGUAGCAACUGUCCUUUCUGCAUCAUUUUGGCGUGUAAUGUUUUCUGACUAGUGUUUGAAUAGCAUGUUGAUGUGACUUAAGCUUUCUUAUGUGUCCUACAAUUCAGAAAUCUCGGCUUGCAACUUUUGUUGAGAUGGGUCAUCCAUCCUGGGAUAAUCCAACUCAAGCAAACAAGACGUCUGGAUCAGUCAAGAAGGAAGAUUCAACUGAUUCCUUGGUCUCUGGUUCUUCAACUUCCGAGGAACUUGUCGAUGACACGACAGUAGAGCCAUCUUUUGAUUUAGACAGCAUGGAAGUUGAUGCCUUUCUUGAUUUUUCAAAUGAGCAGCAUCCACUAAUUCGAUAUAUAUCGUCUUUCCCAAGUGGACAUUGCAAUGGCAAUGCAGAUGACACUGUCUCGCUUGAGGCAAUUGAGGCUGAUAUUUACAACUCUAUUUUAAAUGAUGUAUUUGGAUCCAGUAAUGCACACAUUCAGAAUGCUGAGCAAACGUCGCCAUCAUCUGCUUCAAGUAUCACAGUUGAUUCCAAGAAAACCAGAAGCCCCAAGCGUUCUGUGCUGGGAACAUAUGUUAGUUGUCUAUCAGCAAAACACCGCCAUUCUUCACUCUAUGAUGUAGCUUCCAAAUCUUCUGCCUCUGUUAGUACAAGAAACAAGUUUGGUCCGCUUCAUUGUGAUGGCAUCCACAUUUCUUCUUGUGGACAUGCUGUACAUCAGGAAUGCCAUGAUCGGUAUUUGUUCUCCUUGAAACAAAGGUAUGCUGGGUUUUCUCCUUCAAAUCCCUUUUGUUCAACUGUAACUAUAGGCAGGAAAUAAAUAUUUUACACUUGUGCCCUUUGGGUAGGUGUUGUGUUUGAAUGGUGAUCCAUCAGUUAUAUGAGUACAGAUGCACACGAUGGUUGACUUAUAACCUUUGGAUGAUGCAUUUAAUUUAUGGGCAAUUAAUUAUUUGGCCAUCAAAUAAGUUCCAGUCUAUGAUUUGCCAUCGAGCAAGUCAGGUUUCGCGCCAGCAUCUGUAUUCUAAAUUUCUUCACUGCAUGCCAUUGCCGGAUGGCUUGGUGUGAUUUUUCUUUUAAUUUUAAAAUCAUGAUGGUAUGGAAAUUGGACUUGUUUGAUGGCAAAUCAUGAACUAGAAUCUUCUCCUAUGGUAGAUUUUGGAUUUAUUCUUCAAUGAUCUUUCAGUACUCUAUACAACUUGCUGUUUAGGAGCCUACUUGAAUUAAUAUAUAACACUGGCUGCACACCUCCUGUUGAUUGAUGCUUGCAGAAAUUUGUAACUUAUUUUCCCUUACAGAUAUGUCCGGAGACUUGGUUUUGAAGGUGGUCAUAUUGUCGAUCCUGAUCUGGUAUGUAUAUUGUGUUUGAAACUUGUCUUUUUUUUGUUUUUGUUGAUCCUGUGCUUACACAUUGCUAUGUGCAGGGAGAGUUGCUUUGUCCAGUAUGUCGCAGAUUUGCGAAUUCCAUUCUUCCAGCAUCAACUGAUUUCUCUAGUAAAACAUUGAAGGGGAAACCAUUUGUUGAAACCUUGACCCGUGAAGUUGUUAUUACAACUACGUCACAUCUAAAUACAAGUCACUUACAGUUUCCUCGAGCACUAUCACUUCUUGAAAGUGCUGGAAAAACUGUUGGACAAAGCAAGUUUCUAAAAGCUUUAUCAGGGAAGCUUAAUGAUACUACAGAGUCAUCCCUAGAACCUUCUCUUCGAAGAUUAGCCAUGCUUUACUAUCAUCGUGGUCCCAGCGGUUUUUCAGCAUCUGAAAGGAAAAGGCUCAAUCCAUCCUUGUUUCUCUGGGAUACACUAAGGUACUCUGUGGUAUCUACAGAAAUUGCUUCUCGUGGUAGGAUGUUAAACCAGUCUGCUGAGUCAAAGUCCUGCUUGGAAUCUUUGCGUGGUGAACUGAAUUCAUCAAGUGGAUUCAUAUUGUCCCUAUUAUUCCGUGUUGCUCACUCUGCACGAAAUUUGAAUCGUCUUGAGGUUCUUUUAAGGUUUGAAGGUAUCCAACUAUUAGCGGGGUCUAUUUGCUCUUGCAUUUCUGGUUAUAAAGACGUUCUUAAUGCUACUAAGCGAAAAGGUAUAUAGUGCACCCUUUCCCAUUACUUUUUUUAAUGUAUUUACCUGCAUGUUAGAUGGUACUCUUUUCCUUUGUUUUGAAGUGUCCUAUUAAUCCCAGUUCUAUCACAAAUCAUGACUUUUCUAUUUCAUUCAGUUUGGAAUUUACAAUAUUUACAAUUAAUACAAUAUAUUCAAAUUCAUGGAUUCUUAUAUGUUAGUGAUUUGAUGAUUGAUAUGUUGGUUCUUAAUUGUUAGUGUUUGUAGAACGGGUUGAUUCUUUUUUUUUUUGGCAGUGCUACUAUUAUCUUGUUGUUUUCUCUGUUGUGCUGACUAUGUUGUGCUGAUUAAUUGUUAUUGUUUCUGUCUUAGAUCAGAUGUACAAUUUUUUGUGGAGUGUCACUAUUGCCUUUGCUUUAUUAUUGUCCUGAUUUAUAUGCUAUGAACCAUUUUAAGUUUUUAUCUUAUUUAUGAUCCUAUUUUGCUUUCCUCUUGAAAGCCCUAAGUGUUGUAUAUCCUGCAUCUUUGUAUUGGUGAUUGUUAGUUUUAUAAUUUGUAUCUAACUGAAUUUUGAGUUGAUAGUACUUGCAUAGUGAAGAAUUCUUGUCUAGAUAUACUUGCAUUGAUUUUGAAGUAAUAAAUAAACCUUCCAACUUGAUGUAUUAGUAACAAAGUGCCUGAGUAAAGAAAUUGAUUUUUUCUUUGCAAAGACCUAAGCAUUCAUUAUCCAGUGCUCGUUAAAGAAACUAAAUCAAAAGGGCGCGGACCAGUUGUUGUAGGUUCUGUGCCUUUCAACAAAGUGCCUGAGUAAAGAAAUUGAUUUUUUCUUUGCAAAGACCUAAGCAUUCAUUAUCCAGUGCUCGUUAAAGAAACUAAAUCAAAAGGGCGCGGACCAGUUGUUGUAGGUUCUGUGCCUUUCAAGAAGGCUCCAUUACAUGUCAAAGUAGAAGUUGACCUAAACGAAAGUCAAUUUUCUUGUAGAACUGAUUUGGUCAUCAUAAUAUGCUAACAUUAGAUGUCUGAUGUACAAGAAAAAUAUCAAGAGGUAGUAUUUGGUUCUAAUGAUCAUAGCCCGGCAACUUGCGAAUUGCAUUUCUAAAAUUUGUGUUGCUGGCCUGGAUGGAACUUGAAUUAUUCUAUCUCUUGUGCACAUCAUGUCUCCAAAUCACUUACUCCCUCCGUUCCAAAUUGUAGGUCGUUUUGGCAUUUCUAGAUUCAUAGCUUUUAAUAUGUUUUAAUAUGUAUCUAGAUGCAUAGCAAAAACUAUGAACCUAGAAAUGCCAAUUUGGAAUGGAGGGAGUAUGGAAUAUAUAUUUAGGUAUCAAUUCUCACCUUUUUCAUCUUCAACAGGCUCUUUGCCACCUAUGGUUGAUCCAGGUGAGGAGGGUCCCCUCUUCCCUGACGUCCAAUUUUGGAAACAGUGUGCUGAUCCAGUCCUUGCUCAAGAUCCAUUUUCUUCUUUGAUGUCAACACUUUUCUGUCUACCUGUUCAGUUUGUAUCAUCUGCUGAAUUCUUCAUCCCUUUUGUCCAUCUGUUUUAUGUUGUUUGUGCCAUUCAGGUAUGCUGUUUGGUGUUGCUUUCUCUUGAGAUUUGCAGUUUAUAUGUUAGUUUUAUUUGAUUUAAAGCAUGUUAUUACAUGAAUUUUCCUGUAGGCCCUGAUAACAUGCUACGGAUCGGAAACUUUUGACCGAUCUAGCUUCAGUGACUGCCUUCUUAAUGAUGUUUGCAAGACAAUGUCAGGAUAUGAUAUUGCCAGAGAGUAUUUUGUAUCCAAAUAUAUCGACCCGUAUUGUCAUCCAAAAGAUAUGGUCCGUAGAUUGACGUAUCCUUAUCUUCGGAGAUGUGCAUUGCUUUGGGAGCUGCUAAGAUCGUCUGCCACAUCACCCUUAUAUGACAAUUCCAAUAUUUGGGAAGGAUCACAUCUUUACCUGAGCAAUAGCACACAAGAUGGAAGUUCUUCACUGGCAAUGGAGCUAAAUGGAAUAAGCGAAUUGGAAAAGCUGUUCCAGAUUCAGUCACUGGACCUGAUUCUCCGAGAUGAAUCUGUACAUGUGCUGGCCUUAAAAUGGUCUCAACAUUUCUGUGAAGAUUACAGUUCUCGCAAAUAUAGAGGCUCUCUCUUUUCUACCCCUGCAGUUCCAUUUAGGCUGAUGCAACUACCACCUGUCUACCAAGUUCUCCUUGAAAGGUUUGGUCUGAAUCUUCUAAGCUGAGAUGAUGUUUUGCAUGGGCUGUGCCUUGAUGGGCUAAGCUUUUCCCACAUUUCUGGAGCUAAUGGCUUGUCAUUUUUUGGAUCAGAUAUAUCAAGAUGCAAUGCCCCGAUUGUGGCUCAGUGCCUGAUGAACCGGCAUUGUGUUUGCUUUGUGGCAAACUAUGUUCACCUAGCUGGAAACCAUGCUGCAGGUGAUAGCACUUUGCUUUUUACAGUUCCAAGUAGCCUUGUUUUGGUUCUACUGUAAUUAAUGCUAAAUCCUAAUUAUUGUUUAUUCUUUGUAGGACUGGUAAAUGCCUGAAUCAUGCAUCACAAUGUGGUGCCGGUGUUGGCAUAUUUCUUUUAGUGAGGGUAUGUAUUAGCUUAUUAUUUGCCAUCACACCAAAUUAUUAUGGCCAGUGUACUUUCCUUUGUUCUUUCUGAGACCAAGCUCCUUUCCUAUUUUGACGGAUGUGCUGUGCAGAAAACAACGAUCCUGUUGCAGCGAUCUGCUCGUCUUGCCUUUUGGCCAUCUCCUUACCUUGACACGUUUGGGGAGGAGGUAUUGAAUAAUUUCGUAUGCUUUGUUGUUGUUUAUGGACUUAAGCCUGUUUGUUACGAUCCCCACUAAAUUUUCCUCCCAGGUCUCAAAUGGGAGCUUUUUUCUUUUUGAUGUUAUCCUCGUGCUUCUCCAUGAAGCAUCUCUUACAAUAGCAAUACAAAGUGAUUUAUGAUGGCUUGAUGCCGUGCCUAAUCAUCUGAGACCUUUUAUAGAUCAAUGCUGUGCCUAAUCAUCUGAAUCUUUUGAUACAUCAGACAUACUGCUGUAGGUCUGAUGGCGUAUUGAUCCUCUUCACUUUCUGUUUUCUGUGGAUAAACAUUGAUUAUUUAAGGUUAAUAUGGGUGGUAGUUUAUGCCUAGCUUGCAAGGCAAAUGCACUGUUAAGUGGGGGUAGUUGAGAUUUGUCCUUGCAUAGUUGCAUUCAUACUGCAAGGUCAUUAGACAAAUGCCUACAUACAAAAUUUUGCAAUGAGGUAAAGGGGGAUUUUUUUUUACAUGUCUAGAUGUGAGCUUAUUCCCCUUCCCUUCUGGCUUUCUGUUUGAAUGCAGGAUCAUGAAAUGCAGAGAGGAAAGCCUUUGUAUCUAAGUCAAGAAAGAUACACAGCCUUGACCUAUCUGGUAAUAGGCUGACACCCUUUCCUCUUUGCUUUCUCGACUUAAUGCUAUUAGGAAUUUGCACCAUUUUUUAUAAAUGGGAUGCAUGCCCUUUUUUAUGUGAUAGGUGGCAUCUCAUAGCCUUGAUCGAACUUCUGAAGUCCUUCGGCAAACGACUAUCAGCUUUUAUGGAUCUGGAUCUGAUUAAAUGCAAUUUCCAUGGAACAAUGUUGAAAGGUUUGGAUUAUGUUUAUGUUUGGCAUGUUGGAUUUAGAGAAUGGAAGGAUUGGCAGCUUUGUUUUCCCAAAUGCUUGUUCAUUGGUCAUAAUGGUUGGUUUAGGUGACAAACGGAAUUUGAUUAGUUAGCAAGGGCAUAUUUGUACUAUGGUAUGUGGUCACUAUUUACUUCUCUUAGUAGGCGUGCACAAAUCUAAACAUUGAAUAUAGAAAGAAGACGGAGUAAUCUUAACAUGUGUAUUAGACCCACCAGAGCAAUUAUGCUGCUGGCAGGUCACCCAGCCACAAACAAGUUUUGUCAUGUACAGUUCUAUGAAAGAGCUUGCCAAUGGAAUGAGAGGGGGCCAAUAAGAGAGUGGAUUAGAUAACAAUUAAGUGGUGACAUAGGGCAUUGCUUACCCUUGGCCUUAGAGAAGCUUUGCAAUUGUCUUGAACUGCAACAGCAGUACUCCCUCCGUCCCAAAAAAAAAAGUCAUUAUAGGAAGUUUAAGACAUACUAAUAAGGAGGUAAAAUGACCUUGUUUACCCCUAUUUAUUAGCCAUAUUUAGCACAAAUGGACAGCAUUAUGCAUAUGCACAUACCAAAUAGGGUAGAAUGACUUGUUUUUUGGGACAAAUCUUGAACCCUAGAAUGACUUUUUUUUUGGGAAGAGGGAGUACAUGAUAAUCUCUGUCGAAUCAUCACCGCUCACACCUUUAGCAGGACAAAUUUUACAUUGCAGUGUGAUACUAGGGUUAUUGUUAAUUUAUCAUUUGCUGCCUUGUCAGGGUCUUGUGGAUGUGCAUAUUUUUGGGAACUCUAGUGCAACUUGGUGUUCAUAUUUUCCAGCGGUAACAAGUGUUACCUCUCCCAAGGUUUACAUCUACAAGCUUCUUUUGCUAAUGGGCGUUUAAGUGCAAAAUGCUGUGACAUGCCUGUGCCAUUGUUUUCGCUUCUGAUUACUUGUCGAUCUUCCGGAUGGCGUGGAUCCUGCAGGCUUUGCCACCGGUCGUGCUUGGGGGCCCUGCCGUCCUCUCUUGCUGAAUGUACGGUUGUUUUCAUGCUUCUUUUCAUUGUUCAUGGCCGGUGCUUCCCAAAGUGGAUGAUAGGUAGGCCUAGUGGCGACCUGGAAUAUUUGACGAUCGACUGCUUGAUCUGUCUGUACAGUGUAUUACAUUGGAUCGGUGUAGUUAGUAUGAAAAAGGCAGGCAAGUGCCAUUUGGUCAUCAUGUGCUUUUGUGUACCAUGUUGCUUUGUCAUUUGUCUGCUGAAUCUUUCGAGUUCUUGUUUCUUUUUUCAUGCAAGUUCUUGUGUUGAAGCGAGGUCAGAGUGCUCUGCAUAGGCACUAACACAUUGUUUCGUUGCAGCACUAACACUCAGCUUGGGAGCGUCCCUUGUUGCAACCUACGUACGGUGUGCUUUGCUUCGAAGGUUGGGUAGAAAAGCAAUGAGAAGUCGCAUGAAAGAAAUGAGUAUUCAAGUCCGCAUAUCGCAUAAAAGGUGUAACGGUAAUUAAAAAAAACUCGACGAGUCCAAGGCUUCAAGCCUUGGAAACACAGUGGCUGUACCAGGUGUAUACAAAAGUCAUCUGCGGGAGUACUCAUCAACCAACUUCGUUCAGCUUGAAGAUAGAGGCUGAACAUCCGGCGAUGGACCAUGUUGCUUGGUUCUUCUUCGAGGAGGCACCUCCUGAAUUGCUCUGCUUUGGCGCAGCCAACCAUCUCCAGACGUUUCAGCUUGCCUAGAUUCUCUGCCUGGUCCAGGGCUGGACAGUCCUGCACGAACAAAUCCUCAAGCUUGGAAAGAUUGGCGAUCCUCGUAAGGCUUCGGUUGUGCUUCACCUUGAGCCACACAACAGCGGGAAGGUCCACAAAUCUCAUGUAGGCUAUGCGCACCUUCGACAAGUUUGCAGCCCUGUGCAGAUCUUGAGGGAGUGCCCUCAAUUUUGGACAAUGCAGUAGCGACAGACGCUUGAGGAGAGGCAUCAGUAUCACCUGGUUGGGGGAGUCUCCGAUUGUGUUCUGAUUGCACAUGCCUACUGUGCUCAGUGAGCAGGCCUCCACAAUUUUAUGAACAUUACAUUCAGCUCAAAUUCCUCAAACAAGACAUUGAAAAGCGAGGGCAGGAGAUUCAGCACGCUCAAACAAUACAAAAACGCCUUAAGCGAUCAUAUAAGCACACUGCAAAAAAGACAGAAGGCGCCACUGAAGAGGUGAUUUACAGCUAUCAAUCAACAAAAUUUCCGAUUCGACUACAAUUUUUUUGUAUCGAACACGCAAGAGAUUUGACUUGGUCAAAGUUGUGUUUUGAAGACUGGGUACUGCUUAUUUGGAACUGGAGUGAGCAUUAUACGUGUUUUCUUUAUGAAUAAUGUACUAUAAGAACAAAACAAAAGUUGUUCCAAACUAACCAAAUAAAAGUUCGCAGUAGAAAACUAUUGCUACAGUUAUAUCAGUUCCUUUUUGCGCAGCAUCCAUCUUUGGCGACAAUGGAUGGUAAUGUGUUCAAAUUUUAUUCCGUUCGGGUGCAAGUCUACUGUUGAAUGGCUUGGCUUCAAAACUUUGCCGCCCAGUUGUGCCUUGCGGACUUGCAGUUGCGGUGGUUGCCCACUACUUCAGCUUCCAACGGUCCAAGGUGUUUUGCACCAGCCACCAGGUACUGUGCCAUUCUGAAGAGCAUAUCAAAUUGUCGAGGAUUUUGGCCCAUAGCCAGACAUCAUACCACAGUCCAAGGUGCACACUGCAAUCCACCGUCGGCGGACCUGCUGAUCACAUGAACAAUGUCUGGUGUUGAUGGACGGCUAGUAACCAUGAUACCGGAACAAUUUACAAGGACGAAUGACGUUUCAGAGUAUCAGUAAAGAACAUUGCCAAUCACAAAAGGAGAAUAUAAGCUGAGAAAUUGCUGAAACAGUAGCAAAGCCUAAAUGUUGAUAACAACAUAUCAGUAUAUCACAUUAGAAAUGAAGCCAUACACUUUACUAAGCUAGUUUGCUCACCUUUCUAAUGAUAGAGAGAUUCAUCUGGAAAUAUAUCUCGGCCAUCCGCACCAACUGUUGCAACAUGUACUCAGAUGUCUUGUUCUUCUUUCAGGAGACAAUUCCUGAACUGCUGUCCGUUCAGGCAGUCAACCAUGUACAAGCACUUCAGUGAAGAUUGGAGAUUCUCCUCAAAGAUUUAUUGUUCUUGACCGUGAGCCACAAAACUUCAGGAAGGUUUACAACUUGUUGAAGCUUGUGAGCACCUUCAAUGUGAAUCCUUUUUAAAUUAACAGCUCUAUGCAAAUCUUCAGGGAGAGCUCUUAGUUUAGGACAAUCAAGGAGCAACAGGCGCUUAAGGCAAGGCAUCAGAACGAGCUGUUGAGAUUUGGUCUCCAUGUUAUUACACAAGCUUCUUGUUUUGAGGGACCAACUUUCCAAAUUGCGCAUGCGAAUGAUGUGAAGCAAUUCGAGCUUUGGGAAAACAGCUGCUGCUUUAGUCACACCUCUCCCCAGGAAUUCUGCACCCAUAGUCACUACUGCACCUGCACCUCUAAUCUGAAGAACUAGUAGUUCUGGCAUCUGGCCUACUGGUGGUAGUUGUAAACAUGAUAUGCACUCAUUGAGCUGCAUGUGAGACAAAUUUGGAAGCUUAUACUCUGGCUCUGAACAUAGCCAUUCUGGGAACCUUACACCAGGGAACCCAACAAAGAAAAUGUAUAAUAGGCUUGGUGAUGGAAUAAGCAUCUCAUAGACUUGCUGAAUUUUCUCAAUCUCACUGGCUUGGUAAUGAGUUUUAUCAUGAAUAUUCAUGCCCACUGUGCAGCACAACCCCAGUUCUCUGGCUUGGUAUUGCCUUUUCAAGCUUCUCAACCCAGAGGCGUUGGAUAUUGGUGAGACAUUUUAAUUCAUCCAAUCUGAACCCAGUCUCACUUUCAAAGACACCUCUGAGGUAGUAGAGCUGCUGGAACUGGCAAUUCCUUUUGGAACAUGAUCAAUAGCAGUCUUUUCAAGUUUAAGAAAACUUAUCUGUGAUAGUCUCAUUAAACAAACUGUCAGACUAUCCAACUUAUGGCAACCACGCAAUGAGAGAGAUUCAAGGCUGGUAAGCCUUCCAAUCGAAUCUGGAAGUUUGCUGAUCUCUGUAUAACUUAGAUCUAGCAACCUCAACAACACCAGGUUUCCCACUGACUCUGGAAUGAUUAGGAUGCCCGAUCCACUUAGAACUAAGACACGGAUGUGCUCAAGCUUUCGGAAAAUAUUCGUGUUAACUGACUUGAAGUUCUUGUUAUUGAAAAUUAGGAGGCUCCUCAUGCAUUUAUACUCUCCUAUAGCAGGUAUUUCUUCUACAGAACUGCUGAUACUUAAGCACCGCAGAUUAGGCGGAACUUCAUUAUUUUCUGCAUUCAUGAAUAAGGAAUGAUACCUUGUCAAAUACUGCCCAAGUGACCUCAAUAGAUCGUGCAUUGUUGAAAUACCUUUGUCCACGAAUUCUGGUUUUGGUUGCAGAAGAUUCCUCGUAAUUAGCUCAUAAUAGUAUUCUUCAGCAAUUGCAUGAAUCGAGCACUUGUGAUCUUUCCUCACAAAACCUUCAGCAACCCACCAGUAAGCAACAGCAUUACGCUCGAUUGCAAAAUUUGGAGGCAACAAAGCACACUCUUAAGUUGAGGGGUUAAGUUGCUAUAACUCAUAUAUAGGGGGCCUCCUAGUUCUUUGGGAAGUCCGUGGAUAGACCAGUUGCUAUCUCGGAUGCUCUCCCAUUCUGCCCUUGUUCUUUUAGUAGAUAGAACACCCGCAACAACCGCGAUGGCUAGAGGAAGACCAUCACAUUUUCUUACUAUUUGACACCCAACAUCACUAAAUUCAUUUAGUUGCACAUAUAUGGUCGGAAAGACUUCUUCAUUAGAAGUUCCAGGCCAUCAUAAUCAUUCAUUUUGUUUACUUGGUGAGUAUAUGUUGCGUGCAUUCCUGCCAAAACAUCCAGGUUUCUUGUGGUGACAAGGAUAUUUGCAUUCGAGCAUCUCUUGAAAGGCGAUCGGAGAAGAUCAAUCCAGACAUCAGAUUUCCACGCAUCAUCUAAAACAAGAAAUACACUCUUUCCUCUGAUAGUGUCCAUCAGAUGGAAAAGAAGUUCGGUCUUGGUCUCAAGCUGACCACAUGUUGCUCCAGCCAUUCGUAUUGCCUGCCUUGGCAAACCAAUCUCUGUGUAGCUCUGAGAAACGCACAACCAUAUAUGAACUUGGAAUUUCUCCCUUAUCCUCUGCUCAUUAUAUAUCUUCUGAGCUAAUGUUGUCUUACCAAUGCCUCCCAUCCCUUGAAUACCAAAAACAGUUGAUUUGUCUUCAUGAAAAUUACUAAGAAUCAUUUUGACCAUGUCAUCAGUCGCCUGUCUGAUAUCUCUUCCAAAAACCUCUAGUUCAUCUAUGGGUGAUGUCUGACUUCUAUCCACAACAGGUACUUGAUACUGUUGACUACUGGUCCUCUCCAAGCUGAUGAACAUGUUUCUGUUCUUUUGAAUUUCAUCUAGCUUUCUGUUUAUAUCCUUGAUUCUUUUAGCAACCCUGUGAUCAAAUGAAAGUUUCGCGAUAAAGGACAAAAGGGACUGGUUGCAACAUUCCAUUCUAGGUGGCAGCAAUAGCUUCUGUGAGUGAACCAUGAAGUGAUCUAUGACAUCAUCCACAUCAAACAUAACGUCAGUCAUGUUCUUCCACCAUGACUCUGCCCCCCUAUCUUGCUUCAGCAUCCUCACCAACAGCGCCAAAAUGUUCCAGAUUUUUCUUGAGCCUCUUGAUAUCCCUUUUCACACUCAAUGUCAUUGCAACUUCAUCCUGGAUAAUCUGACUAAGCUUUGCCAGGAAUUUUGAAGUGAGAGCAUCCAAAAAUGCACCCAUACUGCUCAAACAGCUAGACCUAUGGAUUGUCACCGGAUCUCACUUGCCCUCAAGCUUCAGAUUGUAUAUGAUAUAUCUCAGUUAACCGCAGCUCAUUCGAGAUUGGAAAGGGUAGGAGAUGUUGAAAUAGAGGGAGUGCAGUUUGAUGGAAUUGGAGAGGCCAAUGCACAAGUGAGCUGUUAUAAGUUCCCAUCACUGUAAAGACCCGACCUAAUCAUAGACACCUAAUGUCUUGGGCAUUCCCAUUUGCUUCCAAUCUUUUCAACACAGGUAAGAACAUAUAUCUCAAAAAACAAAGGACUAUUGUUGCAGACUUGCUGACGGGAGGGAAAGAGUCGCCACCAGAAAAUAUUUGUUUGACGGCAGACAUUCGUGCAUUUCCUCGAACAGUCCAUAUGCGUUCAAUCGUUGGUCUCCAACUCUCCGUAGACUAAGUUUCUUGUUUAUAAAAAAAAAUCGAGAGAGAAGAAUUUGCGAUAGCUGCUCCAUCGUUUUCGCCAAUCUACGUACAGAGAGAGAGCGAUCAAAACAGGCCGUCUACUAACAUCACCAGAAACAAAUCAGCCCGAAACUUCCAUUAGAUUUGUAGGCUUUUUCGCAGAUACACAGAGAGACCUGCAUGAGAAGCGCGCGCUGCGGUUGUCCACUGCAUUGAUUGGUUGGCGACGCCGACUACCGGCCGCGGCGAUAGCCACAGCUCGUCGGCCGGCAGCGCCGCCCACCGCCGGAGAAGAAGCCUGCCAUCCAGGGGCUCCACAUGUUUAUCGGGCCCAGGCGCACAGCCCAGCCCAGCGACACGUUAGUACAACACAGGCCGGGCCCUCUCUCUCUCUCUGUUCGUGUCACGCCGCCCGGACCGCCCCCGGGUCCAGCAAACUAUGAUGAACAGCCCAACCUUGGUGGCCCUCAAAUCAAACCAAAACCAGGAGUCCAGGACCGUACAAACACAUGCUGAUCGAAUAGGCGAUAGGCCGAAGGUCUGCGAUUGAGAUGAUGAAUCGAUUUUUCUUUUUCACCAAUGUGGCAAUUUAUUAACUAUCCGCUUCCUCUCCCUUGCAAGAAGACAUUUUCGCCGUUGCAAGAAAAGCUCCCAGUGAAAGGGGGGCAAAAAAAAAUCAAGUCACACGACAUCGAGAGUACACAAAGAUGGUAGAUGCAUAUAGAUGGAUGGUUACACGAGACACUGAAGACAGUAAGCAGGCAGCACAUACAACACGGAGCAGAGCAUUGCCUGCUUGCUACACACACUGACACUGCUACAGAUGAGCCCCACAAGCGACCUGCCUGCGAGGAAGGACACGGCGACGACGGCGACUCGCAUCUCAGUACCAUUAUUCUUCUCCAUCAGUACGAUUACUAGCAGCAUGCGCAACACUGUUAUUAAGCAUGCCACACACACACUUAGGACACAACACUGCUAUACUAGGGUGUCCUUCCGAUCGCCUCCACCGGCCAGGGGCCGCGCCAUGAGCUCAUCACUUGCCGCAGGUGCAGGGGUUGCAGGUGCAGUUGGGGCCGCACUGGCACCCGCCGUUCUCGGCUCCGGCGGACGCCGCGCCGCCCUCGAACCCGCCGUCGGCGUGCCUGCGCAGAGAAAGCCAAGAUAUGACAGAGUCAGUGGCCUGGCUCAUACAUGCAUACAGAGCAUUUUUGGCAUGUUCGCUACCAGCAGCUACAUACGAGUGCAUGACGUCCCAGACUUCUCAGUUCAGGACAAAUUAAAGUUCUUUUUUUUUUCUUUCUGUUUUUGGGCCAGCAGUUUGUUUGUUUCAUGAUUGCCAAAAACUGCUUUCGUCGUAGCUUACUGCUCCCUGCUCGUUGCUGAUGGCGACUGAAAUUUGUACUACCACUAUGCGGACAAAUACCACAGCUACGCAUGCUAACAGAAGUUGGUACUGCUCCCUACACGAUCGAUCGAUCUACCCCCACAACACAAGGCAAAAGACAGUAAAAAUAGUACAGCUAGUAAUUCUGCACCACAGAAACUGACUGCUAUUAUUAGCAAAGGUGUGGAUGGUGGAUCAUUCAGAUCAACACAACACCGGAAUGAUCUAUGAGCAUGAUGUAGAUCAGUAGAUGGGAAAAGGGAUGGAUGAACAUACCCCUUGUUGGAAGGCGCAACGCCCGUGAUGACGGUCUGGGUGGUGGUGGUGCCCUGCUCAGCCAUGUCCGGGAACAUCUUGCACCUGCAGAUCAUGCAAGCGGCAGAUCAGCAUCAUCAGAAAUUUCCCUUGUUGAAGGAGCACAACUACAGCAUGCACAUCGUUUCAGAGAAACGAAGUUCAUCAGACAGGAAUUCACAUGCGCAGCAACAUGAGAAAACCUCUCUGUUUUUUUUCUAAAAUAAAAAAGGGGAGCUUGAUCUCCCAGCUCUACAUAUCCUAUACUCAAAGAUCCAUCCACAAAGGUCCAGCAAGAACACAAGAACAACCGAAUACAUGCAUUCAUAUGGGUAUUGACACAUGAUAGACACGCAUCAGACUAUCAGAGAUCUGAGGAGCGUGGCGUCGUGGGGCUUACCCUCCGCAGCCGCUGCCGCACUUGCAGCCGGACCCGCACCCGCAGUUGCCUCCGCAGCACGACAUCCUCGCGAGAUCGAUUCAGAGACGAACACAAGCAGAGAGCGGCGUUCUUGGCAAUGAGUCACUGAACAACAACGAGAUGCAGUAUGCCUUCCCCCUG